UUUUUUUUUUUGUAGUGGACUGAGGUACCUCCGUCAAUCACUACCCUAAUUGAGAAAUAAUUUUAUGUACGUCCGUAAGAUUUAAUUUUUCAAUUACCUUAUGUAUUAAAGGAGCUCUAUUCUAACCAAAUAACACACUAUCAGGAUUAUUUUAGAUAGUCUGCGUACUCCCCUAACACAAAUCCAAUCAUGCCAGUUGUCACCAUUUUAGAGCAAUUAAACAAUUAUAAAUUUAACACUAAUUGACAUCAGGUUGCUAAAUUAAUUCAACGUCUGGGACCAGGAUAUUUAAUUAACAAAACAACCAUAAACAUUACAAAUAGAGAAUAUGCAAAUACCAGUGAAUAAGAGGAAUAAAUAAAAUUAAUUCAAUAUCACAAAUUUUAGAUGAACCAAAACCUCCGUUGUUCCUUGACUAGAAAAAGAGAUUAGUUCAUCCCUAUUGAGAAGAAUCCAUACAAGAUUUUAGAAGUAAUGAUCGCGGCCAUUGUCUUCAAUUCGCCGAGAAGAAACGAUGGAAUAAGAAUAUUUUGUCAAAAGUUACAAAGUCAAGGGUUGACUCCUUGUUUUUCUACUUGGUUCCUUUGAUACGUAGGAACCAGUAGCUACUAAAAACAUGAUAAAGUCAAUCUCCAAAGAGGAGUCAAGAAUGGAGCUUCAGAUCCUCUGUCCCCAAAAUAGUCCAUAUCCCCUCUGUCCCUUAUUUGUAUAGCUGCUACGUGUCUCUAGCCUUUUGUUAACCUAAACUCAAAUAAAAUCGAUAAUAAUCGGUUUACAAGUUUUGUUAACCCAAAUUCAAACAAACCGAUAAUAGUUGAUAGACAGGUUUACUCAAAAUCAAUUAAAACAGAUAACUCAAAACUAUUUUUUAUUUUCUUUUUAACAAAAAAGAGUCUUGUUGAUCAUAAACAUAGAAAUCAACUAAAACUCUUCUUUAUUUUUUACUCCAAAUCAUCUUUUUCUUAAACCCUAACAAGUAUUUUGAUUCACUCAUUAUAUCUUUAAUCUUGCAGCAAAAACGCUCAAAGGAUCAAGUAGCAAGAUUCAAUCAUCUUUAUCCAGGUAAAACAAAUCAAUAGAUCAUGUAUGCCAAUUUUACAAUAUAUUUGAUUCAUGAUUUGUCUUGUCAUAUUUGAAAUGACCUGUAUUUAUUGGAACUUGCAUGCGAUGGGAACAAUAUUGUACAAUCCCCUCUCAACAUCAUUGUUCAUAUAAGUAUCUAUAUGCACUGUGUAGUUACUAUAGUUCAUAAACUAGUAUCUAAUUGAAGUAAAGCCUUUAGUAAUGCCGUAAAGCCCUUAGUAAUGCCGUAAAGCCCCUUUCAGUAAUAAACUAGUACAAUCCCCUUUCAGUAAUAAACUAGUACAAUCCCCUUUCAGUAAUACCGUAAAGCCUUUAGUAGUCAAAGUGAUUGAAGUAAACUUUUUCAAUGAUAAACAUUAUAGUUAAAAGCUUUUAUUUUUGACAAAUGUCAUUCGAUAUUUAAGCAGGUUUAUUUGUAUUUAAUUACGUCGUAGAUAUUGAACAAUUGUUUACUUUUGUCUUUUUACUAUUUUUUGUGGAAAAUUCUUGUAAUGAGUUAAAAAUUAAUUUUGCAAAAAAAAAAAAAAGCACUGAUACGAAAUGGUAAAGUUAACUAUUAAAAUCUUUUAAAAUUGUAGAUCAUGGAGGGUGAUGAUUCCCUUGAGAGCAAGUUCCCACCUUGUCGUAAAUUGGAAUUUAUAGAUGACACUCAACAUCAUCACAGCUCUCAGACAAUCAAUGAAGAUACAGACAUUGAGCUUAUUGGUGCAUCAAGUUCAAACAAAGAGACUGAUAUCAAUUCAAUUCAUCCCUCUAUCCCUAAAGAAGAAAUCCCUCUGGUAGGUAUGGAAUUUGACAGUGAAGAAGCAGCUGGUCAAUUUUACUUAGCAUAUGCUAAGAAGGUUGGGUUCGGCACUAGAAAAGGCAAAUUGCAUAAAGACAAAAAUGGUAAAAUAAUUGAUAGGACAUUUUGUUGUAGUGCCGAAGGCAAACGAGGGGCAGAUAAAAGAGAUGUCAAUGUAAAAAUCCAUCAUCCUGAAACAAGAUUUGGUUGUUUGGCAAAAAUGAAAAUUAGUUGUAGCAAAAGUGAAAAAUAUCAUGUCAUUGAGUUUAUACCAGAACAUAAUCAUUAUCUUUGUAGUCCUCACAAACGCAUUUGUUCAGAGCACAUAGGAGAAUACAUGAAGCUCAUGUAAUAGAGAUUGAUAUGGCAAACAGUGUAGGAAUUGCACCAAAAGCAUCGCAUGAAUUUAUGGUAAAACAAGCUGGUGGACGGGAUAACUUGGGCUUUAUUCCUGAAGAUUAUAGGAAUUAUUUACGUUCAAAGAGGACAAGAGAUGUGAAAAUAGGGGAUACUGGAGGAGUGCUUGAAUAUUUACAGGGAAUGCAAUUAGAAGAUCCAAACUUUUUUUAUUCCAUUCAAGUUGAUAAAGAUGAUUUGAUGACUAAUAUAUUUGGGCUAAUGCUAGGAUGAAAGUUGACUAUGCCGAUUUUGGAGAUGUGGUUUGUUUCGAUACAACUUACAGAAAAAACUGUGAAGGUCGUCCUCUUGCACUCUUUGUUGGUGUGAACCAUCACAAGCAAACUAUUAUUUUUGGUGGUGCACUUUUAUAUGACGAGACAGCUCCGACUUUUGAAUGGUUAUUUGAUGUAUUUGCUAGCACUAUGUUAGGAAAAAAGCCAAAAAACCAUUCUGACAGACCAAGAUGCAGCAAUGGCUAAAGCAUUAGCUUCCAGAUGGCUAGAGACACAACAUCGAUUAUGUAUUUGGCACCUUUACCAAAAUGCUGCCAUACAUCUAAGUGGUGUUUUUGAAAAAUUCUCAGACUUUGCAGGUGACUUUGGUAAAUGCAUAUACGAUUUCGAAGAGGAGGAUAUUUUUGUGACUGAAUGGGAUAAAAUGCUACAGAGGUAUAAUCUUCAAGAUAAUGAUUGGCUGAAGAGAAUGUUCAAAUUGAAAGAAAAAUGGGCACUAGUCUAUGGCCGCCAGUCCUUUUGUGCUGAUAUUACUACGACACAGAGAAGUGAGAGUAUGAAUAGUGUCGUAAAAAGGUAUGUCAGCUAUAAAAAUAAUUUGCAUCAAUUUUUUGAUCAUUUUUAAAAUUUGAUUGAUAGUCAUCGAUAUGAAGAGUUAAAGGCUGAUUUCAGAGCAAGUAUAAGUACUCCUGUAUUAUCUUUUCCAGUUCAAAUAUUAAAGCAUGCAGCAAAUAUUUAUAGCCCGGAAGUGUUCAAGUUAUUUUAGAAUGAAUUAUGUAAAGCUCAUGAUAGCAGCUUACUUAUUUUUAGCGAGAUCGGAACAAUAAUCCAUUAUCAUGUCACUUCUUAUGAAAAAACAAAUCAUCAUGUUGUUAAAUAUGACUCUUUGGAUGGCACGGUACACUGUAGCUGCAAAAAAUUUGAGUGUUGUGGGAUACUGUGUUCUCAUGCCCUGAAAGUUCUUACCACAAGAAAUGUUGUCAAAGUUCCACAGCCAUACAUAAUGAAGAGAUGGACAAAGAAAGCAAAAGUUGGGGUUAUGCAAAGUCCAGGCUUGUCUAAGAGCAAUAACACACUGAAUCCGAAAGUAAUGGUGAAUAUGAGGUAUAGAAACUUGUGCAAGUUUCACAAUCAAUUGGUUACAAGAGCAGCGGAAACAGAAGAAACAUAUGAAAUAGCUAAAGACGGUCUUGUGAAGCUGUUUGAGAAGGUUAAUGAAAAGUUACAGAGCAAAAAUUUGACAUUUGAAGGCUCAAGUGAAAGGACGAAUUAUUUGAAAGAAAAAGAUCCAGCUAUUCACGAAGAAACUGGUAUAAAAGUCAAAGGAAUAAUGGCAAAAAAGAAAAUUAUUUCGGGUAAGAGAUUGAAGAAUGGAUUAGAAAAGACAUCGAGAAAGAGAAAGUCACAUAGUAGAAAAUCAGCUGCAACAACUGUGGUCUUAACUGCCGAAGUUCCAACCCUUGCUCAGGUACAUAGUUAUUUUUCAAUUGAUAAACCAUACCGGCUUUUCAUGUUUUUACUGGUAGGCUUCAGAAGAAGUCAUUCAUAGAGGAUAUAGGUUUGGACAAGAUUGUCAAGUCCAUCUAGUACCAUCAGCCAUGGGGUUGUUUGUAUGAAAAGCAAGCUUUAAUUAGAUAUUACGAUGAUAUAAUUUUUUUUUGAGUCUUGAUGAUAUAAUUAUUCUUUUAUAUUUUUUAUUUUUUAUUUUUAAGCAUGUGCAUGAAGGUCCUACUGGUAGUGGAGAUGGUUUAAACAUAUGGGAACCAAAUAGCCAACGUAUUUUGUGCCCAACGCAAUUGUCACAGGUAAUAUUUUCUUGUUUAUAAUUAAAUUUUAGUUAUUCCAAUAAUUCACUUGUUUGCAAAAAAUAGUUAUUUAAUCUAAAAUUUAAUUUUUUGUUAUUUGUGGAGACAAAAUUUCUAACCAAAAAAGAAAACAAAAAGAUCGGUUCAGGUGAUGCUAGCAUGGCUCAAGCAAUUUAUCCUGAACAAGUGACCUUCGUGCAGCCAUUUGGUUUAAAUAAGGUGUGUUUGCUAUGUUCUUCUAAUUGAGUUACUAUCAUAUGAUGCAAAACUUAUUGCAUAAGGCUUUUCAAGCACUUAAUUAUGUUCAUACCAUAAAUAAUUUUCUCUUUAUUGUUUUUUUUUUUAAAAAUAGAUUCCAGUUUUAGCUCCAAAUCAAAUGAACCAAGUUGCACAUUUUAAUUUUCUUGAAGAGUUGCAAGAUUCUAUGAGAUUGACAGACUUACUUCAGGUAACUUAGUAAUUGUCCAUUGAUAGUAUUUGAUGUUAUGAGAAUUUCAUCUCAAUAUUUUAGUACUUAUGAUUAUUUUUUCUACAUUUAUAGGUUGAAGUAGGACACAAGUUCAGUGGAUCAAGUGUCAAUAACUUUAUAGACCUUAAUGUCAUUUCCAGCCAACCGAGUUCAAGUUUAGUUGCUUGUAAUGAAAAUUGCGGCUAUCCCAUGCCAUGUCCUGGUGGUUUUGUUUGUAGAUGCACAACUGAUGGAAAAUCCGACAAUCUUUAGAAGUUUUGAAUUAUGAAUAGGCAAGGGUUUGAUAUUACAAACCAACAUGAUAGACCAUGGUUAUUCAGGUAUUAACAGGGUUUUUAGGUGUACUUAGUAAGAGUGGUUGAAAUUUUAUUAUUAUUCUCUUAUUUUUAUCCAGCAGACGAUUUUUUGAGAAUCAAAUUCCAAUAUCUAACAUUCUUAUCAACCAUGUGUGUGUUUAUGUCAACUGAUUUAGCUCUUUCUAAUUUUUUUACAUCUCAUAAUUAUGUAAAUAUGAUGAUUUAAAAUUAAUUACUUAAUAGGUUUGAGUUAUCUGUUUUAAUUGAUUUUGAGUAAACCUGUCAAUUAACUAUUAUCGGUUUGUUUGAAUUUGGGUCAACAAAACUUGUAAACCGAUUAUUAUUGAUUUUAUUUGAGUUUGGAUUAACAAAAGGCUAGAGACACGUGGCAGCUAUACAAAUAAGGGACAGAGGGAACAUGGACUAUUUUGGGGACAGAGGAUCUGAAGCCCAAGAAUGGUGGCUACUUUUUCUCCCGCAAAGUUCCUAUCUAAUCUCUACUCCUAUACGGCUGCCAAGAGAAAUAAAAGGAAAGAGUCCUACUGCUUCCCAUCCACCAUACUGUCGUUAUCAGAAGAUAAGGAAACAAUCUUCAAUUCUGCUUUCCAUUGGUCUCGUGUCUCCUGCUAUCACUCAAACUUUUUUGCUAACUACCGUCAAAUUGGCAUCUUUUUAUGAUAUUUUAUUCCACUCCCCGUAAUAAAUACAAAUUUCCAAAAGUGAGUGGAAUAUGACAAUUAAUCCAUAUUUGGUAAGGUAACAGGGGAAAUUAAUUAUAAAAUAAAUGGUAAAAUUGCAACCUAUCACACAUUAAAUCCAUAAGCCUCUCAACAAAUAAUUUAGUGGGUGAGAUCCAUGAUGGGAUAAUGGAUCUGGUUGAUUUGCAAACUUUGAACCUUUCACAUAAUCAUUUGACUGAAAGGAUCCCCGAGAAGAUUGGCAACUUGAGUCACUUGAUCUAUCAAUGAAUGAACUCUUCGGUGCAAUCCCUGAAAGCUUAUCUGCUUUAAACUGGUUGAACUUCCUGAAUUUGUCACACAAUAAGCUAUCAGGGCCAAUACCAUCAGGGAAUCAAAUUCAGACCUUAACCGAUCCAUCUAUCCAUGAAGGAAACAGUGGACUCUGUGGCAAGUCACUCCCAAAUGACUGCCUGGAACAUAAAUUGCCUACGGAAAAUGGGCAAAUUCAUGAUGAUAUAGGCCACGACAAGUCUAAUUGGUCUUGGUUUUAUGCUGGUAUAGGACCGGGUUAUGCUGUCGGGCUAUUGGGAGUUUUGGGAAUCCUUAUUACGUGAUUGAAGACCAGAAAUUUCCAUUCCUUAACUUUUGGAACUUUUUAUCUUAAAAACUAGGUACCAAAACUUUAGUUGCUUUCUCUAGAUUCUCUCUUUCUAUUGGCAAUUAUUUUUACUCUCUCAAAAGUUUGAUUUCUAAUAAUUCUCCUCUAUUCUUCAUAUUUACAUUGCAUUUUCCUAUGUUUCUUUACAUUCCAUACUAUGAGAAUCUUAUUGAUUUUUAUUUACAACCGAUUAUAAGGAUGAUAGGAUGUGAAAUAAUUAUUUUUCUGUUCGCAUUAGAAUGCAUUAAUAAUUAUUUUUGCGUCAACAGAUUUAAACACUUUAGAAGAAUUCUAUACUUGUUUAUGCUAAUAAUUGAUUUAGUUGUUUAAUUUCUAAUUGAUAUACAUUCUAGCUUUUCUGCCAACAACUCUUAUGAAUUACCAACUAAUGAUUUUCAGGUAUUACAUUAAUUCUACCCACCUAAGUUUCAUUCUCGAAACUUAAUUUGACCAGAUUAGCAUAAAAACAAACUGCCCUUCCAAUUAUAUCACUUUACAUGAACAACUAUUAAUUAAACUACUAGUAUUUAGGGCACACACCAAUGUGUGUACACCUAAUAAAAAAACAUAUUAUUAAAAUUUUGAGUAAAUUUGUUGAAAUCAUUUUCAAAGGAAUUGGUUUUAUAUUUUUGACAUUGAGGAUUGGAAAAUUCAUGAAAAUAAGUGUACAAAUAGAUAGUUAUUUAGCAGUAAUCCAUAUCCAUAAUCGAUAGUUGAUUAUUGGGUAGCUAGCAAGGGUAGUUAAAAAAUAAUAUAAAAUGACAAAAUUUUAUUUAUACCAAAAGCCCUCUCCCCCUUGAUAUAUUUACAACAAAAGCUUUCUCCACCUUUACAGAGAGCAUAGAUACUAUUUACUCAAGGACAAUUCAUGUCCCCCCCCUCUCCUUCCCCUCCUCGCCUUUUUGGUCAAUCAUCAACUCUUAUUACUACUCCUACUCUAACCAAUAUUAGGACCAAUGGGGCUGGAGGAAGAAGAUCUCACCUGUAUAUCAAAGAGGUUCACUAGGCCAAAGAAGGGUUGCUUCAUGUUCAAAUCCGCUAUUCUUUUUACAAGGCCAUAGAAAUUUCAAACACCUGAUGCCCAUUUCGUUUCCCUAGCGCUAACAUAAAUCCAAACAUCAACAAGUAAUUCGACUUAAUUAACCUUAUUUUCAUUUGAACUUUAGUUAUUUCUAAAGUGAUAAUCAUGUCUUACUGUUCAUUAAAGUAAUAUACUAUCAACUAAAACUUCACUAGUAUAUUCCGUGCUCUCAUUUUCUGAUUUGCCAGAUUCUCAGUUGCACCCUGAAUUUAUUUCAUACUACAUGCCAUCACAGUGGAUCUAGAAAUAUUAUAACAUAACCACCUAGAAAUUUCUUCAAGAUAUAAUCCUUUUCAAUAACAUCACCCACUCAUGAUUUUCAAUCUAGAAUUACCUGUAGUUUUAAGAUUCAAAUCAAGUGAUCAUAAAGCCAUGUGAGAAACACUAAUGAACAUAAAUUAAAUUUCUAACUCAUCGAUUGCCAUAAAUGGUCCUAUUAGAAACUAAUUCUUGCAACCAAUAAUUGGUAGAUAUGCAAUAAAAAUGUGUCCUAGGCCUCCUAAUCUUCUAAACAAACAUGUAAGAGUAGAAGGGGUUUCAUGAACAUCCUCCCAAUGAGGAAUGUAAUAUGAACGGAUCCCAAUCACGAAUUAAAGAUUCGUGAAAAAAGAGAUAAACUCUAAAAAAUUGGGCAAUUCCAAUAAAGUUUGAUAAAAGUUGAUAAGAGAAUGAGAUAUUACUUAGACCCUAUUUGGCAAAUAACUCCCAAUAAAUAUUUGGGUGAAACUUAGGUCUCGUUUGGCAAAUAAGUUUUUUGAGUGUUUGUCUAAAAUUUUAUUAUAACUUACUGUAAAAAUUGUAGGAAAAAAUUUUAAAAUGAAAAGCUUUUUUCUUUUCUUUUUAUUUCUUUUGCUUUUUUUUUCUUUCUUUCUUUCUUUGUUCUUUUCUUUCCUUUCUUCUUCUUCUCCCUUUCCCGUCACCUGCCAUCUCUCCCUUCCAGUUGGAACAAGAAUUUUUUUUGCACUUUUCUCUCUCCCCUCCCCUCUCCCCCUCUUUCUCGGGUGCUUUCUAGUCGUGUGACUAGAUCGGGCAAAGGGGUAAGGGAAGGGUGGUGGGGGAGGGAGAAGGUGGGAGAUAGGUGGUGGGGAAGAGGGGAGGAGAGGGGGAGAGGAGAGGAAGAGGAAGAAGAGAGAGAGAAAAAAAAGAGGUGGCCUUCGGUGCCGGUCGAUCUUGGCCGGCCGUGAGGUGGUGGUGGGUUGAGGUGGAAGUAGAAAGGAGGAAGAAAAUUUUUUUUGUGUGUUUUGAAUAUUUUGAAGUAUGUAUUGAGGAGUUUUUGAGAUUAUUGUAAUUAAAGUUGUUAAAAAAUUAGAAAACAAACUUAACCAAAAAUUCAUUUGCCAAAUAGGCCAUUAGUUCUAGGAAUGCUUUGAAAAUCCUUGUUAGAGGGAUAGUGAAAUUCUUGUUAUCCAUUAAUAUCUAAGGUCAUGUUAUUCAAUAAUUGUAAUUGUGAAAAUUUUUCUCUUUUUUGAUUGAUUUUUAUUCAUAAAUUCAAGCUAUUAUUCAAAUUAUAGUAAUUUAUUGAUGAAUUUGGAUUAUUUAUUGUUGAAUUUGCCUAGGUUUAAAGUUAAUUGAAGAUGCAUAAAAGUUUCAUAAAUAAGGCAGCCCGUUUCGACAUUGCUUUCGAUGAUGUGUGCAUUAUGUUUGUGAACUUUAAUGACACAAAGGGGCAAGCUACUCCUACUUCUGCUACUUAUUUUGCAUUUGGGGACGAGUCCUGCAUCUCGCGCGGGAGUUGAUACCGGCGUAAUAAAAUAGUAAUCCAAUAUGCAAUUAACGAAUUUCUUAUGUUUAGUUAAGAAGAAAGCGGAAGAAAACAAGAAUAUGAGAACAGAUGGAAAUUAAUGCAAAACAAAAGGAAAAAGAAGGCAAAUUACACUGUAUUUCCUAUGAUUUAGUAUUUUUGUACAUAACGAUCCUAUAAUUUUAAAAGUUAUAUAUAAUCCCCUCAUAAUUUGGAUUAAAGUAUCAAAAUAAUAGAAAUAAUCAUUCGUAAAGGAACAUAUAAAAAUGUCGAAAUUACUCUUAUUUAAAAACUCAAAUGGUUGAAGUAAUCAACAUAUAUAAACAUAAUAUGCAUGACACUCUUACCCCGUACGAUUUUAUAUUUUAUGAUAUAACCCCCUUAUGAUUUAAUGUUUUACUAUAUAACUCCCUUAUUGUUUUCACUAUAUGUACAUAACUCGCUUGUAGUCAAUAGAUAAUUUUCAACUUUAUAUAGGGGCAUUUUUUAUAUUUUAAUUGAUUCCAUUAUAAAUUACAAAUUUCGUUACUUUGAUACUUUAAUUCAAAUCAUGAGGAAAUUAUCUAUAACUUUUAAAAUUAUAAGAAGGUUAUGUACAAAAAAAAUACUAAAUUAUAGGGGGAUAAAAUGUAAUUAGCCUGUAUGCAGCAUCCCGCCCUUUUCCUGUCACUGGAUUGGGAGGACUGUAGUAUGAAAGGCUGCAAGCAACUGUAGUACAAUACUACUACUUCAUCAUUGUUAGCUAGUGUUAUUAUUGAUUUGGUAGUAGUAUUCCUGUCACUUUUGCUGCAUUAAAUAACCUUAUUAAUCAAUUGUCACUUGCGAGAAAGCUUGAUAAAAAAAAAAAUCAUCUCCUAAAAUAAGUUGGCUGUGACAGGAAUGGGAGAGGGGUAAUGACAAUCGUUAGUAGAAUCGUUUCGAAACGAUGUAAAAGUGAAUCAACAGGCAAGUUAUCAAAUAUUUGUAAUAAACUCUUAAAACACACAUGUUAUAUACUUAAACUACUGUUCACGACGACCCUCCAAGUUAGCCAACCUUUACAACAUGAAUUUUUAUGUUAUUGGAAUCUGAGUCAUGAACCUUCCGGAACGUUCAUCAAUCUAACAAAAACACUUGCCUUGUUGUAAAGUAAACUAGAAAAAUUGCCGAAUAAUAAACUAAAUACCAUCCGUUAGCCAACCACAAGUGAUUCUUAGACUGUUUAUUCCAACAAAUUGCCGAAUAAUGAUAUAAUGAAGUAUGUAACUACUUUUUGCUGCUGUUUAAGGGAUUCAGAUUUUCUAGUGUCGGCAGUGUACACUUAGUGGUGGCUGCACUUAGUGGUAGCUGAUGAGUAGGUUUUGAAAUUAGAAAGAUAGAUUGAAUAGAUGAUACAUGUUUUCAUCGAGUGAUAAAAUUUACUAUGUAUUCUGUAGUUAUUGUUGUAGUAUCUAUUUACAUAUUUUGUCUUUAACAUUUAAUAUUUACGUCAAUUAUAUUCUGUAGUUGUUGUUGUAAUGAUUUCCACGAAGACUUCAAGUCAUCGUGAGCUAUUGUUCCGAAUUAACCCUUGAGGUUCUUGCGUGAAUAUGUUUGUACUGGAGAACGAAUAUGUAUAUCUAAUGGUGAUACAUAGGACAACUGAACGAAAAAUACUCAGAAACAAAACCAUGAUCUUCGCGCUAUAUAACAUAUGUUUUGCUGAAGAACAGACAGAAAUUCAAAAUCAAACCCGUACGAUUGAGCUUCAUGCGACAAUUUUAUUUAAUGUGGGCAUGGAUAACCAACCCAUUGUUUAUUUAUUUACCAUUUUCGUCUCCGGCAUUAACAAGCAGGAGUACAUUUGAUUUCAUCCCUCCUUCAGUAGAUAGCGAUCGAGAGGAAGGAACUGAUCAGGCAGCACGAGCAUAGGACCGUAGCAGGGAUUGGAAAUUUACCUCGUGAUGAAGGUAGGGGAAAACCAUGAUGCCUCCAUAAACAGGAGAGUUCUGCAGAUAGGGAAGAACAUAAUAAACUAGCACAUUAGGUGGGAUGUAACCGCCCUCAGGUGCGAUAUCUUUUGAGAUAGGUAUUCCCAGGAACAAUAGAUUAACGCCUGGAUAAUCAGACCAAUUGUCCCAGCUCCGGAAGAGGAGACUGGUAUCGUUUGGAGGCUUAAACUGACAAGAUGGGUUGUCGAAAAAUUCCACCCGCACCUGAUCAACGACACCAGUUCUGAUAGUUGUGUCAAGAGCAGGGUCAGGAAUAGGACAUUCCGCAGCUACGGCUAAGAUGACAUUUGGGUAUCCCUUAAGUGCCCGAGCAAGAUCAUCCAAGUAAGUCGUGUUUCCGCUGUGGAUGUGAAGCUCUACGCCAUCUAAAACAGCUGUGCCGAAUGGACGGUCGCUUGAUUCACCGCCUAAGUAAGUGUUCCAGACAAAGGCUGCCACUUCUUGCGCAUCUUCGACGGAAGAAAGCCUCGGUUGUCCUGCGAGAGAAAUAAACACUUUGGUCUGAUGUUUCUGGCAAGAUUCUAUGUCUGAUGAGCUCGGCAAAGGAUGAAUUAUGUUCAAUUCAGGCAUCUGGCCGCUGCCAAAAUCUUCCAGAAAGGCAAUAUUCACGUCGGUAGCGAAUUCUCGCCUGCAGAACUCAGCCAAACUUGAUGGUUCUUUAUGGCCUCGGCCCCAGUAUUGGACAAUUCCGGCAGCUUCGGAGGACCCAAUCAGAGAAGCAAUCAACAGGAAUGUUAUUGCUGAGAACAGUGGUUGCAAAGAGGCAGCCAUUUUUUUUCUCUUUCUUUUCAGUGAUUUUUGCAGCUUUGCUUUGGUGAGUUCACUUGCACAAUGACUGACCAUUUUAUAGAUGAGUUUAUCUCAAGUGGAUGUUCAGCAUCUAGAAUAUCCAAACAUCCGUACAACAAAACGUGAAUGGCACGAUUUCUCAUUUCUGCUCUCAAAAAGGUGAAUGGUAUUAUUUUUGUGUUUCAAUAUUGCUAGAGACUACCGUUGUGCUCGCCUAACCUCAUCCACAACUGGACGAAGAAAGAUCUUUUUCUUUCUUUUUUUUUUCUUUUGGGACAUUACAUGGCAGCUAGGGGGGGGGGGAGUGGAUCCUUGAGAUUAAUGGGAAUUGAAUCAUCAUUGAAUUAGACGAGUGGUCCAAACAUCCUCUAAAUUUUAGAAGAAAUUGCAUAUCAAAUGAUAAUUGAUGAAAGAUAAAAUUCGAACCUCGAUAAGAGAAAACUAGGAGUCUUGUUUGAAAUGUAAAAUUUUCAUGAACAUUCUUGAAGUAAAAAGAGUGCUCAAGUAGCCUACGAAAUCCUUCAACUAUGGUACAAUAAAGUGAAAUGGGUGCCUUUCAAUGUGCAAUAAUGGUAGGGGCAACUAUUCUUCUAACUGCUGCUUCAAAUGCAAUUUUUAAUUUACACUUUUUACCAUCUCUCUAUAUCUUUAAAAAUUAAAGUAACCUGCACAACAUGCCCUUACUAUGUGCACAAAUAUUCAUACCGAUGUGCAAAACUUUGGAAUGGUCCUAGUUGUAUAUAUUAGUAAUAGUAGAAAUGUAAAGUUCAAUACUUCCACCUCAAAAGUAACUGCAAAAUAUGUCAGUUGGAAUGAUCCCAUUUAAAGUUCAGAUCACCCCUUAUUUAAUUAUGUUAAGUUCUUAAUAUUUUCCCAUUCAAUCCUUCAUUCAACAGCGGUGAUGGUGCUGUGACGUUUGGUCUUAAGCAAGAAAAUUUUUUUCCUCGCCCUCAGUGUGAAUGUGACUCUCAUAUAUAAAUAAUCUCAUAGCAAAACAUGUUCUUACUGAUCGCAGAAGUGAAGCUUGUACACAGGAAUGUAUAGAUUCCAGUUACAUCCAACUAAUCACUGUUUAAGCAUACGAAUUAGCCAUCACGGGCUAAGACACAGAGGCAAUUCCAGUUGGUUCUAGAUAAAGGGAUCUUCCUCUAACCUGCUGUCACAUCCUUUACAGGAGCCAAGACAGCAGGAACUAUGUCCACAGCCGAGAUAUGUCUCUGCUGAAACAUAGCCAAAUUCCUUGCUGUCCAUAGCUAGUAUAGGCUCAAAACCCUCUUCUCUUUCUUUGCUUCUUAAAUUCCACCCUUCAAUCCUAUGCUACUCAUCCUAUUUUUUAAGAAUUUUAAUUUAUUUAUUUUUUAAAAAAAUUGAUUCAUGUCUUCUGUUUGGAUCCAUGUCUUUGCUGCUUUUAAUUCCUUAAUUUAACGUAGCCCCAAACACGGCAUAUAAUAGUCACUCUCUUAAUAAAUGCAAUUAAUUAAUCAUACCAAAUAUAACGUUUGGAUUAGGUAUUGUAGCACACCUUAGUUUUAUUCUGUUCCCUAUUUUACUUAGUUUCAAACAUGCCCUAUAAUAAUCAACCCUCUAAUGAUGCAAUUAAAUAAAUAUACCAAAAAUAUCUAUACAUAUUUGAAACUAAACAUAAUUGUAUCCAUAACAAUCAAUAUAAAAAAUUAACUAAAAAACAAUCUUUGACUAACAUAAACUAAUAAUCUAAGUUCUUGUCCUCCAAAGAAAUAACAAUAUUCCAAAUCAUAUAAGUUGAACAGCUUAGCAAAUUAGCAAAAUUGACUAACAAACACAACACAAGGUUACAAAAUAUUCAACAUUUCUGUAUUCUUUUUCUAACUAAAAUUUACAAAUCAUACCCAAAAAAAGAACUAAUCUAAGUUCCUAUCCUCUAAAGAUAUAACAAGAUUCCAAAUCAUAUAGUUGAACAAUUUACCGAAUUAGCAAAAUUGACUAAAAAAAUACAAAAAGAGAACAACAAAAUUUUCAAUAUAUUUUGUAGUGCUUUCCUAAAUAAAAUUUAAAAAUCAUACCCAAAACAUAAAAAAAAAUGAAAUAUACUUAUCAGAUACUUCAAUUAUUAGAAUCAUCAUGCACAGAAAAUAAAAAAAAAUAGCUCUAAAUUUCAGCCCAGACCUAGAUCUAAAAUUGGACCUGAAUUAUAUAUAAUCGGACAUUAUUCAUGCUAUUAGAAUUGAUAGAUUUUGUUCGAGCAUAAAAAUGAAAUAUAAUAUUUUUACCUAUUCUUUUGUUACACAAUCAAAAUUAAAAUUAUGUUAUAGUUAUGACUAAAAGAAAUGGAGAAGUAUAUUUUGCAACUACUUAAACUUUUUAUUUAAACUAAAGACAUAUUGAAACUAGGAAAAUUAGUUUAGAAAAGAUAAUAUGAAAAUAAUGCACAAAAUUUGGCUCUAUAGAUGUAGCAUCUACAGAAAGGACGAUUUGCAUUUAGGGGUUGCGGGGAUAUGGAAAAGUAGCAUGGAAUGGGGUUGAUGCAAGGUAGAGUAUGAGGACAAGGGAAGAAGGAAGUAGGAAAGUGGUGAUGUGGGGGGUCGUAGGAAAAGUUAAAGGAAGCUAAAUUUACGCAAUGAUACUAAACUACUUAAAGUUUGAAAUUCCAAUUGAAAAUAUUAAUAUUAUGAAAAUUAGUUUAGGAACGACAAUUCACAAAAAUUACACAAAGUAUGGCUCCAUUUUGAUGGGUUACUUUUAGAAAACUUUCAUAAUGGGAAUAUUCUUUUAAAAUCUUUAUAUGCAGUAUUUUUUGGGUCUUUUUUGAAAAUUUUUGGUAUGUUUUCAUUGAUGGCAUUGAGUAUACUUAAAAAUGGUAGGUAAGUAAUAAAAUGAGUCUCGGGAAUAGAAAAAGAUAGUUGGCAAUGGGAGUGUAGGUAGCAAUUGGUAAAGAUUUAAGUUGACUAAGUUUACUUAACAAUAUUAAAUUUACUAUGAAUUAAUCCUAUAUACACUGAUAGUGUAUACGCUAUCAUUAUUAGAUAAAUGAUAUAUGUGCAAAAUUUGAAUUUAAAAUUCAAAAUUUACUCAUAUGUCAUCCAUUCAAUCGUGAUAGUGUAUAUAAAAUUUAUUCAUUUAAGUUAUAGAAAUAUUAGAUUUACAUUUUAUUAUCACUUUAUGAGAUUAAAUUUACUUAACAAUAAAAUUUACUUAACGAUAUUAGUUUCAUAUUUCUAUUUUACCUAUUAAAUUUACUUAAUAAUAUUGCUGUAAGUCCUAGAGCUGUUAAUUGAGUCGAGUAUUUGGCUGCCGAGCUCGACUCAAGUUUAAUUCAAGUCGAGCUCGACUCGAGCUCGUUAGGAAAACGAGUUUUAAAAUGUGUUCGAAUUCGAGUCGUUAAAUGUACAUGUGGCUCGACCAAUUUUUAUAUCACUCGUGUCCUCAUCAAAAUGGGUGCCCGUCAAAAAAAAGUCUCUGCGUGAUGCAGAGAACCUCUGCGUAAGUGUAGACUUUUCACAAUUCCACGUGUAUGGAAUUUUUUAGACAUCGACCGUACAGACGUGGAUUGGUUUGAUACAGUCAGGGAUUUAAAGGUCAAAUAUCAUUUGGAAUGAACGGUUCCUGUAGCUGAUAGGAGGACACGCCUCCCAAGGGAGAUUUCCUCAUACGGAAUAUCUUUCAUUUUCCAUGGCGGAUUGAGACUUCCAUCGUCCACUUGUCCCCACCUUACCCGUCGCCAAGUUUUUCCACACAACUAAUCAUUCCGAUAUCUUUAAUUGAAUGGGGAUAUCUUUUGCAUUUGUCUUUUGUGCUGUUACGUAUAAAAUAGUCGAGUUGAGUUAUUAAAGUUUUUUAUUUUAAAUGAAAGUUUUAAUUGUGCUGUGUAUUUCUGGAUUUUAAUAUAUGUUUUUAUUUGUCAUUAAAGCAAUAAUUCGUUAAUGAAUUAUGUUUUAUUAUGAAAAAAAAAGAGAAUAGAUACGUCAAAUAAUCUACUGAGCACCUAGUAGUAAGUAAUACAAUAAAUAUUGUUGAAGAUCUGCACUCUUGAUUGGCCUAUCUGUGUUGCAUUUCCUGACCAAACUGUAAUUGAUGGAAUUUAGAUCCGAUCAAGGAUUACUCGACAUAAAGGAGAAUAAUUGCAAGAUCAUUUGCUUAGCAAAGUAUGUGGAUCCCACUCCGUACGUUUUGUCGGCUUACUCUUGGAAAUGGACUAUUCCAUCCAACCGGCUUUUACCCGAGAGGUAAUUCUGACAUCAUUUCACAUAUUUUCUGGGAAAAUUUUUAAGUGGUUGCUUUUUUUUUUUUUUUGAUUGAAACGAUAGAAUUAAGUGGUUGUCAUUCUAUCAACAAUUUUCUAUAGACAUAGAUAAAUGAUGCUUUAUCUGAACUUUUUUUUUCCAGUAAUAAUACAUUGUAUAAUCUACUUUAUCCUAAUUUAAAAAGAAGGAAAGCCUAAAGAGGUUUGUGUUAGAGGUUAGUAGGUAUAUAAACUCAACUAAACUAAGAAAGUGUUAUGACACUACCCUUACAUUUUUUUUUACUGUCAAUAAAGUUUGAACCCUUGCCUACAGUCCAAAAGGGACUUAAGUCCAUAAGCUCAGUGGCUUGAAGCUUCAUCUGAACUUAGCUUUUGUGAAUAUUAUUCGUGUCACGUGACUGCAUUGGAUAAGCUUAUUAUCAACUGCCACUUGUACUAACUGACAAGCUCUUAUGUAGUUGAGAGAGAGCCUGAUAAAUAAAUUAAAGUGACGGUCAUGGUAAAUUUCUUCUCAUGAUCCGUGAAUGGAGUUAAUUGUUGCUGAAAUACUCUCUCCGUUCCACUUUGAUAGUUCUGUAUUUCUUUUUUAUCUAUCCCAAAUUAUAGUUCACUUUCUAAUUGAAGAAUGUAAUUGUAUUUUAAUUUUCCUAAAAUAUUCUUAUUUAAUGUAAGUAGUUGUUACUAUAAACCUAUCUCAUUUAAUGAGAGUUGAUUCUUUUUUUACCAUCAAUUUAAGUUUUCAUAAAAUUAUACCAUAUUUAAUGUGGGGGUAUUUUAGAAAAAUAGCAAUUUAAAUUUACUUUUCCAACAAAGUUAACUACAUUUUCUUAAACUGUGUGAAAAAAGAAACAGGACUAUCAAAAUGGAACGGAGGUUGCAGGAAAAAGGGGCGGGAAUGAUUGUCAACAGAACCUUUCUUGAACGGUGUAAAAGCGGUUCAACGAGUUGCGUUAAUUCGCCAUCAGCUUGCAAACCCUUAGAAUAUAAUGUUAGCUACUGUUCAUAUUGUCCCGUACUGCCAUGCUUCAUAUUGAGUCAUUACGAAUAAAAGCCCUAACGUUUCAAUGUCUGGACUAAGUAUAUAAAGUGAUAAAGUAAGAACCAAAAUCUAUCAAGCGUAUUAUCAUUCUACUAACAAGAACUGGACUUGAUUAAUGAUAAUUAUAAUGCCAUAGCUUUCAACUGGUUCCAAGUGAGAACUUACAAAAAGUAGUUCAACUCAAUGACAGCUCCUGUACUAAUACUUGUCACCAAUCCAUAAGCCCUGACGUCACAAAGAGGAAAAGUAAAAGGCAAAUAAGUAGCAACUCGAAUCCGAACUCGAGUUGAGCUCGGUCAAUAUCAAAUUCGAAUUGACCAAAUCGAACUCAAAUUUGAAAAUAUUUAAUUUGUUAGCUCGCGAGCCAACUCGAUUAUAUAAAUAUAUAUAUUAUUUUUUAUUUUAUUAGUAAAAUAUUAUAUAUAUAUCACUAAUAUUUUAUUAUUUAUUAAGAAAAAUUAUUAUUUUAUUUAUUUUUAAAAAUAAAAUAAUUUUUUUUAUUUUUUUAAGCUCGACCUUGAGUUGAAACUCGACUCGAACUUUACAUUUUGAGUUCGUUGAACUCAAAUUCGAGUUUGCGUUUCAUAAAAUUAAAUUGUGAUUCAAUUCGAUUAGGUCAAAACUCGACUCGACUUGACUUGUCCCGUUUCGUUUGCACCCGGAAGGAAGGACCUUAGUAGUGAUUCCUAUCAAUUUCUUUGAUUUAAGGUUUCAGUUCUGCCUGGGAAAAGGUGAAGAGGCACCACUAGCAUGGCUGUAGACCUAGUAGCUACAAUAAAGGCAUCAAGUUGCCCCGCCAAAAUCCGGCCAACCUCCAUCGCCAAUUAACCAAAAGAUAUUUUUAUCAUAGCUAAUAUUUGAGAAUAGGCAAUAAGGGAUAACCUAAGAUUAGUAAGUAGAUUUUUGACUAAAGGAGGAGAAGGCAUUUGGAGAGGUAGGCAUGCUUUUUUUUUUUUGUCGGUAACGGUAGAUAUCUUAUAACCUAAUCUAGGCUAAUCUAGGGGAGAGGGGUAAGGGGAGAUGGUCAAUUAAAAUCAGCCACAUAUUGUGGUAAAAUUUGAAAGAGAUAGGGAUAGAAUUCCUAACCUCCAAUAUCACCAAAGAGGGUGAUGAUCACUGGACCAAAUGACCGUGACAUUUGGAGAGGUAGCAUGCAGUUGAGCAACUUUAAGAAAAUGCUCGAGAUGAGGAAGACGAAGAGAGGCGAAAUUUCCUAGCUAGGGGAGAAUCGAUCGGGUGGCUUCAACCUUAUUGGUCCAUGAAUUUCUUUGACCCAUGGCCCUUCACGCGGUGUCUUCGUACGUCUCGCACUGGUACUAGACUACUAGGUUGUUUAUCGGCCGAUAAUUUGAUUAAAAAUUCAAUUUUUUUUUUCAAUUUUUUCAACAAUGUCAACAUCCAAUUACCGUUCAAACUUUUAUUUAGUAAUUGGAUAUUGCAAAUUGGAUUACGACCGAAUAAUUAGUAUUUCAGUAAAAUAUCCAAAGUUUUAGAUUGAUUUUCUAAUAUAUAUUAGUUAAGUAUAUUUAAUAUGUAAUUAAUAAUGUAAAAGGUUAUUAAUAUGUUCAUUAAUAUGGUUUUAAGGUCAUAUAUUUGUCUAUAAACAUAUAUUAUAACUUAUAACACUAUUGAUUGAUACAUCAAUAUGCAAUAUGAUAUAUUAAUAGGCAUGAAAUAUAUAAAAUAUUUAAUUAAAAUAUGAAAUUCGGUAACUCAGUCGGUGGUAAUCGAAAAUUCGAGAAUCGAAAUUCAAUAUCAAAUGACAAACUGUUUUGCCAAAAUUUAAAAUUGGAUCUUAAUCGGUUUUUCCAAAUUUCAUUUUACCGACAUCCGAUUUUCGAUCUAAAUUGAAUCAAUUGAUUAUUCGAUUUUUCUUUUUUUUUUUUUUUGGAAGUGCGAGCACCCUUAGCUCGCUGGUACCGGGGUAGCCAGCCAAAUUACAAUUGACCAGCUGAAUUGACAAAUCCUGAAAUCCAAUUCCAGUCUCUUUCUCGUCUUUAUAGCAGUCUAUCGCAAAAGAUUUCUCGUCUUUAUUGUUCCGUGCUUCAACCGGUAAACUUAGACGGCGAUGGGUAUCUAUUUGGGCAGGGAAACACCAUGCAUUUAGGUGUCACUGCAUGACGUGCAGGAAAAGUUAUCGUGCGGGCCAUGACUUGAACUCAUCGUGCUCACUAGCUAUUGGCUACUGCAUCAAACACGUACCCCAAAAAGGAACAAGAGAAAAAGGGUAUCCAAUGGAGCAUUUCUUUCCUUUAGUAGUUUCUAGCUAAUUACUUUUCUUUUCAUCAGCCAAAUUCAAUUAGGUGAGAUGAUUCCUCGAAACUACUGAGCCAAGCUCAGGGGCCACCCACUUUAAGUGAUUCCGAGACAGGUAAAUAAUGCGUUCGUAGUCUAGGUCAACGGUGAUUCAAUUUUUAUCGAUUUUUUUGGACUAUUUUAGAUUCCUCUCCUAAUAUAAAAUAAAUAUAAAUCUAUCAUAUCCGAAAAAAAAAAAGAGAUGCUUCCUCGAAGUUUAAUAGUAAAAAAAAGUGGACAAUAGUAGAAACCCAAAGUUUCACAAUCUUUCAUUUUUUUUGGUUCUGGGGGUUUGGCUGUAUGUUACGUGUGUCGUCGUAUCAAAAUUAUACCAUAGUGAUUUAUCAUUUUGAUCGACGGGACAAAAUGAUAUUUUAUUAGGAGAAUGUUAUAAUCAAGUAAAUAGUAGAACUCCCAUCCCUAAGUGUCUAAUUAAUACAGACACAAACGGAGGUGUGAUUGUAAUCUAGAAACUAAACCAUAUACCACAUAAGCGGAGCAAGUGGAAUCUACUAUUCACCCUCUUUUUUUUUUCAAAAACGAAAAAGAAGAAAAAAAAAACUUGUUUGUUUAAGGGUGUAAUUGUAGUUUAAUAUGAGUUUCAAUUUUUCCCCCAAAAAACUAAUUCUGUCCCUCAUGUGUAGAUCAUUGUAUUGUCAUAAAAAAAAAAUAGUUUAUUUCCUUAUCUUAUAAAUCAUAACCUAUCAAGUUUUGCAUAUUGCUGGCCAAAAUUAAUUUUUUUUUUAUUAUUUGUUGAUAUUUUAUGAAACAUUCUCUCAUAUCCAACUAUAAACAAAACAGGAGGAGGAGUUGCGGUGUUAAAAUUUUGUGCCAUCUUUUACAUUACCUUUUUUGUUCUUACACUAGGGUAAAAUGGCCUAACCAUAUUCAAAAAUUACUUUUUCUAGUUUUAUGUGGAAUUUUUAGCUUUGUUGCUAAUCAUUAUAAUUAAAGGUAACUAAUGAAAAAUAACUACUCGUAUUUUCACCAAAGAUUAUAAAAACAAAAUUUUUUUCAACAUGUAAAACUGAUUUCUAGAAAACUACUUUUUACAACUAAAAAUUAUAACUAGGUUAGGACUGAUUUUUUUGGAUCGUAAUGUAGGUAUCAAUAUCAAACUAAAUCCAAAUAAAAAUGAAUCAGUGUUUCCAUUUUAAUUUGUAUGUCACCAAGGAUUUCUCCCACAAGCACGCAAUGAUUUUCCACCAUGAUUUCAAAUUUGAAGACUUUUAAGUUGUCGUCGUGUUAAUAUCAACUUUGUAUAGUAUAGUGUAUAGUUCCUCCCUACUUCCUACAACACAGAACUACUUCCUCCCUACUUCCUCUCUACUGCUUUCUAGCUUUUCUGUCAAUAACUCUAUGAACUACUCAUUAAUGAUUUUUAAGUAUUUUUGAACCAUUGAUUAUGGUAGCUGGAUAAAUUCUUAUAGUCAUGUAAUGUUGAUAUACGUUGCAUCUCCUGGAUUAGUUUUCUACCUCCUUCACCAUUGCAAGAAGUAAUGAUUUGGCAAUUUGUAUAUUUCAGACUAGACAGACUUGACUUUAAUUUCCAUAUAUCUUUUUCUUGUUAUAAAUAUUGAACUUUAAUUUUUUUCUGAAAUUGCAAAGAGAAAACUACAUUUCUCUAUUUUUUUAAUAUUGCCACAAAAUCUGUAGAUUAUUAUUGAACAAUAUAAAAGAAAUAAAAUAAACUAACUUAAAGCUAACAUAUAUGUGCCACAAAUAAUUUUACAGCCAAGAUAGAGGUUGAUGGUAUGUGAUAAGAAGCCCUUUCCAGAUACGCCUUCCAGGAGAGAAUUGAAGUAAUGGGAACGAAGUUAAAUUGGCAUUGUAUCUACUGAUGGAACUGUUAGAAUCGCGUCACAAUCACUACCAGUAACUCAGCCUAUGAUUUGUUGUUCCUCGAAAAUUGUUAUCCAUAUUAAAGUUCGAAAAACAAUUUAACCAAAUCGUAUGGAGUACUAUUCAUCCAUUUUUUUGGUCUUUACUUUAACAGCACAACUUAGAGACAUUAUUGAGUUUCUGCAAAUUCUUUUGUCAAAAAUGGCCCAAGGAUGAUUUUUAUUUGAAAACUACAAUAUUUUUGGUCUCUUAGCUUUUCAAAUUGUCUAAAAUAAUGCUAGAUUUCUGCUCUAGAAUACUAAUUUAGUCUUUCAAUUGUCAACUAUUGCACUGAAUUUUCACUUAUUUAGGAGGUGGCUGGGGAGAGGGGAGGAGAGCGAAGAGGGAGAAGGAGGAGUGGAGAGGAGAGAGAGUUAGGGAGGAAGGGAGGGAGUAAGAAGGGGAAAAAAAAAAAGAGGACUCCGCCGGCUACCGCGAGCAGUGGGGAGGGAAGGAGGAGGAAAAUCAAUGAGGUGGAGGAUAUGAAGAGGAAAGGAAAGAAAAGAAAAAGAAAAAAGAGGAAAACUUUUACACAUUUAAAUAAGUUUUUUAUUUUAACAAAUUUUACAGUAAGAUACAGUAAAAUUAUAUACAAACAUACAAAAAAUUCAUUCGCUAAAUAGGGCCUACAUAACACACAACCUGGUAGUACCAAUCACUAUUUCAGUACACAAAUAAUCAAGAGUUAAAACACACAUGAGGCAAGCCAAGCUCCCAAGCCAAUUCGCAGCUGGUUCUAGUCAAAGGGAUCUUCCUCUAACCUGCUACCACAUCCCUCGCAGAAGCCAACACAGAGAAAGUAUGUCCAUAGCCGAGACGUGUCUAUGCUGAAACAUAGCCAAAUUCCUUGAUCUCCUUAGCUAGUAUGCCACAAUUUUUGAGAGAGAGAGAAUUAUAUUUGGAAGUGACUGAAUUCCAAGAUUACAUGCAUCUAUCAGAAACUAAUAUUGUUUUGUGGAUACGAAAUUCAAAAAUCUAAAGAAGUAGGUCAUCUUUGAAUAAUAAAAACUAAAGGGCAUCCACACUUUACAUAUGAUUUAGACUAAAUAAUAAUAAUUUGCCAUAAUCAACACGUUGGAUGAUGCAAUUGGACGUUCAAAAAGAAUCAAAGAUCAAGCGCAAACGUGUUGGUACUAUAUUAUGAAUUGGUUUAACAUUAAUUUGCCUGUAACCUCCUAUAGAACUCACCAAACUAAGCAUAAAUGCAUGGGGCCCAAGCACUAAUUAUUUGAGCAAGAUUAUUUCCCACUUUGUGUGACGACAAAAAGAAUGUGGGAAGUUCUGUAGUCAUGUGAUAUAGAUCAAGGUAGCAUCUUCCAAGGAGCACUUCCUGAGUUCCUGUGGCCGAUACAAAUACAACGUUGUUGAACUAAUCCCCAAAGGACCUCUUCGUGUUGUCGGUUUUGCCAAUGUCUCGUCUGUAUCACCUGUUUACCUCCAUUCAUGUAUAGUUGCCAUUGUGUUCGUUCUAUGCAUAUAUCCUGUUGUUUGGUUUAAGAUUCCUCAACUCGAGGUAGGAAUUGGGAAUCCCUUUUUGUUUGGAAGGCAAAUAUUUUCCAGAAAAUGUUUUCCUGAUUUUCCAUUGUUUGAUUGGGUUAUUGCUUGCGAAAAUUUUCCACAUAAAUGAACUGAAAUUAUUUUUCAUGUCCGACUUGUAAGGCUAUUCAUUCAUGCUCCCUUCUUUGCUGUUUUCUCUCUUUUUUUUUUCUCUGUCUCUGUCUUUCUUUCUCUCAGAUACACAGUGUUAGGAAAUUGGCUUAAAUUCUUUUAGGUAGAUUUCUUAUUUGGUGUGGGAAGUGACUAGUUUCCUAAUUGGAUUUAGUUACUUGAAGUAGUAGUCAAGUAAAGCCCUAUUUAGCAGAAAUUAGAUGCUAUUUCUAUAUGAGUUUAGGAAAUAGUAUUGGUUUCCAAAUUGUUAUUUGGUUUUUUGGCAGUAAUGUUCCCUAUAAAUAGGUGGGUUGGCAUACUACACACACAAGAAGACACGCAAAAGAAGACACAAGGGGCCUCAUGUAGCCUUAUACAUGGGGUGUGAGAGAGGGUUCUUGGGAGAUGAGAGAUGGUAUACAAGGGUUGGGUUUGGGUUCAAAUUGUAUUCUUGUAUAGGGUUUUUCUCUCAUAAUAAAGAACAGGUUUCUCUCCUUGGAUGUAGGCUCAAUGGUGGAGCCGAACCACGUUAAAUAUUGUGUGUCGUUUAUCUUUCAUGCUUGUGGCUUGUUUCUCAUUAAAUUGUUGUGCAUUUGAUAUCUCAAUAGUUGUUUAUUCCGCAUCUGGAUCCCAACAAGUGGUAUCAGAGCCAGGUUGCGAGACUUGACUGCUCAAGGUUCAUAGUUGGAUCCUAGUUAACUAUUGAGAUCAAGUGGAUUGAUAGUUGUCACCAAUUGAACAAUUUAAUGGGUGGUAUCCUUGUUUCAAUGGCUUGGGAAAAACCAUUGAUGGUGAAGGAUGGGAAGUCGAAAAGCAUGGAAAUGCUUGACAGUGAAUCUAAGCAGGUGAUUCAAGGGUCAAGGAAAAGGUGGAGUCCAAUGUUGAUUUUGGACGUGAAUCGGUGGAGACUUUCUCACAUAUCCAACGGUUGAUUCUUCAUCCCGGUGAAUUUUAGAUUUUGGUUAUGUUUUUUGGGUGGUGUGGCACGUGUCCCAAAGAAAUAAGGAGAUCUAAUUUCUAUGCGCCAGAAGACUCUGACAAGUACGAGUUUUUCGUUUUAGGUGGAGUCUUGAAAACCACAUGUGGCGAGACAGUCCUGAGAAUGGGAAGAAGUAUGGUGACUUUACCACUUGAUUGUCUCAAUGGUUAGGGUUAGAGCUCACAGAAGGGAAUCCCAGAUUGCAAGUGCUGAUGAGAAGAAAUCCUGCAAAGGGAGACGGUGAAUUGAGGCACCUUCUCACGAGUCAACUGGAGGUUGGACUCGGGGUAACUACACAUGUUCAUUUGCCGAUUGAAUCAAUUUGGUAUCAGGACUGUAUUGAUUCGGAUGUGUAGUUUGGUACCAUAUUAUUUGGUAGUUGAAGGCAAAUGGUUUCUAAAAGAAAUUUUCGCCAAGGUGGAGAUUUGUUAGGAAAUUGGCUUAAAUUCUUUUAGGUAGAUUUCUUAUUUGGUGUGGGAAGUGACUAGUUUCCUAAUUGGAUUUAGUUACUUGAAGUAGUAGUCAAGUAAAGCCCUAUUUAGCAGGAAUUAGAUGCUAUUUCUAUAUGAGUUUAGGAAAUAGUAUUGGUUUCCAAAUUGUUAUUUGAUUUUUUGGCAGUAAUGUUCCCUAUAAAUAGGUGGGUUGGCAUACUACACACACAAGAAGACACACAAAAGAAGACACAAGGGGCCUCAUGUAGCCUUAUACAUGGGGUGUGAGAGAGGGUUCUUGGGAGAUGAGAGAUGGUAUACAAGGGUUGGGUUUGGGUUCAAAUUGUAUUCUUGUAUAGGGUUUUUCUCUCAUAAUAAAGAACAGGUUUCUCUCCGUGGAUGUAGGCUCAAUGGUGGAGCCGAACCACGUUAAAUAUUGUGUGUCGUUUAUCUUUCAUGCUUGUGGCUUGUUUCUCAUUAAAUUGUUGUGCAUUUGAUAUCUCAAUAGUUGUUUAUUCCGCAUCUGGAUCCCAACACACAGAUCAUACGCACUUAGGGGGAGAUCUAGACUUGAAAUUGAAAGGGGCUAUAGGGAGAUCGUGAAGGAUGCUAGAGAAAGUUUUGAUGUAUGAAAAUGAAAUGAAGUUGUUAAUUUUGUGCUAACAUACUGUAAAUUUGAGGUAUGUUCACGUUCAAUGGACAUUAACUGUUACCGUUUGAAUUGCUAUUUUCUGGAACCUUUUUUUUUUAUAAAAAAUAUACUAUAGUGAUUUUGAUAUAUGUAAAAUAAAAAAAUAAUUGAAAAAUAUGAUCACGAAAAACGUAAAAAUUUUUUGAGGAAAAAUGGCUUUUCCAAACAAUUGCUGAAACUUUUUUGAGGUGUUGAUUAUGGUGGAAGAACGGUGGCUUUUAGGUAAGAGCCUGAGAUUUGGUAUGGGCUUGUGAACUAAAGGGUAUCUUAACUGCUUGAAGAAGAGUAAGUUCUGACAGUGGAUCCCUCAAGAAUUUGUCAUCCAUAAGUUAAUAAUUAUCAACCAACGUACAUAGUAGUUAACAAAAUAUACCUGUUCUUGUUCUCAGGUUUUCACUUUUCGGCAUAAGAAACCCACAAAAACACUACAAAUUUGUAGCAAACAGUACUGGGACGGAGAGUGGAUUAAUCCGGAGAAGAGAAGGGGGCGUCGGCAAUCCUGUGUUUUAAAACUCGGACCGGACUGGCCGGUUCGACUGGUCGAACCAGGAAGUCGAACUCGGAACCGGACAAGUGUUCAGUCCGAGUCAUGUUUAAAAACCAGGUAAGUAAAAAAUCGGUCAAAAUCCGGGUUUGACCGGAAAAAACCGGAUUUUCCGGUUCAAACAGUUUUUUUUUUUUAAAAUAAACUUUUUUAAUAUUAUGUUUUGACCCCUAGAUUGUUAAAAAUUAUUAAUAUACCUCAAAUAUUUCAUACUUUAUCAAUAUUUUCUUAAAGUUUGGUAUUGUUUUUCAAUUAAGUCCAUAAUUUUAAUUCUAAACUUGUUAAUGCUCAUUAAAUAAUAUAAAUUGUUAAUUGAUUGUUCUAAUUUCUUUGUAUUUUCUUGUUCAAUAUAUUUAAAUUAUCAAAUAUAUAUGAAUAUACCUUUAUUAAUAUUAACAUGUUAUUAGGUAUUUUAUAUAUAAUAUUUUAAUUUUUAAAUAAUUUUUAUUUAUGACGUCAUCCGAUUCAACCCCUAUUGAACCCGAUUGAAUCCAUUGACCCCUGACCCCUAAGUUUGAUCGAGUCGAUACCUGGUUCGGUUCUGAAAACACAGCGGCAAUCACCUGGACUUGGUUCAUAUUACACGCCCUGCUGUUUUGCUAAAUCAGUGUGUGAUGGAAUAAUCAGGCCCCUCCCUCGACAGUUUCAUCUAUGGUAGAAAGCUGACUCAUGUGUGCAUGGUGGGAAGAGCAAAGGAAAUUUGGCCAAGACAUUAUUGUGGGGCUGGGCAGGAUGCAGCUAUUAAAUGAACUACUGGAUAUCGGGGUUGAUUAUGGGUCCCAUUGUAUUUCUAGGAGAAAUAAAAUGCAAGUCCCUCAACAACUCAUGGGCACUCAUUUGCACCCAAAAAAUUUGGCAUCAACCGGGGAGCAGCUCCCCAGGCCAAAUUGGUCAAAUGCAAUAAUCCUUGGAGAUAUGUGGAAAUGAAGUCAUGUGUACUCCAAUCUUAAACUAUAAAUGCUUACCUGAUGAAAAGUUAUAACUGUUUAAAUUUAAUUAUUAGUUGACUUAGAUGAGUAAUUAUAUGCAUAAAUAAUUAAAAGAAAUUAAUUUUAUAUAAAUUUAAUUUUUACAAAAAUAAAUUUAUUAUAAAUUUAUAGCAAUUUGGCAAUUACAAUACUUAGGGUAGUUAUAUUGGCAAAAUGUGAUUAAGUAAUUAGAGCAAAAAUUAAAAGGUUUUCCCUAAGGAUAAAAUUGAAAGUCUAGAAAAUGACAUUAAAAAGCUUACACUAACUGUGAUCCCUCUAACUUUUUAUAUUGCAUAGAUAGUGGCUUUUUAACUGGAAUCAAAAUUAUAGAUGAAUAAUUAGAAACAUAAUUAACAAAGUGUUACAAAAAAAAAAAAAACCAGAAUCGUGACAUAAUUAACGUGGUAGAUUUUAAUUUAAAUUUAGAAAUUAAAUAAGUAAUCUUAUACGCAACAUGGUGACUUUCAAAUCGAUAUCAAAUUUGUAGAUGAGUAAUUAUAAAUAUAAUUAACAUAGUACACCAAGAAACUAGAAUUGAGAUUAUAGAUAAAAUAAUCACAAACAUAAAUCACAUAAUACAAAAGUUUCAGAGAUUGAACGUUUGAACUAUUGAAAUAACUAGAUAGUUACCAACUUAAGUUCUAACUCCGCAACUAGUUGUAUUGGAUAACCAAUUAUAGUAAAAAUCAAAAUUUACUCUUAAAAGUAAGUGUUGAAUUAAAAGAUUUUGUUGUGAUAAGGAUUAUCUAAUGAGAGCAAAUCCAUUGAAACAAACAAGCAACGAUAUCUAGAUAAAUGUCAAUUACAAUCUCGUAUUCAAAUGAAUAUACAUAUCCAAACAAUGCACUUAACGAUAAAGUAAAGAGGUGAGACCCAACACAUUAUUUAAAACACAAACAUUGUUUAGAGUAGUUACACUAGUUAUAUUGGCAAAAUGUAAUUACGUAGUCAGAGCAAAAAUUGGUUUUUCUUUAAGGAUAAAAUAGAAAGUUUGAAAAAUGACAUAAAAAUGUUUACACUAACUACGAUCUCUCUAACUUUAUAUGUUGAAUAGAUAGUAGCUUUUUAAUUAGAAUCAAAAUUAUAGAUGAUUUAUUAGAAACAUAAUUAACAUAGUACUUCAAGAAACUAGAAUCGUGACAUAAUUGACCUAGUAGAUUUUAAUUUAAAUUUAGAAAUUAGAUAAGUAAUCUUAUAUGUAACAUGGUGACUUUUAAAUUAAUAUCGAAUUUGUAGAUGAGUAAUCAUAAACUUAAUUAACAUAGUACUUCAAGAAACUGGAAUUGAGAUUGUAGAUAAAAUAAUCAUAAAUUUUAGAAGAAAAUACUCUCCUUUUUGAAUAAUAAAAAAUUUAGAGUAGCAAGUAUUAAUCUCUUUUCCUUGGUAAUCUUAUUAAUAUUGAAAAAUAUAUAUAAAGAUUAGGAGGGGGAGUGGGAGUGAGAGAGAGAGAGAGAGAGAGACCUAGAAUGUGUCUUAUGCACUAAUAUAAUAUUAAGUACCAAUCAUUCAUUGACUUUUCUUUUUCUUUACUUACAAUUGAUUAUUAAUUCAUUUUGCAUACUCUCAAAACAUUAAGUUUAAAAAAAUUACUCAUGGUUUGGCGAUUGCAUCGCACAUUUCAUGAAUUUUCACAAAAAAAUGAUCUACACAAAUUAUGGCAUGCAUCUAGGUAAUUAGUGUAUACACUAUCAAUUUAAUUUAGAUUAGUCUUUUUUUAUACCAUCCAUCCAAUAUUUGGGAGCAUCACUAAGUGUUGUUAAUACACAUUUUUCAUCUUUUAAAUUCCUUUUGUAUCUUACUAUUAAGAGUAUUUAAUUUUUCCUCACAUAUAUAAAAAUUAUGGUUUCUUGAGUAGUUUUGUUAAUUAAUUAUUUACUAGUUACUCGCCCUCCUUUCUGUCCCUUUCUUUUUUUUAAGCACUUCAUUUGUAAAAUUUCAAUUAAUGUUAGUAAUUAGCAAAUAAGUAAAUACCGUACAAAAAUCAUCAUAUUAUAAAAAUUCUUUUACAAAUUAAAUUUCAAAUUCAAAAACCAAUUGUCAUGAAAAAAUACAUUUUUAAAUGACCAUAAAAUUAAUUACUUCUACAUACAUAGGGAAACUUAAUGCAACAAUGGUACGAAUUUAAGUGAUUCUUUGACUUUUGUUCUUUUAUUUAUUUAUUGCUUAAGUUUAUCAAUUAUUGAUCCAUUUUUCACUCUCUUAUAAUAUUCUACUUGUUUGGAUUGUAAGUUAUUUGGAAUAUUUUUACUGUAACACUUUUUAUGACGUGAUGUAUGUGAGAUAAAAAGCUAAUUGGGAAGAUAAAAAGAUAUAUUAAAAAUUAUAAUAAUGAUGUAAGCAAAUAAAAUUGAAAAAAUAAUACUUAAUCCAAACAAACCUUAUUAAGUUUAAAAGAGUUAGCAUCUAUACCAACCAAUUUAUAUCGAUAUUGUUGUCCACUACUUCAGGUAAUAUAAACUUUGCCGGUUACCUUUGGCCCUUGUCAUCUUAGCAAUAGUUGAUCUGACUUUCCACCAUAGAAGCAACCCUACCUCAACAAUAAUGGAAUUAGCUGCCACGCACGUACGUACCUAUGCAUGAAAACUGACUUCAUAGCUUUAUAGCUGUCCCCUCCGUGAAUAUGAAUAUGAAUCAGAAUCUGAAUCAGUCACUCAGGACUUUAUUAUCUCUGAACGAACGCCCAUAAACAGCCCCUGAAACACUAAAUUCUGGCAGCUGCUCUUUGUCGUGAUGCCAAAAAUGGUCCUUGGAACAUUAAUUACGUGAAACACUACAUUCUGGCAGCUGCAGCUCUAGCUCUCUGUCGAAGAUGCCAAAAAAAAUUAUCCUGGCCUACUUAAAUCAAUUUUGAACCAAUUAAUUUGCAUCAAAUUCCAUGACUUGCAUUUUUCUCUCGAUUUUUUUAUGAAACUCUUUAGAUUUAUUCCUCUCUUUGAAUAUAAAAUAAAUUUUAUCGUGUUUGAUAAAAAAAAUUUAAAUCAAUUUUGUUUUAACUCUCUGUCUAAUCUUCAAGGAUGCCGUGUCACGACUAUCGCUGUGCUUCCUCUCUCCUCUCCGCCAUGUCUGAACUCUGAAGUCUCAACUCCUCCUUUCCUCACUUUCAGUUUCAACCACAAGUCACAAGGCUUCAACAACCUACCACUCUCAUCUCCUCCUCCUCAUCAUCAGGCCUGAGAAUUCUUCCUUUUUUUUUUUUUUUUCCCUUAUCUUCUUUGUCCUCCAGAAGCCCACUUUAAUAUAUAUUUUUUUGGUAAGUAGCCCACUUUAAUUAGUAUUAUCCUCACGAUAAGUUAGAUGUUUGAACAGACCAUAUUAUUUUGGAAUGCAUUUUUAAAUUAAAGGAAUUAAAAUUAAAUCGAUGAUCUUACAUCAAAGAGAUUUGUCCCAAAAAUAUAUAUAUAUAUAUAUGGGAUGGGGAAGUCGAUUUGGCUUAUAGCAAUAAAAUACUCCUACAAACUUGUCGGUGGUUGGUUGAAAGUUGAAAUAUCUGGCAGAUAUAAUUUGCAGAUAUGUUUGUGUGUCCUCUGAGUGAGAAAGAGCAGGAGAAGGAUGGAGAAACAAUAGGAAGCAAAGUUGGAGGGCUGGGGACUAGCUAAGAUUGGUGGAGAAGGUGAUGAUGGUGUUCGGUAGUUGGCAAGGAUUGAGUUAAAGUGCAUUGUGGAGGAAGUCUCAACCAAUUUAUCGUGCUUCCUCUUUCCUCUCCGCCAUGUCUGAAGUCUCAACUCCUCCUUUCCUCACUUUCAGUUUCAACCACAAGUCACAAGGCUUCAACAACCUACUACUCACAAGGAGGUUGAUGUUUGAACAGACCAUAUUAUUUUGGAAUGCAUUUUUAAAUUAAAGGAAUUAAAAUUAAAUCGAUGAUCUUACAUCAAAGAGAUUUGUCCCAAAAUAUAUAUAUAUAUGGGAUGGCGAAGUCGAUUUGGCUUAUAGCAAUAAAAUACUCCUAAGAUUGGUGGAGAAGGUGAUGAUGGUGUUCGGUAGUUGGCAAGGAUUGAGUUUAAGUGCAUUGUGGAGGAAGGAACGAUCAUCAAAGUUUUCCGACUCCAAAUGGUGUCGUUUAGUUUUAAAGCGAAAACCUUGGGCAGGACGUUCUGUGUCCGUCCGUCCAAAUGGGGUGAAAGUUCUCGCGGGGUAUAAGCCUCACAAAUUUUUAUUUUUAAAUAUUUUAAAAAUAUAAAAAUACACACACAGACACACACAUAUAUAUACAUGUGUGUAUGUAUAAUAUUAAAAAUACCCAAAAAGAUAAAGAAAAAUUAUAACCUUACGUGACUAAAAUAAAACCUGCUUGUGUAACUAAUGUCAUCCCAUGAACAGAAACCCAACAAACCAUUGUAAAGUUCGAUGAUUAUUUGUAUAAAAAACUUGUUGUCAUCCUGCAAACUAAUGAUUACAGUUGCGAAAAUCCUUUUCUAGGUACCUGUGAGUUUUGACUAUCAAAGCAAGUGUCUUUCUCCUAUUUCUUUAGAGUAUCCUCAAUGUGAGGCACAAAGUCUUGCGAAAACUCUUUGUAUCACUAAAUUCCAAACUGAUAUCCAUGUUUGCCAACUUAAAUUUAUAGGCUGAUCUAAGAAAAGUUUUCAGAAAUUGCAAGUUCAGUUUGAGGGUUUCAACUUCUUUUAGGCAAGUGAAGGGAAAAUCCAGUUUGGAUGUUUUUCUGAAACUUUAAAAAAAGGGAAAAAGUACUGGGAUUUUAAAUGUAUAUAUUUUUUACGCCUCAAAAAAAAAAAAACUCCUUAUCAUUACUUCCUUAUCUAUAUCCUACUUUUCCAUUCUUUUUUUCAACAAUUAAUUAUCUUCCUUUUUUCACUUUCUUAGUUAUAGCAACUUUUAAUGAAUUGUAUAUGAGCCAUUCUAUGUAUGUAAAUUGUGUUCAUGAAUCAUCAAUAUCCGUCAAUAUUUCUACAAAUUUAUUGCACAAAAUGUUUACUACAAUUUUUUAGAUCUUCAAACUAAAUUCUUUUGCAUCUUCAAAAACAAAAUCUUUACUUUAAUUUUAUAAUUACCAAAAGUAAUUUUCAAAUUAACAGAAUCUUUCAACAAAUUAUUUGUACUCCCGCUGAAGUAACGGUUAAGAACUAGUACAAUUCAUGUUCUUCUUGUUUAAUUUUCACCACACCUCCACAUAUAAAUUUGAGAAGCAGAUUGGAUGACAAUUUUUGAAGUCAAUUUUUGAAGCUAUGCAUGCAUCCAUCAAAACGGUGUCCAUUUACUCGUAAACUUUUCAAAGUCUUAUAAUUAAUUUCGUUGAAUUAAAUGAAUUGUAUGAUGCAAUUGCAGAGAAUCUCCAUCCAAUUGGAAACAUUUUCCAGACUACGUGUAUACAAUUAAUCCAUCGUUUGGAAUUUUGUACCUCAAUCAUACACGGAAUUUUGAAUUUAACGUCAUUGCCCAAUACAUGGAAUUUUGAUCUAUUCUUUUUUCUUGAAGGCAACACUUUUUGAUGUCACAUUAAUGUCAAAGAACGUCUUCAUUGGAGAGAGAAAUUUGGAUUAGCUGGAAAAAGUCAAAAAAGAAAAAAGAGUUUCAUACAUACAUGAUACAUCUCCUUUGGGAGAAACUAAUAGAGGUCAUCCAAUUAAGGUGUUUGUCACGCUACAUGUAACUCACUUUAUGUAUAAAUGCUUUUGAAUGCUCAAAUAUCUUAUUCUCAUGCUUUAGAAUUUGUUAUUCUCAUGGAAAACUCUUGUUUGGAUUGUAUUUUUUUGGAUUUUUUUAUUAAAAAAUUACUGUAACGAUUUGAUAUAUGUGAAAUAAAAAGAUGAUUGAAAAAUGUGUUUACGGAAUAUGUAGCAAUUUUUUUUUUGAAAUUGCUCUCCAAACAUUGAAAAAAAAAAAAAGAAAUUGCAGUGUAUUCCUCGCUACACAGUGUAUUCCUCGCUUCAUUUUUCUGGUGUUUGUUUAACUUUUGAAAUAUUUUCACUUUUAUCUCUAUCUUUACUUUCUACACAUUAUAACUACAUACUUCUUCUCAUGCAAAAUAAGAAAAUUUAUCUCAUUGUUUAACUUUAAAAAAUCUUGGAGAAAUGUAUAUAUGAAUAAAAAAUAUCUCCUUAAGUAAUAAACAAAUUGCUGGCCAUUUAGUAUCAAAUAUCAAUCACAUGCAAUGCUUAUUGUGACAUAUAUCUUGCACUCUCACUGCUGAAAGUUUUUCUAGAAAAGAAUGUCCAUAUUAUACAUAAUUAAUUACUAGCAUAGGAUGGGCAGGAUGAGGUUUUUUUUUUUAUUUUGAAUAUACUAGGGGAGGGUUGGGUUGGGUUGGGUGGUACGGGGGAGGAAGUGUAAGGAAGAGGUCUUGGGUUCAGUAAGUUUGGAAGGGAAGUUGUUUUCCAUAAGAUGAGUGAACAUAUUUUACAUAAUAAAAUGUUUUCAGUAACUUUUGUGCAACCAAACACGGGAAAUUAGGAAAAUAUUUUCACCCGAAACAAACGGACCCUACAUGUAACUCACUUUAUGUAUAAAUGCUUUUUGAAUGCUCAAAUAUCUUAUUCAACGAUGUAAACUUUUGAAUGAUCAAAUUUUAAUAAGGAACAAGUACAUAAAAAAAGAAAAAUCAAAGUCUGUACAAAUAUUUUUUUUUUUCACAAAGUGUGCACCAUUUUUGGUAACCAUCCAACACGCAUUGCGGACUUUUUUUUUUAAGUAUUAAUUUUGUCCCUCAUGCUUUAGAAUUUGUUAUUCUCAUGGAAAAUUCUUGUUUGGAUUGUAUUUUUCUGGAUUUUUUUUAUAGAAAAAUUACUGUAACGAUUUGAUAUAUGUGAAGUAAAAAGAUGAUUGAAAAAUAUGUUUACGGAAUAUGUAGCAAUUUUCCUUUGAAAUUGCUCUCCAAACAUUGAAAAAAAAAAAAGAAAUUGCUCUCCAAACAAGGCCUUAGAUCUUAACGUUGCUUACUUCUUUAACGUUGACCUAUCAACUUUAAGUUAUGUGACAAAUUUCCAAUCCUUUUAGUGAUUUUAUGCCAAACAAUUUUAAAUUAAUUUAGAUUACAAAAGAGAGGAUCGUAAAUCAAAAGGUCAAUUUCACAACUAAUUGUUCACUGAUUUUACGGCAAACAAUUUUAAAUUAAUUUAGAUUACAAAAGAGAGGAUCGUAAAUUGAAAAAUCAAUUUCACAACUAAUUGAUAGAGAAUCAAAAUUUCCAUGAAUUCAGCACAAAUUUUCCACAUGAUGGAUGGACUAGACCCAACACGUCGGUGAAAUUUCUACCCAACUUGGAGCAUUAUAUGUGGCCGUCGAGAUUUAUUUUGGCUUUCUUUGCUUCUCCUAAUUUUAAAUGUAUAUUUGAAAUUCUUGAUCUGUUUAUUUUUCUUUUAGCCUCAAUCUUUUUAUAGUUUGAAAACCACCCAAACUUUUUUGUUUAUUAAAAAUUUAUCAAGUCAGAAUAAAAAGAGUUUAUCGAGUCUCAUUGAAUGUGUUAAACAAGGUUUUCACGACAUAAAGAAGUACAUAUAUACACAACUAUAAAUUAAUGUUGUAUACAUUAUUACUGUAAAAAAAAAAAAAAUUUUCUAACAGGUGUAACUAUAUGAUAUAUGAGCAAAAAUUGAAUUUAAAAUUUAAACAGUGAUAAUAUGAUAUUUAUCUAAACCUACUUGUAUAAAAAAAAAAUUUAUACGCUCCAUAUAAACAAUGUAAAGAGUUUUCAUGAAACAAAGUCAAAAAAUUUUUUUAAUUGAAGAACAAUCGCAAGCUCAUCUACGUAGCAAAGUGUGUGGAGCCUAUUUUGUAAGUUAUCAAUUUUUGAUUGGUUUAUUCUUGGACAUGGAUUAAUCCAACCAUAAGUGUGUGGAUCCCAUAUUUUGCAUGUCAUCAAUUUUUGGUUGGUUUUAUUCUUGGACAUGGACCAGUCCAACCAGCCAUUAACUAAGCGGUCCAUACCAAUAAUUCUGGGUAAAUCUUUUUUUUUUUUUUUUUAGCAUGUGCUUUUUUUGAUGAAAAAGAUAGACACAUUUUAUUAAUGAUGUUACAGGAAAUCGUUCAUGAGUUGCUUGACAAAAUUUGGAAGGGAAUUUCAAAGAGCUUAAAAAAGAUUAGCACUCUUAGCAUGAUGGGUUAAAGUAUGAGCUGCCUUAAUUCGCUUCUCCUGGAAUCCAUUGAUUCAUUGAAUAUCAAUACAAAGCUGAUCUAAUAAUGCUAAAUGCACGUCCUCAAUAAUUGGACCUGAAUCAGACACGAUGUCUUCUUUGUCCUGUCUUCUUUGCCAUGAAUAAAUCUUAUAAUUGAGGCUGCAUCUCCCUGCAAUUUUGGAUCAUUUGUGGGCCUCAAAAUCAAAUAAUUCCAGGGAACAUCAGAAGUCAAUCGGAACGAAUAUCACAAUGGACUUGAUUGGAACGAAAAUGCCUCACCAAUCCCACAAUCCAUUCCAGUUGAAGUUAAGAUCAGCAAUAUCGUUAAUUAGCCCCUUAAGCUUUGUUUAAUCAUAGCUUACGCCUAUUGUCUUACAUCUGAAGCAGAUACUCUUUUGGUUUUUUCAUCUUAAGCAGAUACCAUUUGCUAUAUCGCAGUCAAUUAAAUAGUUAAACCAUUUGCUUGCUAGACUGACGAGGGAAAUUAACAAUAUAAACCACUGAACAGAAAAUCUUUUUUUUUUUUUUUUUAUAAUAAAAUAGAAUAAUUUUAUUAAUCAUGAGAUUGAAUCUACAACAAGUGCAGAACAAAUAAAAGAUGGAGGAGAGUUUCUCCAUAUACAAGAAUCUGAAAAAUUAAUAGCAUACUUAGCAAAGUUAUGAGCAGGAACAUUAAACAACCUAGAAAUCCACGAAACUUCCCAACACAUGAACUCUUGACAUAAGACAAUGGUAUCAUCAAUCAACAAGCCACAUGAUGAAUCAUCAGAUUCCAAACGGUUCAGCAUUUUGAUGACUUUUUGUGAAUCUCCUUCCAAAACCAUUUUAUUGAAACCCAAAGAUUGUAGUAAUUGAGCCGCAUGUUUGGCCGCAUAUGAUUCAACCACAUUUGGUUCCAAUAUCCCAAGAAUUUUCUUGGAGAGGCCAGCAAUGAAACUUCCUGUAUCAUCUCGAAUAAUAACACCAACUCCUGAUGAUUUAUCAUCCAUAAACACAGUUCCAUCAAAGUUUGCCUUAACAAAACCUGCAUUGGGUCGUAUCCAAUGACCUAUUGAUAACCUUGAUUGAAGAGAGGUAGACGUAUCGCACUUAUCUUUGGAAUUUGUUUCAUGGAAUUGAUUUAGGAAUGCUAUGGACAGGGAGACCAAGCUAAGAGGAUCUCUGUAGGGCCCAUCAAAGAUUGCUCCAUUUCGAUUAUUCCAUAAAUUCCAAAGAAUAACACCUACCAAUUCCAUCUCUUUGCUUGAUAGUUGCCAAAGCUGGUUGGGAAGCCAAGACGUAACCUGAUCAGCCGAUUGCAAUUGAACUUUCUGGCUUAAGAAACUAAGUGCCCACGAUUGCACAGCUACAGGACAAGUUAAGAAGGUAUGAUCAAUAUCAUCAACUGGAGCGAGACAUAAAGGGCAAGAUGUAUCUAAAUGGAGCCCUUUAGUAUUGAGUUUUGUGCUGGUUGGUAGUAUAUCUUUACAAGCCCUCCAUAAGAAAAUUUUAAUUUUCUCAGGAAGAUUCAAGUGCCAAAGCCGAGACCAAACACUGUGCUUUAGAGUACUACUACUUGAUGGCAAAUUCUCCCAAUUAGAAGAUCGCUGCUUGAUCAAGUGAUACGCACUCAUCAUAGUAAAAGAUCCAUUCUUUGAAAAGUGCCAAAUUAGCUUAUCUCUAUUGUGAGUGUCUCCAAUUGGAAUGCUUUGAAUUAACUCAAUCUCCUCGGGCCAAAAAAAUUCUUGCAAUAAGUCAACUCGCCAAAUCUUUCGCUCUUAAUCUAUUAGGCAAUCAACUGUGGAAUUCUCCGGCAAUGCAGUAGACCGCGACACGAUUUUAAAAGUAGAUGGCCGUGGAAGCUACCUAUCUUUCCAGAUUUUGAUAGACUGGCCAGAACCAACUCGCCAUCUGCUUCCUGCUUCAAUAUACUUCCUGACCUCACAUAGUCCGCGCCAAGACUAGGAAGGCCGUGAUCCUUCUUGAACUUGGAAGAAAUCAGUAUUUGGAAAAUAUUUAGUUUUAUAUACCCGAUGAAGAAGGAUAGAUGGUUGUGUAGCAAUACGACCACUGAACAGAAAAUCUAGCAUUUAUAUUAAAUAAAAGAAUUUUACUGAUGCAUAUUAUUUGCUGCAAUCCUUAAACCAUCCAAGCCUAAGAAUUUAAAAUAAAAGGUCUACAUGAAUAAAAUAAAAGAUUGGAGAUUAAAGAUGCUUUAGAAAAAAAAAAGGGGGUUAAUUUAAAGGACUAAAUGAACUACUUGCAAAUUUUUUUUGUCCUUCCAGGUUAAAUGAUUUGUCGUUAAUGGUAUUGAAAUAGUUAAAAAUUAAAAUUAUUGGGACUAAAUGUAUUUUCAUAAAACUUUAAAAGGAGAAAAUGGUGUAACCCCAUAAGUUAGAGGUAUAAAGUGUCAUCUUUUCCAUUUGUAAAAUUUUCAAUUGGUUUGCUGAUUUUCUGUCAAAUAUUUUUACAUUAAUUUGUUUUUCUAUAUGCUGACAAUACAUACUAUCAAAGUCGGAUACAUGACAACUGAUAUGAAUUUGAGUUUGAAAUAUAAAUAUUUUGCAUAUGUAGUAUGCAUCAAACUCCGUUAACGUAUACACUAUUCGGGUACAAAAGAUUAAUCAUAAUUUAAAUUUCAAACGAGAGUGUCGAAGUUGUAGGAUAACGUGAAUCAGCAAAUCAAUUUAACAACUAGCUGCUGCCAAGGAAUCAACAUUUCCAUUAGUUGAAUGCAGAAUAUGUCUCCACAAGAAUAUCUUGAUUUUCCACGGCGGGUCAUUGUCCAGUGCGUAGGACCCAAAAAAAUUCCAAUGGAAAGUUAUAGGUGACAAAUUUCAUAGAACCAAUGUAGAUGGGGAGGCAAAUUUCACACACACAAAUAUGCAUAGGGGAAGAGGAAUAAAUCAGUAAUAUAUUAUUAAUUACACAAAAUAAUAUGGUUCUCAAAUUUCAUUCUUCUCAACUAAUACUAAUAAUAAUAAGACUAGACUAGGUAAUUUGGUAAACAAGUCUUACAAUCACAAGAAAUUUUCUAAUAAAAUACUAAUUUCUAAACAAUAAAACUACUAUAAUUUAAAUCAAACAGAAUUACCAAAACCAUAACAUAAAAUAUUGCUAAAUAAUAAUAUGAAAAUUUCUAUUUUUUAACCUUGAUUUAACAUUGUCGGACACAACACGUUGUCAAGUUAUCUGCAUAACUUAAUCAAGUUUGUUUACUAGUCUUCUUGUCUAAAUGUCGCGUCAUCUUAAUCCAGAUCGGCAGAUUGAAUGACCAGAAUCAAGAUAUUAUCAGUUAAGUCAAGACAUUACUAGGUUGCCUAUCUAACCACCACCACGUUAGAAAAACAAAUUUUAGCAAAGUUAUUCUGUCUUCCAAUAACCCUUUAUCAUUUUUCUCCUAAGCAUAGUGUAUUUUGUUGCACGUUCGAUGACAAAUCGGAAACGAAUAUGCGAAUGCAAACAUAAACCAGAAUUAACUUGUAAAACAAAAGCUACUCACCUCAAAUUAUUGAUUUCAUGCUAGUCUUCGGAAUCCCAUUAUCUAUUUUUUCCAGUUCAUAUCACCAAUCUGUGAGUAUAUUUCCAAUUCAAUCCCUUUUGGAUCGUUUAUGUGUCCCAAUCAAAUAAUGCACCGGAUUUAGCCGUCAGAAUGAGCUUAGAUUAAAAUGCAAAUGCCUCGCCAACUCCAUGAUCCAUAUCCAUUAAAAGAGCUGAAGAUAAGAAAAGUAGAAGAAUAUUGUUAAUUUUGCAUCUUAAGUAGAUUGCUUUUCCUAUAUCGUAGUCAGUUAAAACACUUAAUCUUCACUGGCUCGACUUUUCCAUGAAGACUUUCCGGUCGUCGGCAUUUUAUCACUUUCAUGUAGUUCUUCAAACGCAGAAUGGUGAAAUGAUGCUUUUAAACGUGUUUAAAUGAAACUGCUAAUCUAACCAUACUUUGUCAAAUAAACCAAUAUCAAAAGAAAUCCAAUGGAGCAUCAUCUUCUUUGUACUCCUUCGUCUAUGCUAAUACUGUUGUUAUUCAGUUCUAUUCUUGUGACCAGCCAGUUCUCGUUUGGGAGCAGCAAACAAGCUUAUAAUUAUUCAAAUUUCUCUUGUAUUGAGAGUGAAUGACAAGCUCUUCUUCAAUUCAGAGAUGGGUUAACAGAUGAAUCAAAUCAUCUGUCAUCUUGGAUAGGAGAAAACUGUUGUUCAUGGAAAGGCGUUGGUUACCAUCAAAUCACUGACCGUCUGGUGAAAUUUGAUCUACACAAUGCGAGCCCGUUACGUUCAAAUGAUAUAUUUAUUUACUGAAAAAAUUGCUUGGGAGGCCAAUUAAGUCCAUUUUUGGUCAAUUUAACCAAUUUGCGACACCUAAAUUGAAGCUGGAAUAAUUUUUCAGGAAUCCAAGUUCCCACGUUCCUUGGAUUGUUGAAAAACUUGAGAUACUUAAAUCUCCUGAAUGCAGUGUUCGACGGUGAAAUUCUAGGCCAUCCAGGAAAUCUCUCAUGUUUACAGCAUUUAGAACUUGGAGGUGUAACUCCAUUCUCAAUAAAAAAAAAAUAGAGCUUAGAGAAUCCGUAAAAUAUUCAAUUUAUUUGGUGAUUUCUUGCAGGAAACUCCCAUGUUAAUUUAACUGCAAAAGAGAGGAUCAAAACUUAUUUGUGUAGCAACGUAAAUCAGUAAACAGUUCAUCAAUAUUAUGAUUGCCAAUGCGAUACUUGUCGCCUUCCUGUUACAAGUCUCUUUCCAACGGGGAAAACCUACAGCAUAAAUGUCCAAUUAAUUCAUAAAUCAGAAUUAACUUGUAAUUGCAAUUAUAAGCCGCUCGUCUCAAAUUCUGAUUAGUUUCGUCCUAUUCUUCAGAAUCCCAUUGGAUAAACUCUAUCAUUCCCAUCCAUACAAAGUUGUGUGCUUAGAUUUGCUUUCUCAUCUGAAUUACAGGUCAAUCCGCCGUCACAAUGGGACUUGAUUAGAACGCAAAUGCCUCACCAACCAUAUUCCCAUUGAAGUCACCGUAAUCCAUUCCCGUUGAAGUCAAGAUUAGCAAUAUCGUUAAUUAGCCCCUUCAGCUUUGUUUAAUCAUAGCUUACCAUUGUUGCUUUGUACAUCUUAAGCAGAUGCCUUUUACCAUAUCAUAGUCAAUUAAAUCGUUAAGAGUAAAACUGAUAGUGUAUAUAUCAUCGUCGUUGAAUGCAUGAUAUAUAAUUAAAAUUCAAAUUUUAAAUUCAAAUUUACAUUACUUAUCAUUCAUCCAAGGUUGGUUGACAGGAUAUAUUCCAUCAGUGUAUAAAAGGUUAACCCCAUAGUUAUAUCGUUUCCUUGCUAGACUGUCUGAUGAGGGAAAUUAACAAUAUAAUCCACGAAACAGAAAAGCUAGCACUUAUAUACAUAAAAAAAAUGAAACAGUAGAAGUUGUUUUGGUGGGGAGGGGUGUUGGGUGGGGGGGAGUGAGUGUUUAAGAAAGUUAGAAAAAAAGGGGAAAGAGUAAACAUAUCUAACAAAUAAACAUAAAUUGGAAGAAAGUAAAGGUCAGUUUCUGUUUUAACAAGAACAGUUAAAAUUUUGUUCACGCCCUUUAACGCCACUGAAGGAAGUAAGACAAGAGCAGCUUUGGUAAGAGAAAAAAAUAAAAGGGCUAAAUGGAUGAAAUCAAAGAUUGGAGAUUAAAGAUACUUUGGAUUAAAAAAAAAAGUUAAACUACUAAAUGAACUACUUGCAAAACUUUUUUUUCCCUUCCAAAUUAAUUGAUUUGUCAUUCAUGGUAUUGAAAUAGUUAAAAAUUAAAAAUAUAGUGAAUAACUAUAUUUUUCAAUUGGUUUUGUGAUUUUUUGUCAAGCAUUUUUAUAUUAAAGAAUCUUUUGUACAUUAAUAAUGGAUACUAUCAAGAUUGGAUGCAUGAUAACCGAUAAGAAUUUGAAUUUAAAAUCUAAGUUUUGCAAAUGCAACAAUCAUUAAACUCCAUUAUCCUCUAUAUUAUCAGUUUAUAAAAGAUUAAUCGUAAUUAAUUUAAAUUACAAAUGACAGCGUUGAAAUCGUGUGAUAACGUGAAUCAGCAAAUGAAUUUUACAACCAGCUGCUGAGGAAUGAACAUUUCCAUUAGUUGAGUGCAGAAUAAGUCUCCAAGGAGAUUUUUUUCCAGAAGAAUAUCUUGAUUUUCCACGGCGGAUCGGGACUUCCAUUGGCCAGUGGACUUGCAGUCGUCGGAUGCAACAGACGGUCAAGUUUUCUACGCAAAUUAAUCAUGUUUGUUUACUAGUCUUCUUAUUUAAAUUUCAUUUCAUCUAAAUCUAUAUCAGCAGAUUGAAUGACUAGACUCUUAAAAGAUAGGAAAAUAUUGUAGUAACUAUCGUUAUGGUAACUAAAUAAUUUUUUCCUGAUAUAACGGGUUAUUAUACUUUUAACGAUCAUUUGAUUACCUGUUGGACCUAUCCACCUAAAUAGGAUAAUGCCUAAAACUAAGGAAGUAAGUUUCUCAUCUAAAAUAGUAAGUUAACCAUAAUAAUUAGUAACUUUUGUGUCUCAAAAGGUAAAUUGGAAUAAAUAUAAAACUUACUUUUUAAAGAGAUAAAUUACUAUAUUAUAUCUCAAACAUACUUUUGAGAGAGUAAGUUUAGUUCAAGUAAUAGUAAGUUUUUAUACAUAAAUAGUAAUUCUUACUUAUAACAUAUUAAAUUUGAUUAAUGACCAAAACUUACUAAUUUAUGGCACAAAUGUACUAUUUGGCUUAAAAAACUUAUAACAAACCAAUACUAGGAAGUUUAUUUGAAAUAACAAUAAAAUGUUUUAUUAAUGAUUAAAUCUUAGUACCUUAGUUAGUAAGUACUCGUAAUAUACUUGUAUAAUACAUGAUUAUAUGUAUAAUUUAAAUUUUUUUGUAUUUAUAUAUUUUAAAAUACUAUGAAAAAUAUUUGGACCCUUCACAUAACCUUAUAAAAUAAUAAAAUUUUGUCGUAUUAUAAUUUUGAAUAAUUUUUGAAAAUUUUCAAAGUUUGGAUAAUAAUAACAACACAUCUUCCUAGUUAUAUAUGGAAUAUCACUUAUCUAUGUAAUUUCUAUAAUUUAAAACCUAUUAAUAUAAUAAGAUGACAAAGUUUUAAUAUAUUUAUUGUCUGGGACACAAGAAAUAAUAAGAAUUAAACUUGUAUUAAUAUAGACCUAACAAAAAGAGAGAAAUAGUGUAACAAUUAAUACAACAAUAAAAAUAACAUAAUUAGUAUAACAAAAUUAGUAUAAUCUGGAAUUUUUUUCUCUGGAGAUUACUCACGAAUAUAAGAUCCAACCACUAAACAAAAAUCACAUGCAUAUAUAAUCUAUUGUAUAAUUUAAAUUAAAUUUAGUUCAUGUACAAAAUGAUCCUAAAAUAAUUAGCACACUACAAUACCAUAUUAUUUUAACAAAAAAGUUUUUUUUUUGCCAAAAGUCUCCAAUAUCCAUGACAUAUGUAUGAGAGAUAUUUUACCAUAUUUUUAUCUCUCUUUUUUUCCCAUAUUUGUAUCUCAUGUCUAAUCAUUGAUGUUAAUUUGAGGAAGAAUAUUAUGUAUAAUAAAAUUAUUUUGAAUUUAAUUAACAAGUUGAGAUUUUUUUAAAAAUAAAAGUGAAAUAUUUUGGGAACUUAUUUUUUGUUUUCCCAAAAUUAAAAGAUUGCAAUUUUUUACAAAUUGUUGCCAUAACAUUUCAUUUUCUAGACUAAUUUUUAUCAAUGUAAAAUUAGUUUAGUUAACAAUAAUUGAAGUUUUGUUGGUCCGAGGAUUGGCAUGCUAUUGUUGUUAUUUUACAUGUAAAUAUAUUACCUAAGUAAUAAAAUAAACAAUAGCUACUUAAAAAAAGGAAAUAGGUGCUCAAUUGAUUGCAUUCAAACUACGAAUUCUGUUAAUGAAUAAUUGCUAAAUUAUAAUUUUAUUUACAAGGAAUCAAUAUGCAUCAUAUAUUGACCAGGACUAAAUUACUGAUUACUUAACAAAUUAUAUCUAAACACAUGAUGUGAUGUAUAUUGCAUUUGGUCACCUUUAUACUCAUACCAUUUUCUUUUCUUCCUAUUUAUAUUUUAAAAGUGCAAAAUUCUCUUGAUUAUAUUAGUGAAAAUGCAUAAAAUCUUUUACAAAAUUAUUUCAAUUUAUUUACAAAAUAUUAGUACUUUUAUAGAAACAAUGCAUUGUAGGAAUGGUUUACUAAUUUUUUAGUAAACAUAACUAUUGCAUUAAAAAGUUAAAAAAAACUUGAUUUUAUUAUGCUUUAAUUAGGAGUGCUUUUGAAGAAAAGAAUUUGGGGAUUAAUUUCUCUGAUUCAAGAAUUUUUAGAGAUUGUAAUGAUCAAAAGAAAAAGAAUUUUUAGAAAUUGUAACUCUCUUAUUAUUUGAUAUAAUAAAUUUGAUAUUUGUGCAAGUUUUCAUGUCUUUUUAUUUUCGGCAAUGAAAUUUGUGCUUACAGUUAAAUACAAUUAUGGUAAAAUAUCCCUCAUAUGUAUGUCAUGGAUAUUUGAGACUUUCAGUAAAAAAAUUUUUUGUUGUUCCGUUUGGAUUGGUUAUUUUUUUAAAAACAAGUUUUUCAAAUACAAUGUUAUGGUAAUACACAAUAACUCAAAAAAUAUCUUAUCCAUACAAUAUAUCAAAAAUUUCAAAAAAAAUUUUAUAGUAAAAAUUUUUCAUAUACAUUGUUACAGUAAAAUUUUUCAAAAACACCUCUAAAAACAGUUAAUCGAAACGGAUUAAUAUUAUAGUGCGCUAAUUAUUUUAGAACCGUUUUUUACGUGAACUGAAUUUAAUUUAAAUUAUACAAUAGAUUAUAUGUGCAAGUGAUUUUCAUUUAAUUGUUGGAUCUUUUUUUUUUAUGAACAAUCUCCCAAGGAAAAAAGUCCAGAUCAUACUGAUUUUCUUAUAUUAACUGUUAUACUAAUUUUGUCAUUUUUAUUGUUAUACUAUUUCUCAUUUUGUUUGGGUUUUAACUCUUAUUAAUUCUUGUGUCCCAGAUGUAAAUUUAUUAAAACUUUAUCAUCUUAUUAUAUUCAUAGGUGUUAAAUUAUAAAAAUUGUGAUAUACAAACAAGUGAUAUUCUAUAUUUAACUAGGAAGAUUUGUUGUUAUUGUUAUCCAAACUUUUAAACUUUUCAAAAAUUGAAAAUUGAAAAUGAUUAAAAACUUAUAAUAUGACAAAAUUUUAUUAUAUAUUUUACAAGAUUAUCUAAAAAAUGAAACUACUUUUCAUAGUAUUUUAAAAUAUAUAAAUACAAAAAAAUUUUAAAUUAUACAUAUAAUCAUUUAUUAUACAAGUAUAUUACGAGUACUUAAUAACUAAGGUACUAAGUUUUAAUUAUUAAUAAAACAUCUUAUCAUUAUUUCAAUUAAACUUCCUAAUACUAGUUUGAGAUAAGUUUUUAAUGUAAAAUUGUACAUGUAUUCCAAAAAUUAGUAAGUUUUGAUCAUUAAUCAAAUUUACCAUGUUAUUAGUAAAAAUUACUAUUAUGUAUAAAAACUUAUUGUUAGUUGAACUAAACUUACUCUCUAAAAAGUAAGUUUGGAAUAUAAAGUAGUAAUUUAUUUAUUUAAGAAAUAAGUUUAAUAUUUAUUCCAAUUUACCUUUUGAGGUAUAAAAAUUACUAAUCUAUUAAUGUUAACUUACUAUUUUAGAUGGGAAACUUACUUCCAUAUUUUUAGGUGUUAUCCUAUUUAGGUGGAUAGGUCCAAUAAGUAAUCAAAUGGUCGCCAAAAGUGCAACAACCUGUUAUAUUAGAUAAAAACUAUUUCGUUACCAUAACUAUCGUUACUAAAGCAUUGUCUUAUCAGCUCAAGUCAAGAUUAGCUUGUCUAUCUAGCCUACUCCAUUUUUAAUUUCAUGCUAGUCUUCGGACUCCCAUAAUCUAUCUUUCCAGUUCCUAUCACCCAUCUGUGAUUAUAUUUCCAAUUCAAUCUUUUUUCGAUCAUUUGUGGGUCCCAAUCAAAUAAUGCCUCACCAACUCCAUGGUCCAUACCCAUUAAAAAAGAAUAUCGUUAGCUAGCCUCUUGAGGUUGUUUAAUCACAAGAAAAGUAAAAAGGUUCUUUUGCAUCUUAUUGAGAUAAUUUUGUGUCCGUGACCCUAAACCCUAAGCCCUAAAAGAUCGUUAGCUAGCCUUUUGAGGUUGUUUAAUCACAAGAAAAGUAAAAAGGUUCUUUUGCAUCUUAUUGAGGUAAACUGGUGGAAUUACCUUAGAUUCUAUGUGCGUGUGUUUCUUUGCGCUGUUGAAAGAAAAAGGAAAAUAGGAGAGGAAUGUCAAUGUGAGUAUGGAUUCUUAGUCAAGGCUCUUAAGCUUCCUGCGUUCCCUUUCCCCCAACUCCUUGUUCCUACAUCGAUUAUGAGAGGUGUGUGUGUGUAGGAUUUAAGGUCCGUGAGUUUACCCAGAAGUCAGCAAUUGUAUUUUGGAUAAACUGGUGGAAUUACCUUAGAUUCUGUGUGCGUGUGUUUCUUUGCGCUGUUGAAAGAUAAUUUUGUGGAAAAAGUACUGUAACACUUUUUUGAUAUGAUGUAUGUGAGAUAAAAAGGUGAUUGAAAAAUAUAUUGAUGAUACAAACAAAUCAAUGUGUGUAAAUAAGGUAUAAAUAAAGUGUAAUUUUUUACAAUCCAAACACAUAUUGUAGAUAGUUAAAUACUUGAUUGUUUGCUGGCUCAACUUUUCCACCAAGACUUCCGGUCAUCACAUAGUUUCUUCCAACGCAAAAUGGUGAAAGUGAUGCUUUUAAACUUGUAUAAAUGAACCACUUCUCUGAGCAUACUUUAUCAUAUAGUUCAAUAUCAAAAGCAAUCCAAUGGAGCACUAUCUUCUUGGCACUUCUUUAUCUUUACUACUAGUAAUGUUCUUAUUCAGUUCUAUUCUCGUCACCAGCCAUUUUCCGUUUGGCUGCAGCAAACAAGCUUAUACUCAUUCAAAUGUCUCUUGUAUCGAGAGUGAACGACAAGCUUUUCUUCAAUUCAGAAAUGGGUUGAUAGAUGAAUCGAAUCAUCUGUCAUCUUGGAUAGGAGAAGACUGCUGUUCAUGGGAAGGUAUUGGUUGCCACAAAAACACUGGUCAUGUGGUGAAACUUGAUCUACAAAAUACGAAGCCGUUACACUCAAAUAAUGUAUUUACUUAUUGCAAAAAUUGCUUGGGAGGCCAAUUAAGUCCAUUUUUGGUCAAUUGGACCAAUUUGCAAUACCUGGACUUGAGCAAGAAUAAUUUUUCAGGAAUCCAAGUUCCCACAUUCCUUGGAUUGUUGAAAUACUUGAGAUACUUAAAUCUUGCAAAUGUAGUGUUUGACGGUGAAAUUGUAAUGGUACUAUUAGUUAUGAUCUGAAUAGGCUAAGAAGGUAGAAGGGUGUAGCAGAGAGAACGCAAGGAAGGGGGAAAAUUGUGAGAGAGAAGAGAGGAAAGGAUAGUGUGACAGGAAAGGAAGCUGAAUUUGUUAUAUCUCAUUACAUGCCUUUUCGUCCCCUUUAGGCUUUAUUUAUACAGAAUGCUCCCUCUAGAUCCUUCUGCAACUAGCCAAUCUCAUAACAGAAUGAGCAUACAUACAUGCAUGCCUUUGACAGCUAGCUGACUAACUAAAUAACGGAAAUGCUAACUAACUACCUGAAAAGGAAAGCAUGGCAGAUACAUUUCUGCUCAGAAAUAUCUAGCGAGAAUAUCUAGGGUCAUUACAACACCUCCCCCUUGAGAAUCCUAGUCACUAGGAUUUGAGCUGGAAAUCUGGAAACUGUGAUUGUAUUACCGUGACAUCCUCCCAAGUUGAGUCUUCAGUGCUUAGGUUCACCCAUUUGAUCAACACUUGAGUCACCUUCUGCCUUUUCCUUAUGAUUUCACGAGUAGCAAUCACCCUUUUAGGGGCAAUUUUAAUCUGUCCGUCCGUAGUCGUCAAGGGUAACUCCUGAGUCACAACAUGAUUCUUUGCAGAUGGUUUAAGCAGGGAGACAUGGAAGGUAGGAUGUAUCAAAGAACCAGCAGGUAAUUCCAGUCUGUAGGCCGCAUUCCCCACCUUCUGAAGGACCUUGUAAGGGCCAUAGUAUUUGGAAGAUAACUUCAGAUUUCUUCGGACUGCUACUGAAGUUUGUCUGUAAGGCUGCAAUUUCAAAUAAACCCAGUCUCCUACCUGAAAACUCCUUUCAAUUCUGUUUUUGUCAGCAAAUUGCUUCAUUCGAUUCUGAGCCUUGAUUAGAUUACCCCGCAGCAGUUCAUUCCAUUUCCUUCUAUCUCCUAGCCAUUGUUCCACAGCAGCUACAGGAGUCUCUAAGCCAUUGAGGCCUAAUUGCGAGGGUGGAUAACCAUACAGAGCCUGAAAAGGAGUCAUCUUUAAGGCUGUGUGAUGGUUGGUGUUGUACCACCAUUCAGUAGCUGUUAGUAAGGACUUCCAUUUGUGAGGCUGUUGGAAACAUAAACACCUCAAGUAUGUCUCUACACAUCUGUUCAGCCUUUCUGUCUGCCCGUCUGUCUGGGGGUGGUAGGCAGUGGAGUAAUGCAACUCAGUACUUAGCUUCCCAAACAACUCCUGCCAGAACAUGCUAGUGAACAGCCUGUCUCUGUCUAAUACAAUGCUCAGAGGUAAUCCGUGCAGUUUGUAGAUGUUAUCAAAGUAUAUGUUAGCUAUUGACUGUGCUGUAUACUUAGAGGGUAGUGCUAUUAGAUGACAAUACUUGGUGAACCUGUCGAUGACCACCAGUAUCCCUUCAUAUCCGUGAGAUUUGGGUAAUCCUUCUAUGAAGUCCAUUGAAAUAUGUUGCCAUGCUUGCUCAGGGAUAGGGAGGGGUUGCAGUAGACCUGGUGCCUUACAGUUUUCCACUUUGCUCCUUUUACAGAUAUCACAUUGCUGCACCCAUUCUUCUACCUUCCUUCUCAUUCCAGGCCAGAAGACUGGUCCCUUCAAUCUCUGAUAGGUUCCCAGAUAUCCUGAAUGACCCCCAAGGUGCGAGUCAUGGAAGCAGGCUAUCAACUUCUGUCUCAAGUUCCCCGAAGCUCCAAUGUAUACCCUGCCCUUAUACCUGAGCAAUCCCCCAACAAAAGAGUAAUUUGGGAGAGAAUCUGGUGUAAUAGUCAGGGUUUCCAUUAAUUUAGUCACUGCAUUAUCCCAUUGGUAGCUUUCCACAACUUCAGAUAGCCAUGCAGGUUUCAUGACUGAGAGACUGUGUGUAGAACUGUCCUCUUCAUAGUCUCUUCUGGACAGUGCAUCGGCCACAAGAUUUUCUUUUCCUUUCUUGUACUGUAUUUCAUAAUCCAAUCCUAACAAUUUAGUAAGCCACUUCUGCUGAAGGGGGGUAGUUAUCUUCUGCUCCAAUAGGUAUUUUAAGCUCUGGUGAUCUGUCUUGAUAAUGAAAUGAUUCCCUAACAAAUAAUGCCUCCACUUCGAUACAGCUGUGAUAAGGGAUAACAACUCUUUCUCAUAUAUUGAUAACCCCAAGUUCUUAGGCCCCAAGGCUUGACUGAGAUAAGCAAUAGGCCUUCCUUGCUGCAUGAGUACAGCUCCUAUAGCCUUAUGACUGGCAUCUGUUUCCAGAACAAAUGGUAAGGAAAAAUUAGGAAGUGCGAGGACAGGUGUGCUACGCAUCAGUUGUUUGAGUUUUUGGAAGGCUAGCUCAGUAUGUUCACUCCAGUGGAAAUUUUCUUUCUUCAGCAACUCCGUAAGUGGCUUGGCAAUGAUUCCAUAACCUCUCACGAACCUCCUGUAAUAGCCCGUAAGUCCCAAAAAUCCUCUCAAAGCCUUCACUGAUGUAGGUGCAGGCCAGUCCAUCAUGCUUUUGACUUUUGAGAGGUCUGCCUGUACUCCAUUACCACUGAUAAUGUGUCCCAAAUACUCCACUUGAGACUGUCCAAAGAUGCAUUUGGAAAGCUUGGCAAAUAGGGAGCAAGAUCUGAGUGUUUCUAGGACAGUUUUGAGGUGUGAAAGGUGAGUGUUUAGGUCCGAACUAUACACAAGGAUGUCAUCAAAAAAUACUAGCACAAAUUUUCUCAAGUAAGGUUCGAAUACACGGUUCAUCAGGCUUUGAAAGGUUGCUGGUGCGUUAGUAAGGCCAAAUGGCAUGACUGUGAAUUCAUAAAGUCCAAGGUGAGUUUUGAAGGCUGUUUUUGGAAUGUCAUUUAGGUACAUUUUGAUUUGAUGGUAACCAGCUCUUAGGUCGAUCUUAGUGAAGAGCUUAGCACCAUAUAGCUCAUCGAGUAAAUCAUCAAUGAUUGGUAUUGGAAAUUUAUCUUUGAUAAUCAGGUCAUUUAGUUGUCUGUAAUCAACACAGAAUCGCCAAGUUCCAUCUUGCUUUUUAACUAACAGAACUGGAGAUGCAAACGGACUAUGGCUGAGCUAAAUAAUGCCACUACUAAGCAUGUCUUUUACCUGUUUCUCUAUUUCAUUUUUCUGGUUGUGAGGAUACCUAUAAGGUGCUAACUUGAAUGGUUUGGCAUUUGGUACUAAAGGAAUUUGGUGGUCACAGUUUCUAGAAGGGGGAAGGGAUUUUGGCUCCCCAAAUACAUCCUUGUAGUCCGCAAUUAGAGCAUCUAGGGACUGUUGAAAAGUAAUAUCCAACUGAGUUACAGAGUGUACCUGAGUUCCACUCAUCCUCAGCCCGCAGGCCUGCUUCCAAAUUCUGGUGCUUAGUCCCUCCUUCUCAGCAUUGUCUCUAGGAAACUUAAGGACGGCCUCCUUAGACUCUCCUUGUAGCAAGAUCCUUUCCCCUUCCUUAUCAAAUGUCAUGUUCAACUGCCUGAAGUCAAAGGUGAUGGGGCUGUGUGCAGCCAUCCAAUCCACACCUAUGAUCAUAUCAUAAGGUUCUAAGUUAAUGAUAAACAUGUCAUGAGUGAAUGGUUUACCUUGCAUUUCCCAGUUCAUGUUUGGAAUCAUCCUACUACAGGUCAAAUACUCCCCAUUAGCCACCUUGACCUUGAAGGGCUUGAUAGACUUAACCAUCCCUGGAAAGAGUUGAGCCACAGUAUUUUUGACAAAGCUGUGAAUACUUCCCCCAUCCACCAAGAUUGACAGGGGGUUCCUUUGAACAGCCCCUGCAAUUUGAUGGUAUUGUAAGUCAUCUUCCCCGUCAGUGCAUGUAUUGCCAUUUCCACUCCUUUGGCUGACUGUGCCCCUUGGUACUCAAUUACCUCCCCUUCCUCCAGAUCCUCAGGCCUAUUUUCUACUGCGACAAGCAGAUGAAUCUCCUUCUGCCUACACUGGUGACCUGGACCAAACUUUUCUCCACACUUGUAGCAAAGAUGAUGUUCCCUUCUGUACUGCAGUUCUUCUGGUGUGAUUUUUUUGAAAUGUUGAGGUGUUUUUUUUGACAGCAUUGGCAAUGACAGGUUUGGUAGGUGCCACAGUUUGCUGAGCAGCAGCCUGUGUGGAGUUUCCCCAAGCCAUGGCCCUCUGAUGAGGUUUGUGCUUCCUGUGGUAGGCUUCAAAGGCAUUCUCCUGUAGUCUGGCUAACUCAAAGGCUUUGGAUAAUGUUCGAGGGUCGUGAGCUUUCACCAUGGAUCUCAAUUCAUCUGGCAGCCCACUCAAAAAAUAGGAAAUAUAGUAGUUUUCUGGAAGGUGUGGGGCUCGAAUCGUUACCUCUGAUAACAGCUCCUCAAAAUUUUCUUGAUAUGCUAGCACCGUGGAAGAGAGUUGCAACUUGUUGAAUUCCUCCACUGGAUCCAUCUGUCCUAAGGUUCCAAACCUCUUACACAGCUCUCCAGAAAACUCCAUCCAAUCUUUGUGUUACCCCUAGUAGACCUGAAUCCUUGAUACCACACUGCCGCUUUCUCCUCCAAGUGGAACUCUGCCAACUCCAUCCAUUGCUCCUUGGGAAUGUGCAGAAGCUGGCAAUAUUUCUGCAGUUUCCUGAUCCACUCCCUAGGAUUGUCUCCCCUAAAUGCUGGAAUUUCCAAUUUAGGCGUGCUAGCGAAGAAGGCACUCCUAGCAUUCCUUUCUCCUUGUUCUCUACUCCCCAGGUCUGAACUUCUAGAGUGACUUCCUUCUGGAGAUCCUAAUAUGCCUUUCUCUUGAUUUCCACGGUUCAAGUUGGAGAGCUGCUGCGAGAUGGCUGACAUGAAUGCAUCUAGCUUAUUGCCCAGCUCAACACUCACUGCAUCCAACCUAUCCUCCAUGCUCUGCUUGUCUGCUGCCAAGGAUUCCAGAAUUCCUUGAAUCUUGCUUUCUUGCCUGCGGAGCUGUUCCUCCAUCGUCUUCAUCCUUGUUCCAUCCGCCAUUGUGAUAUGUCGAUCUAAGCUUCCUAGUCCAAGGACCGGAAGCUCUGAUACCACUUGUAAUGGUACUAUUAGUUAUGAUCUGAAUAGGCUAAGAAGGUAGAAGGGUGUAGCAGAGAGAACGCAGGGAAGGGGAAAAAUUGUGAGAGAGAAGAGAGGAAAGGAUAGUGUGACAGGAAAGGAAGCUGAAUUUGUUAUAUCUCAUUACAUGCCUUUUCAUCCCCUUUAGGCUUUAUUUAUACAGAAUGCUCCCUCUAGAUCCUUCUGCAACUAGCCAAUCUCAUAACAGAAUGAGCAUGCAUACAUGCAUGCCUUUGACAGCUAGCUGACUAACUAAAUAACGGAAAUGCUAACUAACUACCUGAAAAGGAAAGCAUGGCAGAUACAUUUCUGCUCAGAAAUAUCUAGCGAGAAUAUCUAGGGUCAUUACAGAAAUUCCCCACCAUCUAGGAAAUCUCUCAUGUUUACGGCAUUUAGAACUUGGAGAUGUAACUCCCUCCUUAACAUGGAAUCGAUUGACAACGAAGGAUCUCGGCUGGAUUGUUGGGCUUUCUUCUUUAGAAGGCCUAAUCCUGUCUGAGGUGAAUCUCAGUGCCGCUAAAGAUGGUUUACAGACAAUUAACAUGCUUCCGUCACUAACAAGCUUCGAAUUGUCUGGUUGUGGACUUUUCAUCAAUCCUCAUCUUUCACAGGUCAAUUUCACAUCUCUUUCUUCCCAUGAACUCGGUGAAAGUAAUUUCAACAACUACACGGUCCCUCCUUGGCUCCAUAAUCUUACUGGUCUCCAUAAUCUUGGUCUUAGCUCUAAUCAUCUUUCCGGUCCAAUUCAUGGCCUAUUCGAACAAAUGACCUCUCUAGUUUAUCUCGAUCUAGGGGAAAACCGCUUUGAUGCAUCAACGUUGAUGUCACUUUGCAAUGUGAGCACUCUUAAUUAUUUGGAUCUGAGUUUUAAUGAUAUGCAAGGGUCGAUACCGAGUGAAAUAAGCCAACUUUCGAAGCUGCAAGUAUUGGAUAUUUCUUCCAACUCAUUAACUGGUGUAUUAUCUGAAGACCAUUUUGCAAAACUCGGAGAGCUAAAGUCGUUGAACCUAUCUGAAAACUUAUUCACUCUGAAUGUGAGCUCCUGGUGGGUUCCUCCUUUUCAACUCCGAGAAAUUAUGAUGUCACCCAUCAAAGUAGGCCCCCUAUUUCCAGUUUGGCUUCAAACGCAAAAGGAGGUUCAAAGUUUAGAGAUGCAGAAUGCAGGCAUUUCGGAUAGCAUACCCAGCUGGUUUGGAGUGCUUUGUUAUGAAAUUUAUAUUGUAGAUUUCUCCAACAACAACCUGACUUGGAAUCCGUUGGAGUUCAAACAAAUGAAGAAGAGUCCUCCUGAUGGUAAUUCUCCAAGCAUAGUUCUAAAGUCCAACAAAUUGGAUGGAUCUCUCAAAUCGUUUCCGUCUUAUAUUUAUGAAUUAGAUCUUUCACAAAAUUUUCUUACCGGACAUAUUCCAUUGCCUGAUGUUGGUCAAACUGUUGCAUCUACUCGUUUUCUCAUACUCUGUGAUAAUCAUUUCACAAGCAGUAUCCCGGAAGACUUGUGCAAAUUGGAAAAUUUAAAAUAUCUGGAUCUAUCCAACAAUUUUCUGUUCGGAAGAGUUCCUCUGUGUUUGGGAAAUUGGCUAGACCUGCGGGUCCUAAACUUGGCAAAUAAUAGUCUAUGCGGUCAAAUUCCGAGUUCACUAGGCAACUUGGGGUAACUUUGGAUUCUGCAUUUGAAUUGAAAUAAAUUCGUUGGGAAGCUCUUAUCCUCAAUGCAGCGCCUGAGAAAUUUACAAAUUCUUGAUCUCGGUGACAAUGGACUUACAGAUAUUAUACCAACAUGGAUUGGGGAAAGGUUAUCAAAUUUAAAGUUUCUAAGAUUUCAGUCAAAUAACUUCCAUGGAAUCAUUUCUGAUGAGCUCUGCCUAGUCUCACGUCUUCGUGCUGAACCUAGCGCAUAAUAAUUUAACAAGAUCUAUUCCUCAUUGUUUUAUCAACUUCUCAAUGAUGGUAUCAAGUGAACCAGGAACUGACCUAUCAAUGCAUGAACUCUUCGGUGCAAUCCCUAAAAGCUUAUCUGCUUUAAACUGGUUGAACUUCCUGAAUUUGUCACACAAUAAGCUAUCAGGGCCAAUACCAUCAGGGAAUCAAAUUUAGACCUUAACCGAUCCAUCUAUCUAUGAAGGAAACAUUGGACUCUGUGGCAAGCCACUCCCAAAUGACUGCCUGGAACAUAAAUUGCCUACGGAAAAUGGGCAUAUUCAUGAUGAUAUAGGCCACGCGAGUCUAAUUGGUCUUGGUUUUAUGCUGUCGGGCUAUUGGGAGUUUUGGGAAUCCUUCCGUUCAAGAAGUCAUGGCGCUAUGCAUACUUCAGGUUUCUGGAAAAUGCCUAUGACAAAAUUUACGUAAUGAUUGCAUUGAAGGCUAAUCAGCUGAGGAGGAAUUUCCAUUGAGUAAUACCCUGUAAAAGCACAUUUAUUCCGUUUUUCAUAUCACACAGUAGCAUACUCUCCUUGAGAAUUUGCAAAACUAUAGUAAUUUGUAGUAAAGAUUUGUUUUAUGCGUCCCAACUUGACCGAUUCUUAUUCAAUAAGAAAAUGAUAGCUUACUAGUUUUCUUUCUUUUUUUUUUUCAAGACAAAGAAGCUCAAUAAGUUAUAUCAACAAAAGAAUAACGCACCAAAAGCAGUAGAUGAUUCUAGCAUCAAAUCAGUAUCUUGCAAAGGAAAUUUUCCCAAUAAACUAUUACGUGAUUGAAGACCAGAAAUUUCCAUUCCUUAACUUUUGGAACUUUUUAUCUUAAAAACUAGGUACCAAAACCUUAGUUGCUUUCUCUAGAUUCUCUCUUUCUAUUGGCAAUUAUUUUUAGUCUCUCAAAAAUUUGAUUUCUAAUAAUUCUGCUCUAUUCUUCAUAUUUACAUUGCAUUUUCCUAUGUUUCUUUACAUUCCAUACUAUGAGAAUCUUAUUGAUUUUUAUUUACAACCGAUUAAAUAAUUAUUUUUCUGUUCGCAUUAGAAUGCAUUAAAUAUUCUAUAUCGAGCAAUUUAUAGGUUGUUUAUCUUGCUUACUGAUCUAAUUUUUGCGUCAACAGAUUUAAACGCUUUAGAAGAAUUCUAUACUUGUUUAUGCUAAUAAUUGAUUUAGUUGUUUAAUUUCUAAUUGAUAUGCAUUUGAUAGGUUGCGAUUUUAUCAUUUAUUUUAUUAUUAAUUUCCCUUAUUGCCUGAUCCGAUGUGGAUUAAUUACUGGAUUUAUUCACUUUUAGUAUUUUGCAUUUAUUUCAGGGAGUAGAAUGAAAAUAUGACAACAGGUGCUAAUUUGGCAGAAAAGGAAUCCAAAUGAUAGAGUUUAUCCUAGGGGUAUUUUUGAAAUAAAAAGAGACGCAAGACCUUUUUGAUAAUUUGGUCGAAGACAGCAGGAAAGAAAAGGGAGGAGCUGGAGUCUUCGGUUUGAAGACUGGGCCGCCGCACAGUAGCAGAGGCUACUUAGAUAGGAAUUAGAAUUAGAAUUGAAUUAGCACUACUGUGGAUAGAUAGCUUUUCUUUCGAGGAGCUAUGCCCCAUGCAUGUCAGGAGCAAAAUUGGGGAAAACUUUGACUUUUCUUCCUUUGAGCUUUUAGUAGUUGUUUUUCCUCCUUCGUACGGCAGACGAAGGGAAAACUACCAAUCACCUUUUGCAGCCUGCUAUCUUUUCAAUAUUCGGACGAAUUGAAUUUUUCCAAUCUCAAAGGACGAUGGCUGCUGCUUUCUCUUCAGUUUUGUAUGGUUUUUUCGCACCAAAUAUGAACUAAUUUCUUCACUUUAAUCAAGGAACAACGGAGGCUUUGGUUCGUCUAAAACUUGUGAGAUCGAUUUAAUUUUAUCUUUUUCUUUUAUUUAUUGGUAUUCGCAUAUCUCUUGAUUGCAUUGUUCAUGAUUAUUUAAUUAAUUGAUUGUCUUGAAUCCGGAUAAUCAGUUAACUUAAUAAUUUAUUGUCAAUUAGGGCAUUAAAUCCGUAAUUGUUUAAGUGCCUUGAAAUAGUGACAACUGGCACGAUUAGAUUCGUGUCAAAGGGAUACGCAAGCUAAUCUGAAAUAACCCCGGUAGUGCAUUAUUUGGUUAGAAUAUGGCUCCUCUAAUACGUAAGACAAUUAGAGAAUUGAAUCUUAUGGGCAUACCUAAGAUUAUUUCUCAAUUAGAGCAGUGAUUAAUGGGCGUACCUUAAUCACCGAUACAGUAAGGAGGGGUUGACUGGCAUCACUUGUUUGGUAGUUAUAACCUAUUUAUUAAUAAAUAAUUGGAAUUGCUUGUGCAUCGAUGAUCAAUUAGGUGAACCAUUGCUGAAGUUAUUUCUUGGCUAGACCUUUAAUUAUUGUUAAUAUAAUUUUAGUGAAUUGUCAUUUAAUUUCUAGCUAGCUAUUUAUUUUUAUUCUUAUUUGAAUUUCUUUGAUUGUCAUCGUUUAUACAAAAACACCCCCUGUGUUACUUUGGAUUUCUUAAGAGACAAAUAUCCCCAAUCCCUGAGGAUACGACCCUACUUGCCCUGUCUACAAAUUCAUAAUUAUUUGUGAAAAAAGCCAUCCCAUUCGAGUAUAUCGGAUCAACCAAACUCUUUGGGAACAGGGUGAAUCAAGUAACCCAUUGCACACCUAGAGUCCUUGCUCCAGUACUUGGAAUCAGAUUUUGGUUACUUUAACUGGCAAUUAGGUUUAAUUUUAUUAUUGUACAGGCUUCGACACCUGUCAACAUUCUAGCUUUUCUGCCAACAACUCUUAUGAAUUACCAACUAAUGAUUUUCAGGUAUUACAUUAAUUCUACCCACCUAAGUUUCACUCUCGAAACUUAAUUUGACCAAAUUAGCAUAAAAACAAACUGCCCUUCCAAUUAUAUCACUUUACAUGAACAAGUAUUAAUUAAACUACUAGUAUUUAAGGCACACACCAAUGUGUGUACACCUAAAACAAAGCAUAUUAUUAAAAUUUUGAGUAAAUUUGUUGAAAUCAUUUUCAAAGGAAUUAGUUUUAUAUUUUUGACAAUGGGUAUUGGAAAAUUCACGAAAAUAAGUGUACAAAUAGAUUGUUAUUUAGCAGUAAUCCAUAACCAUAAUCGAUAGUUGAUUACAUUGGGUAGCUAGCAAGGUAAGUUUAAAAAUAAUAUAAAAUGACAAAAUUUUAUGUAUACCAAAAGCCCUCUCCCCAUUUAUAUAUUUACAACAAAAGCUUACUCCACCUUUACAUAGAGCAUAGAUAUUAUUUAUUCAAGGACAAUUCAUGUCCCUCCUCUCCUUCCCCUCCUCGUUUUUUUGGUCAAUCGUCAACUCCUAUUACUACUCCUACUCUAACCAAUAUUAGGGAAUGAUCCAACUGGACCAAUGGGGCUGGAGAAAGAAGAUCUCACCUGUAUAUCAAAGAGGUUCACUAGACCAAAGAAGGGUUGGUUCAUGUUCAAAUCCGCUAUUCUUUUUACAAGGCCAUAGAAAUUUCAAACACCUGAUGCCCAUUACGUUUCCCUUGCGUCAACAUAAAUCCAAACAUCAAGAAGAAUUCCACUUAAUUAACCUUAUUUUCAUUUGAACUUUAGUUAUUUCUAAAGUGAUAAUCAUGUCUUACUAUUCAUUAAAGUAACCUACUAUCAAUAAAAACUCCACUAGUAAAUUCCGUGCUCUCAUUUUCUGAUUUGCCAGAUUCUUAGUUGCACCCCCAAUUUACUUCAUACUACAUGCCAUCACAGUGGAUCUAGAAAUAUUAUAGCAUAACCACCUAGAAAUAUCUUCAAGAUAUAAUCCUUUUCAAUAACAUCACCCACUCAUGAUUUUCAAUCUAGAAUUACCUGUAGUUUUAAGAUUCAAAUCAAGUGAUCAUAAAGCCAUGUGAGAAAAACUAAUGAACAUAAAUUAAAUUUCUAACUCAUCGAUUGCCAAUGGUCCUAUUAGAAACUAGUUCUUGCAAUCAAUAAUUGGUAGACAUGCAAUAAAAAUGUGUCCUAGGCCUCCUGAUCUUCUAAACAAACAUGUAAGAGCAGAAGGGUUUCAUGAACAUCCUCCCAAUGAGGAAUGUUAUAUGAACGGAUCCCAAUCACAAAUUAAAGAUUCGUGAAAAAAGAGAGAAACUCUAAAAAAUUGGGUAAUUCCAAUAAAGUUUGAUAAAAGUUGUUAAGAGAAUGAGAUAUUACUUAGGCCCUAUUUGGCAAAUAACUCCCAAUAAAUAUCUGGGUAAAACUUAGGCCUCGUUUGGCGAAUGAGUUUUUUGAGUGUUUAUCUAAAAUUUUACUGCAACUUACUGUAAAAAUUGUAGGAAAAAAUUUUAAAAUGAAAAUUUUUUUUCUUUUCUUUUUAUUUCUUUUUCUUUCUUUCUUUCUUUGUUCUUUUCUUUCCUUUCUUCUUCAUCUCCCUUCCCCGUCCCCUGCCACCUCUCGCUUCCAGUUGGAACAAGAAUUUUUUUUGCUCUUUUCUCUCACCCUCUCUUCUCUCUCCCCUCCCCUCUCGCCCCUUUUCCGGGUGCUUUCUAGUCGUGUGACCAGAUCGGGCAAAGGGGUAAGGGAAGGGUGGUGAGGGAGGGAGAAGGGGGGAGAGAAAUGGCGGGGAAGAGAGGAGGAGAGAGGGAGAGGAGAGAGAGAGAAAAAAAAAGAUCGGCCGACUCCGAGGUGGUGGUGGGUUGAGAUGGAAGGAGAAAGGAGGAAGAAAAUUUCUUUUGUGUGUUUUGGAUAUUUUGAAAUAUAUAGUUAAAGUUGUUAAAAAUUUGAUAGGAAACAAACUUAGCCAAAAAUUCGUUUGCCAAAUAGGCCAUUAGUUCUAGGAAUGCUUUGAAAAUCCUUGUUAGAGGGAUAGUGAAAUUCUUGUUAUCCAUUAAUAUCUGAGGUCAUGUUAUUCAAUAAUGGUAAUUGUGAAAAAAUUUUCUCUUUUUUGAUUGAUUUUUAUUCAUAAAUUCAAGCUAUUAUUCAAAUUAUAGUAAUUUAUUGAUGAAUUUGGAUUAUUUAUUGUUGAAUUUGGCUAGGUAUAAAGUUAAUUGAAGAUGCAUAAAAGUUUCAUAAAUAAGGCAGCCUGUUUCGACAUUGCUUUCAAUGAUGUGUGGAUUAUGUUUGUGAACUUUAAUGACACAAAGGGGCAAGCUACUCCUACUACUGCUACUUAUUUUGCAUUUGGGGAUGAGUCCCGCAUCUCGUGCUGGAGUUGAUACCGGUGUAGUAAAAUGGUAAUCCAAUAUGCAAUUAACGAAUUUUGUUCUAAAAGCUAUAUAUAACGGAAAUGUGUGAGAACCUGAGAAAAUUAUGUGUAUGCCCUAAAUUUAUUUCAUUUUAUUUACUUUGAUAUUAGAAAUAUUAUAUAUAACGAAUAAAUGGUUAAAUUAAAUGCCUAAUUGAAUCCUUAUGAAAUUGAGAAUUUAGAAAAUAUCCUAGAAUAGUGUAGAAAAAUUUUAUGAAUUAAAUAAAUAUAUGGCAUUCAUAUCGUAAUUUAUGUCAUUUGCAAAUAUUACUAGACACGAAACAUAUACUAUAUAGUUCAAUAGGUACAUGUCUAAUAAAUCCUUUUUAAAGCUAAAUGUGUGAAAAUCUACUAGAUCAACGUAAGAAAAUUUUUCACGAAAAUAAAAAUUAAGUUAAGAGUGAAUGUAUGAAAUAAUAAACUAAAGGACCAAUUUAACCAUUAAUGGAUGGACAAUUAACCAUGCAACCAAAAGAGGAAUUGAGCUUCUGGACAACCGAGGAACUUAGGCAAUCAAAUGCUUAAUUACUAGAGCGGUGAUUGAGAGAACACUAAGAAGAAAACAGCUCAAGUAGUAAGUAGCACCGACUGGGAAACAUUGACCACCGAGUGGACUGUUCCUUCUGAUUCUAGAGUCUUAUAAGCUGCUAAGUCCAAGCGGUGGCUGAAGGAAAAACCAAGAGAAAUCCACAGCCAAUAAUUUGCUAAGUCAAGCGGUAGAAGUGAGGAAACAAAUAGAAAGUGGCUUGCUAAGUUGGGCGGUGGCCGAGUGGAGAAGCGAGGCUUCAAUUCUUUUCUUACCAACCAAACACCAAGAGCAAAACUGAGAGACUAAGCCAUUUCUUUUCAUCUCAAGGCACAACCGAGAGAGAGGAAAAUAUUUCUGGUUCCUCCUUGUUCCAGUUUUCAACCGAGAGAGUGAGGGAGAGAGUUAGACAUUUGCUAGCUUUAUUUCUCCAGCUUGGAACCUCAAAACUCUGAGCCAAAGUGAGUGAGAGGGAGAAAAAUCCUGGUGGUAUACUUCACCUAACGGCCUCAACCGAAUGAGAGUGAAGUAGAUUGAAGAAAGAGUGAGAGUUGGUGCAAUUUUGAGGAACCGAAGCUCAACUUGGAGCCGUCUGCACUUGCUGAAUUCUAGAGGAAAGGAGUUCUUGUCCUUAGUUUAGCUACCCGAGAGACAUUAGGAGGAAAAGGAGAGAAGGACCAAAAGAAAGAAACAACAACAACAACUAGGAACUCAUUUCUGGCCACCUUCAACCGUGAGAACCAGCCACAAAGAAAGCAGGAAUGCAGUCUAUUGAGCUAAGAAUGGGAGAGAAAAACCAGAAUUUUAUUUUCCUAACUUAGAACCAUAAGAACCAGAGGUAAACUACUAUCUUUCUCUUCCAUUUCUUCUACGUUUAGCUAGUAGUCUUUUAGAAUGAAUUGAAACCAAGUAAAAGAAAAUUUUCUAGAAAACAAAGGUUGUCAAAGCUGGAAAUGUUCGUUUGAAGCUGCAUGUUCUCACUCUAAUGUUUAUAUGAUUGCAAGUUAGAUUUGAGUGUAAAAUGAAGAGAUUAUUAGAGGAAAUUUCAUACUUUUAAACUGCUAGCUGCUGAAACUCCUUCAUCUUGGCCGAGAGAACAAAAGAGAGUAUUCUCCAACUUUUCUCUUCAAACCUUGGCUAUAAAUUCUAUAUUGUGAUUCAAAACACCUCAUAGAAUAAUAAUUAUCACCUGGAUAUUAAGUUUGAAUGAGGAAAAUAAAGAAUUUUAUGGAGAAAACUUGUUUUCCAAACUACCUACUUGCUGGAAUUUUUCAACCUCAGCCGAGAGAGAUGGAAGGGAUAUUUUCUGAUAUUUCUCUAUAGAUUUUGGGCUGUAAACUUUCAUAUUAAGGUUGAUUACACCUUAUAAUAUCAUUAGAUGGUCAUGUAUGUGAAUUUUGGGGUGAAAAUGUGAUUUUUUAUGGCUGGAUUGUUGUUUGAAAGACUGUUAGGCUAAUAAACCAUUUACAGUUUAGUCAACGGAAUUUCUUGGCUUUGAAUGGAUAUUUUAGUAUAAAAUUUGCUGGAAAUGCUUGAUUUGUACUUGUUGCUGUGUUAUGAGUUUGUUGGUGAGUGAUUGGUGGAUGGAAAUAAAAUCUAAAUAGUUAAAAUGGAAGGGAAAGUUUGCUAUACCACCUACAGGAAUCAAAGGAGCCUUGUAACUUAUAUAAGAAGAUAUCCAUUUAUUACUUGGUUUAAUAGGCUCUAUAUAAAUUGUAUACACAUCUUAAGGUAAUAAACUAGUUAUGCAUGUGGUCUUGGUUAAUAACAGAAGGAAUUAUGUGACAAGAAAGUACUUUAAGGUUAGCUACUUCUAAACUUACCUUGUUAAACGUUAAUGUUGAGUUUUAGUACGAUAAAUCUAACAGUAUAAAAGUAGUGAAGUGACAUUACUGGAAUUGCUACUUAAACUUCCUUUCUUUUGGAAAUUAAAAGUUGAAGUAACAAGCGAGUGUGAGAAAAUGCACUAGUCAUCUCAUUUAAACAUAGCAAUGACUUAGAUUUCGGGUGGAAUGGUGACUUAAGGCUAGAAUACAACACGUAUGUUGAUUAUACUUUAGAAUUUCACCAAAUGAGUAGUUAAAUAAUUAUGGCAAUUAUAACUUGUCUCAGGAGACAGCGGUGCGCAAGAAAGCAAUUCUAAGAUCGAAGUGUAACUUUUGAUUAGGGUGAGUGUUUAAGAAUUUAUAUAUUUAACUGUUUAUGUUUAUUUAAGUGAAAUUAUGUGAUAAAUGUGCUUAUUAUGUAUAUUGCCAGUGAUUUAUUGUAAAGUGUAUCUCAAUUGUCCCUCGCCUUCUAAGUCGAGGGUGUACUUUAUCGCACUCGACUUAGUUGAACUUGAAGGUUGAUUAUUGACUAAAUGUUACUGUAAGUAUGUAUGAAUGUAAGCCGUAUGUGUACUUUAUCGCAUCGGCUGAACUGAGCCUCAAAACCCUCUGUUCAACAGAUUAUUCGAGCCAGCAAAGGGCUUGUUGGAUAGGACGGAAGCUUUGGGUAACUGUUUGGUAUACUCGGGUAUUACCCUGAAGUUGGGAGAUUAUUGAACUGAUUGCUGAAUGUAGGGGAUUGAUUAUUGUUUUGGAGGACAUAAGGAGGUGGAUUGGCGGAGUGUGCAAUAAUAUUGAAAUGAAUGUACAAUGACACUGAAAUGAGUGUGCAAUGAUAUUGAAAUGACACUGAAUUACUGAACGGAACUAAGUGCUACGUCUGGAACGAACGGGAACCACCUCUAGAGUCCGUAUCAAUACCGUAUCCUUUGAGGUGAUUGAUUACUUUUAUUAAAUUUGAUAUCCUGAAUUGUUAAGUUUGGUGAAUGUUUUAUACUGCUAAUUGGUUGUUGUAUCCUUUUGAAAGUGACAAUACAGUGAAAUGUGCAUUACUUGCUUAAUUUUACUAGUUAAGUGUUUAUUGAAUGUUACUUGUUCGGCAAACCUCACUAAGUUUUAGCUCAACCUUUUAGUUUUGUUUUCCUUACAAGAAUUGGUGGUCAGGGAAUGAACAAGGGAUCUUAAGGAGUUAACGUGAAGAAUUUUGUGAAUGUAAAUCCUUUAACAUCAAAUUAUGGUUGAGGCUAUUAUAUUGAACUUGGUAUUGUAAAAGAUUUGAGUAUUUGGUUUUGGUUUAUCGAAAUGUUAUCUCUGAAAUUAAUGUAAGUGAGUGAGUCCUGGCGAGAGUCAGGCAGAUGGUCCGCUAACUUCUAGGGUAUGCUCUAGGAGAAGGUGUGACGACCCCACCUCCCCUAAGGCGUACCAAAGGGUUCGGCGGACCGCCUGCCCAACUCUCGCCAGGACUCACUCACUCGUGUCUUACGCAUACAUCCAUAGACAAGAAAUAACAUUGCAAUUCAAACUUGUAAUAUACAUCGAUGCACAAACCCAGAUACAAGACAUCUAUACAUCCAAAAUACUUAAAAGUGUAUACAAUACAAGUACAACGCAUUCUAAGCGAAUGAUAGCGUGAGUACAACUCGAAAGUCAAAACAAUUAGUCUAAACUAGUCUGUACACGUCUCACGCCUCGCUCGUACCCCUGUAAGGAAAACAAAACUAAAGGAGGUUCCAAAUAUCAAAUUGUCCAGCAAAUAAAGUAACAGUGGCAUAAUGGUGAAAUAGCGAGCAAAACAAGUCAAGAAAUGAGUAAUAACACUUCAUAUAGCUAGACACGUAAUUUUUCCGCAUUUCACAUAUAAGAAUACAGUUGCUCAUAUAUCGACUCCACCAUAGCUUGAUCAAUUGGUAGUUGGCACUCCGUCAACUUUCAAGUGAGAAACUAGUCCAGUAGGUCACCACUUCACUCCAAUCUCCGUCCACCGAUCAAACCUCUUACUGGGCUCGAACUCCACAAUAAACACUGGUGGUAAUACUCGAGUAUACCGAUUAGUCGAGGAGAUAACACUCCACUCGACAACACUAGAUACCCAUGGUUCGUUAUCUAAUCGACCAAACCCUUGCCGGCUCGACUCGAUUAACUAGCCAAUGGGGUUUGGAUCCCCAAAAAAUCGAUGAGAUAACACUCCAAUCGAUUGAAUCAAGAUAAAAGUAUGGAGACGGGAAUGAGAGGUACCUCCCACUCGGAUCGAGUGUGGUACAUACUGCCGCUCAGUACUUACAAGUCACACACAAAUAUCUCAAAUCAAUUGCAACAAUAAACAAGUACAUAUCACGUUAGGGCAAGUGCGAUAAAGUACACCCUUGCCCGAUCAUACCAAUCACAUAUCAUUCGAUCACAUUGGUCAAGUAUUAAAAACAAGUAUCCAGUUCAAUCAGGUAUUUGGAAGUACUCACCAAAGAUGUAGUGCCUUUACGGAUCACGGUCAGGUAUUACUCCUUGUGUGGAGUUCAACUCUGCGAUAAAAUGUCAUUUAAGAACUUGAAAUCAAUUAGGGUUCAAGUUUUUUUUAAAGAAAAUCAAGUAAUUGAAACUCAUUUGGGGAAUAUUCGUAAAACUCAUGCUCGCUCUUAAAACUUUGAAAAUUUGAAGCGAUUAAACUUUGAAAUUCCCAUUUGAGUCGAAGAGAGGAGAAAAACGUAUUUCUAUUAGUCGUUACUUUUAUUUUUUCAAGGUUACAAGGUUCGGUCGAAUUCUAACUUAUAUACCACUAUGAGCGAAGACUUGAAUACCCUAGAUGAUUCGAGUUCAAUUCGACCUCAAAUCUUCGCUCAAACUGCGAGUAUACACGUCUCACUUUCGAGUGAAAAUUUGGGCAGCAUACCCCUUUGUAUUUAGCUAUUUUCCAGUCAUUUAUGGCUUCAUUAUUGUUCUCAAUUCAGCCCUAAAAUCACACGCAAAUAAUCUUACCACAAUAGCCUUUCACUAGGCUCAAUGUCAUCCACACACAAGACAAUUUUAGCAUGUAAGCUUCACUUGGAAAUUCGGAAAUGGUGGCCAAAAGCUAAGUACAAGUCUUGACCGCUUUAAUUAAGGUAACUUGUUAAAAGAGUAAAACUUUGAGGAAAUGAGAGAUACAUUAGCGAGAGAAGUUCAAUAGGGAUAUAUUUGAUGUCAAGGAAGUGGAAAAAUCAAGGUGAGGGGUUGGAAGUAGGCCGUCUGAGGUUUUAAAGUCAAGAAGCCCGUUUCUAUACUUCAGGAAUCUACUGAGAUGAAUAGUAACAGUAAACUUUAAAAAUUCGCAACUCGAGUUCCACAAAUCAAACAAUUAUCAAAGUUAUACUGUUGUAAAAUAGAUUUUUAGUACUAUCACAUCCCAGAAGACACUUUUCAGAGAUUCAAAUCACAAAUAGGCCAAAUAUUCGAUCCAAGUCAAAAAUUCAUUUUCCUGAAGAAACAGGACAUUCAAGCAGGACAGCCUACUUUGAGGAGUCACGGACAGCAGUACACAUGGAGGAAAAAUAUGAAAUUUUUACAAAACAAAGGCCCAUGAUUCUAGUUGCAAAUGCCACUGAUGACACCUCAAUCGGAUUUUUCUACACCAAGAUAUAAGCAUUUUACUGAGACUGGUCAGUGAAAUCCGAAAAUCUGGAAACUCAUUUUUCACUUGUGAAAAACUCCUUUUUCUCUUUUAAAACCACAAGACUUUUAUUCAAACCACCCAUACAUUUAAGUAUGACAUUCAUACCAGCAGUUUUAACAUAAUUUAAGCAUCAAAUUUCAACAGAAACCAAAGAAAUAUACAUAUAUUCCAAGUUUAAAGUCUUGUAAGAUGUUUAUACUAAGAUUAAAUCAUUUUCUAUCCAAUAUUCAAGGAUUAAGGCAAAUGAACUCUUCAUUUGUUCCAUUUAAGCUAAACCAGAUUCUAAGUUGUUUGUAGUUUGGGUUUUGUUCCACUACACCAGCCCCUCACAUUAAUAGUCUUUAAAAUAUUAAUGAACACAAUAUUAAAUCAUUAGAAGCCACUUUACGUAUAUAACUAUCAUAACUUUCCACUCAAUCGUGUUGGUUUAACCCUACUCGUGGAACUAGGUAUAUCCAUUAAAUCUGAGAACAAUCGUAGCUAUCAUUUAUGAAAGCUUGCAAGAUUGGAAAUUAGAAGAAAUGUUAGUUAAAAGUUGGUUUCCUCAGGGCCAUCAUCAAAACUGCAUGCAUGUGAAACAAAAGGAAAGGCAACGAGGAAGUCAGCUUUGCCAUCCUCUGGUAUUUCAAUCAUAACUAGAGCUAUGCUUAUCAGAUUGAGGCAAGCUUUAUAGCGUUUCGAAGCUAAGAUAUAUACCUACAUUUCUUAUGACGACACCAACACCCAAUUCUCAUAUUUUCAGGGUCAAAAAUGGCCGGACAGAAACACAUCCUGCUUCACUCUGUCGGACAGCAACCACAAAAUUAAUCCAGUACCGUUACUUCAACUUUUGUCAAAAACUCUAUUCUUUCACUUGCUUAAAGCUCUAAAUACUUAAGGUAUAUUCAGUCCAGCAUAUACAAGGUGAGUAACUCAUAAUUUCAGCAUGUUGUUCGGCCAAAAUCACACACAAAAUCUGUCAUCAGCUGUUGCAUCAUUCAACGAAGUUUUCCAGCAGUAUAACAGUUCAACUUUGAUGUUUUCUCAAAUAUUUCCUUUCAGGUUCAUGCUCCAACUAGAAGUAUAAAACAUAUCUUAUCAAGCUACAAAGUAGCCUUAAACAGAACAUAUGAGGUUUACAACUAAAAUUCGAAGGAAGAUUGAUUAAAAGUCCUUUUCUCUCUCUCUCUCUCUCGGCCUUCCUAGCCAGUUCCAUCAGCUUUAAUCAAAAUUUCACCAUUAGUUUUUCCAUUAUGCUCUCAAAUCUAACUUGCAAUCAUAUUAAACAUUAGACAGAUCAUAAUACGUGAGUUCCAGUCACAAUUUAGCAAACGUUUUAGAGAAAUAACCAAAAUUGCAGCUUUUCCCUCUCGAUUUGCUGUGCAGAAAAUUCCAGCUUUUGAGAUUGCUUUAAAGUCAAUCUUUUCUUGCUUUUAGCUCCUCAAAUAACACACGGAUGACUGGAUUAGGAAGAUGGCAGUUAUAUGAAGUGAGUUUUUAACUAAACUAACAAAAUUUUCUAGAGAUAAAGCUGGAAAUUUCCAGCUUCAUCUUAUUGAUCCUUCAUGUAGUGUCCAAACAGAAAUUCAGCAAAGUUUCUUCAUAUUUUACACUCAUUCCACUUGAGUUCAGGUCAAGUACUGCACCCAUGUCAAGAUAUGUAUACUAUGGAAUAUAUAUAAUGCAUGAAGACAUAAUCUAACACAUUUUGAAGGAGAAUUGACUAAAAAAUUGCAGCUUUUUAUCAUCGGGUAGCAUGCAAUAACUUUGAACAGAAUUUUCCAGCUUUGAAGAACUUUUAUCGGUGAAUUCCUUCCUUUCUCAGUUCUAGUUCAUCCCAAGGAAUUAUUAACCAGGCAUAGCAGGAAAAUGAAGAAGAGCUUAAUUAAUUACCUAUUGUCUCUUCACGGUUUAGACUGGAACAAGAUUUCUGGUUUUCUUUUGUUUCCCUCUCUCGAUUCCUUGGUUAAAUGAGCUGGAGUUUCUCUUGUUUCUUGGCUGGUGUUCAUGGUUGGAGAAGGUAAGAGAGGUCUCCGUUUUUCCUUCUUGUUGUUUCUCGAUUUUAGGCAACAGGGGAAGUGAAUGGAACCCUCUCGGUCACCGCCCAACUAGUGCACAAAUGAAUUUCUUAGCUCCUCUCAUUCGGUCAUCACCUCACGUAGCAAAUAAAUGGGCAGCUGUCUUAACAGGUACCGCACAAUCUAGAAGCCAAUUCCUACUGGUUUUCUCCCUUCCACCGCUUGGACUCAGCAGAUAAUUUCUCUUUAUUGUCUCUCUUUCGGUCACUACUUAUUCAGCAAAUUUGGUGAUGCAUUCCUUCCUGGCAGCUGUCUCAACUCACCGCCCCAGUCUCAGUUAAUUUCUACACUUCACCGCUUAGACAAGUAGAUGGUUGCUGGCUUCUAUUCGGUUCCUAUCAAUUAAAUUUUUAUUCCUCUCUCGGUUUUGGUCUUCUGAAUUCUGAUAGCUUAUGCCUUGGCCACCUGGUAGUUAGUCUAAAAUUUAAGGUUAGUUUGGUCUUUUAACUGUAGCUUAUUUGCUCACAACGGCCUGAUUUGUUUAUUUAUUUUUUUAUGAGUUCAUGCAUGGACUCGUACCUUCAUUUGUAUUUUCGUGGAAAAAUUUUGACACCUUUAGCUUUAAGAAAAAUUAUUAGACAUGUACCGAUUGAACUUCUAGUAUAGUUUACGUGACUAGUUGUAUUUGUUUGCAAAUAACAUACAUUACAAUAUGCAUGCCAUAUAUGUAUUUAAUUCAUAAAAUUUUUCUAUACUAUUCUAGAAUCUUUUCUAAAUUCUCAAUUCUAUAGAGAUUCAAUUAGGCCGUUAAUUUAAUCAUUUAUUCGUUAUACAUAAUAUUCCCAAUAUCAAAGUAAAUAAAUGAAAUAAAUUCAGGGCAUACGUAAUUUUUUUUUCCUGGGUCUUCACAGAAGGUGGGGCCGUCACAAAAUGAUUAUUCGUAAAGAAACUUAUUUAAAAGUUGAAAUUACCCUUGUUUUGAAACUCAAAUGGCUGAAGCGAACAAAAUGCAUAAACAUAAUAUGUAUGACACUCUAACCCCAUAUGAUUUUAUAUUUUACCAUGAAACCCCUUAUGAUUUAAUGUUUUAUCAUAUAAAUCCCUUAUGGCUUUCACUAUAUAUACAUAACCCCCUUAUAGUUAAUAAAUAAUUUUCAACUUUAUAUAGGGUAUUUUUUAUAUUUUAAUUGAUUCCAUUAUGGAUUGUAAAUUUCGUUAAUUUGACACUUUAAUUCAGACAAUAAGAGAGUUAUGUAUAACUUUUGAAAUCAUAAGAAGAUUAUGUAAAAAAAAAUAUUAAAUCAUAGGGGAGUAAAAUGUAAUUUAACUGUGUGCAGCAUCCAGCCCCUCUGGCUGCUGUCACUGGAUUGGGAGGAAUAUAGUAUGAAAGGCUGCAUGCACCGUCCAGCGUCUCUACCACUGUGGGUCAUGACUUUAAUUUCUUCACGGGUAGACUUGUAGUUGCCAGACUCAACACGAAACAAAGUUUGUACCCAAUUUCGAACGCUAUAUGGGCACGUCGAGAUAUUGAAUGCUGUUCAUUUACGAUUGUUUUGGUUACUCCAAAAUUUAAACGUGCAUUUGAAAUUCAUUAAAUAUCUGUUUACUCUUCUUUUAGCUUCAACCUUUUUAUAUAUUCAAAACCACCAAAAUGUUUUGCUUAUAUUUAAAAAAAAAAAAAAAAAAAAAAGAGAAGAGUUUAUCAAGUCUCAUUGAACGUAUUAAACAAGGUUUUUACCACAAAAAAAAAAAAAGAAAUAUAGCUGGAUCCAUGCAAAUAUCUGUAAAGGCUUUGUAAAGUAUGUGGAUCCUAUUCUAUAAGUAAUUAAAUUUUUUUUUUUUGGGUUAUUCUUGGAAAUAGACUACUGCAACCAGUUACUAUUUAAGUGGUCCAUGGCAGUAACUCUGAUACAAAUUGACAAAUGAAUACAUAUUUUUCAGGAACUUCAAGUCAUUGUCAUUUUAUCAGCAAUUUUCUACAAGCAUUUAGAACCAUAGAUGAUGCUUUAUCAGACGACCAAUACCAAAGGAAUUGAAUACGCAUCUCCUUAAUACUACUUCAUCAUUAUUAGCUGAUUGAUUUGGUAGUAGUAUUCCUGUCACUUUUGAUGCAUUAAAUAAGCUUAUUAAUCAAUUGUCGCUUGCGAGAAAGCUUGAUAAAAAAAAAAAAAAAAAAAUCAUCUCCAAAAACAAGUUGGCUAUGACAGGAAUGGGAGAGGGGCAAUGACAAUCGUCAGUUGAAUCGUUUCGAAACGAUGUAAAAGGGAAUCAACAGGCAAGUUAUCAAAUAUUUGUGAUAAACUCUUAAAACACACAUGUUAUAUACUUAAACUCUGUUCACGACGACCCUACAAGUUAGUUGAGUUAGAGUUACAUAUAUCGUUAUCUAUCUCACCUUUACAACAUGAAUUUUUAUGUUAUUGGCAAAAUCUGAGUCAUGAACCUUCCGAAACGUUCGUCAGUUUCGUGACAACCAUUUAGUCCGACAAAGACACUUGUCUUGUUGUAAAGUGAACUAGAAAAAUUACCUCGCAGUAUAUUUCUUAGAAGAAUAGACUAAGUACCAUCCGUUAGCCAACCACAAGUAUAGCAAUUGAAUCAAUUAUCCUGACUGAUUCUUAGACUGUUUAUUCCAACAAAUUGCCGAAUAAUGAUAUUAUGAAGUAUGUAACUGCUUUAUGCUGCUGAUACAUGUUUUCAUCGAGUGAUAAAAUUUGUUAUGUAUUCUGUAGUUAUUGUUGUAAUGAUUUCCACGAAGACUUCAAGUCAUUGUGCCUGUUUCAAGUCAUCGUGAGCCAUUGUUCCGAACCAUAGAGGUUCUUGCGUGAAUAUGUUUGUACUGGAGAACGAAUGUGUAUCUAAUGAUGAAACAUAGGACAACUGAAAGAAAAAAUACUUAUAAACAACGCAUUGUUUAUUUAUUUAUCAUUUUCGUCUCCGGCAUUAACAAGCAGGAGUACAUUUGAUUUCACCCCUCCUUCAGCAGAUAGCGAUCGAGAGGAACUGAUCAGGCAGCACGAGCAUAGGACCGUAGCAUGGACUGGAAAUUUACCUCGUGAUGAAGGUAGGGGAAAACCAUGAUGCCUCCAUAAACAGGAGAGUUCUUCAGAUAGGGAAGAACCUCAUAAACUAGCUCAUUAGGUGAGAUGAAACCGCCCUCAGGUGCGAUAGAAGAGUUUAUUGGUAUUCCCAGGAACAAUAGAUUAACGCCUGGAUAAUCAGACCAAUUGUCCCAGCUCCGGAAGAGGAGACUGGUAUCGUUUGGAGGCUUAAACUGACAAGAUGGGUUGUCGAAAAAUUCCACCCGCACCUGAUCAACGACACCAGUUCUGAUAGUUGUGUCAAGAGCAGGGUCAGGAAUAGGACAUUCCGCAGCUACGGCUAAGAUGACAUUUGGGUAUCCCUUAAGUGCCCGAGCAAGAUCAUCCAAGUAAGUCGUGUUUCCGCUGUGGAUGUGAAGCUCUACGCCAUCUAAAACAGCUGUGCCGAAUGGACGGUCGCUUGAUUCACCGCCUAAGUAAGUGUUCCAGACAAAGGCUGCCACUUCUUGCGCAUCUUCGACGGAAGAAAGCCUCGGUUGUCCUGCGAGAGAAAUAAACACUUUGGUCUGAUGUUUCUGGCAAGAUUCUAUGUCUGAUGAGCUCGGCAAAGGAUGAAUUAUGUUCAAUUCAGGCAUCUGGCCGCUGCCAAAAUCUUCCAGAAAGGCAAUAUUCACGUCGGUAGCGAAUUCUCGCCUGCAGAACUCAGCCAAACUUGAUGGUUCUUUAUGGCCUCGGCCCCAGUAUUGGACAAUUCCGGCAGCUUCGGAGGACCCAAUCAGAGAAGCAAUCAACAGGAAUGUUAUUGCUGAGAACAGUGGUUGCAAAGAGGCAGCCAUUUUUUUUCUCUUUCUUUUCAGUGAUUUUUGCAGCUUUGCUUUGGUGAGUUCACUUGCACAAUGACUGACCAUUUUAUAGAUGAGUUUAUCUCAAGUGGAUGUUCAGCAUCUAGAAUAUCCAAACAUCCGUACAACAAAACGUGAAUGGCACGAUUUCUCAUUUCUGCUCUCAAAAAGGUGAAUGGUAUUAUUUUUGUGUUUCAAUAUUGCUAGAGACUACCGUUGUGCUCGCCUAACCUCAUCCACAACUGGACGAAGAAAGAUCUUUUUCUUUCUUUUUUUUUUCUUUUGGGACAUUACAUGGCAGCUAGGGGGGGGGGGAGUGGAUCCUUGAGAUUAAUGGGAAUUGAAUCAUCAUUGAAUUAGACGAGUGGUCCAAACAUCCUCUAAAUUUUAGAAGAAAUUGCAUAUCAAAUGAUAAUUGAUGAAAGAUAAAAUUCGAACCUCGAUAAGAGAAAACUAGGAGUCUUGUUUGAAAUGUAAAAUUUUCAUGAACAUUCUUGAAGUAAAAAGAGUGCUCAAGUAGCCUACGAAAUCCUUCAACUAUGGUACAAUAAAGUGAAAUGGGUGCCUUUCAAUGUGCAAUAAUGGUAGGGGCAACUAUUCUUCUAACUGCUGCUUCAAAUGCAAUUUUUAAUUUACACUUUUUACCAUCUCUCUAUAUCUUUAAAAAUUAAAGUAACCUGCACAACAUGCCCUUACUAUGUGCACAAAUAUUCAUACCGAUGUGCAAAACUUUGGAAUGGUCCUAGUUGUAUAUAUUAGUAAUAGUAGAAAUGUAAAGUUCAAUACUUCCACCUCAAAAGUAACUGCAAAAUAUGUCAGUUGGAAUGAUCCCAUUUAAAGUUCAGAUCACCCCUUAUUUAAUUAUGUUAAGUUCUUAAUAUUUUCCCAUUCAAUCCUUCAUUCAACAGCGGUGAUGGUGCUGUGACGUUUGGUCUUAAGCAAGAAAAUUUUUUUCCUCGCCCUCAGUGUGAAUGUGACUCUCAUAUAUAAAUAAUCUCAUAGCAAAACAUGUUCUUACUGAUCGCAGAAGUGAAGCUUGUACACAGGAAUGUAUAGAUUCCAGUUACAUCCAACUAAUCACUGUUUAAGCAUACGAAUUAGCCAUCACGGGCUAAGACACAGAGGCAAUUCCAGUUGGUUCUAGAUAAAGGGAUCUUCCUCUAACCUGCUGUCACAUCCUUUACAGGAGCCAAGACAGCAGGAACUAUGUCCACAGCCGAGAUAUGUCUCUGCUGAAACAUAGCCAAAUUCCUUGCUGUCCAUAGCUAGUAUAGGCUCAAAACCCUCUUCUCUUUCUUUGCUUCUUAAAUUCCACCCUUCAAUCCUAUGCUACUCAUCCUAUUUUUUAAGAAUUUUAAUUUAUUUAUUUUUUAAAAAAAUUGAUUCAUGUCUUCUGUUUGGAUCCAUGUCUUUGCUGCUUUUAAUUCCUUAAUUUAACGUAGCCCCAAACACGGCAUAUAAUAGUCACUCUCUUAAUAAAUGCAAUUAAUUAAUCAUACCAAAUAUAACGUUUGGAUUAGGUAUUGUAGCACACCUUAGUUUUAUUCUGUUCCCUAUUUUACUUAGUUUCAAACAUGCCCUAUAAUAAUCAACCCUCUAAUGAUGCAAUUAAAUAAAUAUACCAAAAAUAUCUAUACAUAUUUGAAACUAAACAUAAUUGUAUCCAUAACAAUCAAUAUAAAAAAUUAACUAAAAAACAAUCUUUGACUAACAUAAACUAAUAAUCUAAGUUCUUGUCCUCCAAAGAAAUAACAAUAUUCCAAAUCAUAUAAGUUGAACAGCUUAGCAAAUUAGCAAAAUUGACUAACAAACACAACACAAGGUUACAAAAUAUUCAACAUUUCUGUAUUCUUUUUCUAACUAAAAUUUACAAAUCAUACCCAAAAAAAGAACUAAUCUAAGUUCCUAUCCUCUAAAGAUAUAACAAGAUUCCAAAUCAUAUAGUUGAACAAUUUACCGAAUUAGCAAAAUUGACUAAAAAAAUACAAAAAGAGAACAACAAAAUUUUCAAUAUAUUUUGUAGUGCUUUCCUAAAUAAAAUUUAAAAAUCAUACCCAAAACAUAAAAAAAAAUGAAAUAUACUUAUCAGAUACUUCAAUUAUUAGAAUCAUCAUGCACAGAAAAUAAAAAAAAAUAGCUCUAAAUUUCAGCCCAGACCUAGAUCUAAAAUUGGACCUGAAUUAUAUAUAAUCGGACAUUAUUCAUGCUAUUAGAAUUGAUAGAUUUUGUUCGAGCAUAAAAAUGAAAUAUAAUAUUUUUACCUAUUCUUUUGUUACACAAUCAAAAUUAAAAUUAUGUUAUAGUUAUGACUAAAAGAAAUGGAGAAGUAUAUUUUGCAACUACUUAAACUUUUUAUUUAAACUAAAGACAUAUUGAAACUAGGAAAAUUAGUUUAGAAAAGAUAAUAUGAAAAUAAUGCACAAAAUUUGGCUCUAUAGAUGUAGCAUCUACAGAAAGGACGAUUUGCAUUUAGGGGUUGCGGGGAUAUGGAAAAGUAGCAUGGAAUGGGGUUGAUGCAAGGUAGAGUAUGAGGACAAGGGAAGAAGGAAGUAGGAAAGUGGUGAUGUGGGGGGUCGUAGGAAAAGUUAAAGGAAGCUAAAUUUACGCAAUGAUACUAAACUACUUAAAGUUUGAAAUUCCAAUUGAAAAUAUUAAUAUUAUGAAAAUUAGUUUAGGAACGACAAUUCACAAAAAUUACACAAAGUAUGGCUCCAUUUUGAUGGGUUACUUUUAGAAAACUUUCAUAAUGGGAAUAUUCUUUUAAAAUCUUUAUAUGCAGUAUUUUUUGGGUCUUUUUUGAAAAUUUUUGGUAUGUUUUCAUUGAUGGCAUUGAGUAUACUUAAAAAUGGUAGGUAAGUAAUAAAAUGAGUCUCGGGAAUAGAAAAAGAUAGUUGGCAAUGGGAGUGUAGGUAGCAAUUGGUAAAGAUUUAAGUUGACUAAGUUUACUUAACAAUAUUAAAUUUACUAUGAAUUAAUCCUAUAUACACUGAUAGUGUAUACGCUAUCAUUAUUAGAUAAAUGAUAUAUGUGCAAAAUUUGAAUUUAAAAUUCAAAAUUUACUCAUAUGUCAUCCAUUCAAUCGUGAUAGUGUAUAUAAAAUUUACUCAUUUACUUUAUAGAAAUAUUAGAUUUACAUUUUAUUAUCAUUUUAUGAGAUUAAAUUUACUUAACAAUAAAAUUUACUUAACGAUAUUAGUUUCAUAUUUCUAUUUUACCUAUUAAAUUUACUUACUAAUAUUGCUGUAACAAUAGUAUUUUACUAUCACAAAUACCAGAUAUUAUUGUUUAUGGACAUAGAUAGACAUGAAAUUGUCCACAAUAAUAAUAAAAAACAAGAUUCAUCUUAUUCUCUCAUGAUAUUUUUUUGUUUUUGUUUUUUAUGUUCCUAACAUUAGGCCUUACAUAUAAAAUCUUUUUAUCGACUUCUUUUUUUAUCUUUUACUUAUCAUAUAAAAUCUUAUUACUUCUUUAAAGAUAUAAUCCCUUACAUAUAUAUAGCACUAGUCCAAUCAUACGUUGUCGAAGAUGAUCAAGCUCUUGCUGGCUUGCAUAUAUAAAGGCCAACGUCUUGAUUGAUCAAUUUUGAUAUCACUCGUCAAAAUGGGUGCCCAUCAAAGACUCGUCAAAGUCUCGUGAUUAAUUUCCACAAAUUAAAGGAGUUGCGUGAUACAGAGAACCUCUGCCUUACUGUAGACUUUUCACAAUACCACGUGUCUGCCAUUAGUACAUCAUUUGGAAUUUUUUAGACAGCGACCGUACAGACGUGGAUUCGUUUGAUAGAGUCUGGGAUUUUGAAGGUCAAUUGUCCAAUAGGGAUCUCGACAUUUUACAGCCACCUCAGCUGCUAAGGAAUGAACGGCUCCUGUAGCUGAUAGGCGGAUAUGCCUCCCAAAGGAGAUUUUCUCAAAAGGAAUAUCUUUAAUUUUCCAUGGCGGAUUGAGACUUCCAUCGUCCACUUGUCCCCACCUAGCCCGUCGCCAAGUUUUUCCACACAAACAUUCUAUUGAAACUAGCUGUUUUUAGGGGUAUUUUUGAAAAAAUUUGCUGUAAUAGAGUUUUUAGAUUAUAUUUUACGAUAUUUUUAGAAAAUAUUUUGAAAUAUUUAAAAGUAGAAGAGUUUUUAGAAUAUAUUUUAAAUUAUUUUUAAAAAUUUUAAAAAAAGUUAAACUAAUUUUUAGCGUACUUUUUAAAAAUUUUUAUUAUUUUUAAAAAACAUUCCCGUCCAAAUAGAGUAAUUAUCAUUCCGAUAUCUUUAAUGAAUGGCGAUGUUUUUUGCAUUUGUCUUUUUUGCUGUUACAAAUAAUAUGGUAUAAAAUAGUCGAGUCGAGUUACUCAAUUCUUUUUUUUUUAGCAUGAAAGUUUUAAUUGUGCUGCGUAUUUCUAGAUUUUAGUGCAUGUUUUUAUCUGUCAUUAAAGCAAUGAUGUAUAUCAAUCGUGUUGGAUGAUUUUCAAUAAUUCGUUAAUGAAAUAUAUUUUGUUAUGAAAAAAAAAAAAAAGAGAAUAGAUACGUCAAAUAGUCUACUGACUUAUAUUGUCGAAGAUCUGCACUCUUGAUUGGCCUAUCUGUGUUGCAUUUUCCUGUAAUUGAUGGAAUUUAGAUCCGAUAAGGGAGUACACCUAAUGGACAAUAAUUGCAAGAUCAUUUGCUCAGCAAAGUAUGUGGAUCCCACUCCGUACGUUUUGUCGGCUAUUCUUGGAAAUGGACUAUUCCAUCCAACCGGUUUUUACCCGAGAGGUAAUUCUGACAUCAUUUGACAUAUUUUCUGGGAAAACUUUUUAAGUGGUUGCCUUCUUUUUUUUUUUUUUUGGGGUCGAAAGGAUAGAAUUAAGUGGUUGUCAUUUUAUCAUCAAUUUUCUCUAGACAUAGAUAAAUGGUGCUUUAUCUGAAAUUGCUUUUGCGAAUAUUAUUCUUGUCACGUGACUGCAUUGGAUAAGCUUAUUAUCAACUGCCACUUGUACUAACUGACAAGCUCUUAUGUAGUUGAGAGAAAGCCUGAUAAAUAAAUUAAGCCGACGGUCAUGGUAAAUUUCUUCUCGUGAUUCGUAUUGCUACCGAAAUAGGAAAAAGGGGCAUGCUUCAUAUUGAGUCAUUACGAAUAAAAGCCCUAAUGUUUCAAUGUCUGGACUAAGUACAGAAAGUGAUAAACUAAGAACUAAAAUCCAUCAAGCGUAUUAUCAUUCUACCAACAAGAACUGGACUUCACUAAUGAUAAUUUUAAUGCCAUAGCUUUCAACUCGUUCCAAGUGAGAACUUACAAAAAGUAGUUCAACUCAAUGACAGCUCCUGUACUAAUCCUUGUCACCAAUCCAUAAGCCCUGACGUUACAAAGAGGAAAAGUAAAAGGCAAAUAAGUAGCAACUCGAAUCUGAACUCGAGUUGAGCUCGGUCAAUAUCAAGUUCGAACUGACCAAAUCGAAUUCGAAUUUGAAAAUAUUUAACUUGUUAGCUCGCGAGCCAACUCGAUUAUAUAAAUAUAUAUAUUAUUUUUUAUUUUAUUAGUAAAAUAUUAUAUAUAUAUCACUAAUAUUUUAUUAUUUAUUAAGAAAAAUUAUUAUUUUAUUUAUUUUUAAAAAUAAAAUAAUUAUUUUUUAUUUUUUUAAGCUCGACCUUGAGUUGAAACUCGACUCGAACUUUACAUUUUGAAUUCGUUGAACUCAAAUUCGAGUUUGAGUUUCAUAAAAUUAAAUUGUGAUUCAAUUCGAUUAGGUCAAAACUCGACUCGACUUGACUUGUCCCGUUUCGUUUGCACCCGGAAGGAAGGACCUUAGUAGUGAUUCCUAUCAAUUUCUUUGAUUUAAGGUUUCAGUUCUGCCUGGGAAAAGGUGAAGAGGCACCACUAGCAUGGCUGUAGACCUAGUAGCUACAAUAAAGGCAUCAAGUUGCCCCGCCAAAAUCCGGCCAACCUCCAUCGCCAAUUAACCAAAAGAUAUUUUUAUCAUAGCUAAUAUUUGAGAAUAGGCAAUAAGGGAUAACCUAAGAUUAGUAAGUAGAUUUUUGACUAAAGGAGGAGAAGGCAUUUGGAGAGGUAGGCAUGCUUUUUUUUUUUGUCGGUAACGGUAGAUGUCUUAUAACCUAAUCUAGACUAAUCUAGGGAAGAGGGGUAAGAGGAGAUGGUCAAUUAAAACUAGCCACAUAUUGUGGUAAAAUUUGAAAGAGAUAGGGAUAGAAUCCCUAACCUCCAAUAUCACCAAAGAGGGUGAUGAUCACUGGACCAAAUGGCCCGUGACAUUUGGAGAGGUAGCAUGCAGCUGAGCAACUUUAAGAAAAUGCUCGAGAUGAGGAAGACGAAGAGAGGCGAAAUUUCCUAGCUAGGGGAGAAUCGAUCGGGUGGCUUCAACCUUAUUGGUCCAUGAAUUUCUUUGACACAUGGCCCUUCACGCGGUGUCUUCGUACGUCUCGCACUGGAACUAGACUACUAGGUUGUUUAUCGGCCGAUAAUUUGAUUAAAAAUUCAAUUUUUUUUUUCAAUUUUUUCAACAAUGUCAACAUCCAAUUACCGUUCAAACUUUUAUUUAGUAAUUGAAUAUUGCAAAUUGGAUUACGACCAAAUAAUUAGUAUUUCAGUAAAAUAUCCAAAGUUUUAGAUUGAUUUUCUAAUAUAUAUUAGUUAAGUAUAUUUAAUAUGUAAUUAGUAAUGUAAAAGGUUAUUAAUAUGUUCAUUAAUAUGCUUUUAAGGUCAUAUAUUUGUCUAUAAACAUAUAUUAUAACUUAUAACACUAUGGAUUGAUACAUCAAUAUGCAAUAUGAUAUAUUAAUAGGCAUGAAAUAUAUAAAAUAUUUAAUUAAAAUAUGAAAUUCGGUAACUCAGUCGGUGGUAAUCGAAAAUUCGAGAAUCGAAAUUCAAUAUCAAAUCACAAACUGUUUUGCCAAAAUUUAAAAUUGGAUCUUAAUCGGUUUUUCCAAAUUUCAUUUCACCGACAUCCGAUUUUCAAUUUAAAUUGGAUCAAUCGAUUAUUCGAUUUUUUUUUCCUUUUUUUUGGAAGUGUGAGGACCCCUAGCUGGCUGGUACCAGGGUAGCCAGCCAAAUUACAAUUGACCAGCUGAAUUGGCAAAUCUCUUUCUCGUCUAUCUAGCAGUCUAUCGGAUAAGAUUUCUCGUGUUUAUUGUUCCGUGCUUCAACCGGUAAAUUUAGACAGCGAUGGAUAUCUGCUUGGGCAGGCAAACACCAUGCCCUUAGGUGUCAGUGCAUGGACUUGCAGGAAAAGUCACUGUCCAUUUUCUACGCCGCGGUUGCGGGUCAUGACUUGAACUCAUCGUGCUGUUGGCUACUAUAUCAAACAAGAGAAAAAGGGAAUCCAAUGCAGCGUUUCUUUCUGUUAGUGUUACUACGCCAAUGUUUCUAGCCAAUCACUUUUCUUUUCAUCAGCCAAAAUCAAUCAGGUGAGAUGCUUCCUCGAAGUUUAAUACCACAUAAGCGAAGUAUGAACUUGCUUGUUUAAUACCACAUAACACGAAGUAUGAACUGUUAGAAUUGAGUCACAAUGAGUACCAGUAACUCAGCCUAUGAUUUAUUGUUCCUCGAAAAUUGUUAUCCAUAUUAAAGUUCGAAAAACAAUUUAACCAAAUCGUAUGGAGUACUAUUCAUCCAUUUUUUUGGUCUUUACUUUAACAGCACAACUUAGAGACAUUAUUCAGUUUCUGCAAAUUCUUUUGUCAAAAAUGGCCCAAGGAUGAUUUUUAUUUGAAAACUGCAAUAUUUUUGGUCUCUUAGCUUUUCAAAUUGUCUAAAAUAAUGCUAGAUUUCUGCUCUAGAAUACUAAUUUAGUCUUUCAAUUGUCAACUAUUGCACUGAAUUUUCACUUAUUUAGGAGGUGGCUGGGGAGGGGGGAGGAGAGGGAAGAGGGAGAAGGAGGAGUGGAGAGGAGAGAGAGUUAGGGAGGGAGUAAGAAGGGGAAAAAAAAAAGAGGGCUCCGCCGGCUACCGUGAGCAGUGGGGAGGGAGGGAGGAGGAAAAUCAAUGAGGUGGAGGAUAUGAAGAGGAAAGGAAAGAAAAGAAAAAGAAAAAAGAGGAAAACUUUUACACAUCUAAAAAAGUUUUUUUUUUAACAAAUUUUACAGUAAGAUACAGUAAAAUUUUAUAGAUUAAUCUUUCCUACACCGACAGUGUAUAUACUACACUUGGGAUUCUCGGUGACAUGUUUUCUAUGCCAACCCAAUGCCACCAAUAGUGUUGCGUCAAGUGUCAUGUUAUUAUUUACACUUUAAUUUUCUAAUAAUUCAACUUGACUUGGUUUAACACAAGUGUAAAUAAUAACAUGACACUUGGCGCAACACUAUUGGUGGCAUUGGAUUGGCAUAGAAAACAUGUCACCGAGAAUCCCAAGUGGUAUAUACUAUCAGCGUUGGAAGAAUGACAACUAUGCAAAAUUUUAAUUUGAAAUUCAACUUUUGCACACAUGUUAUAAAUCCAACGAUGAUAGUGUAUACACCGUCAGUGUAAGAAAGAUUUACUCAAAUUUUAUACAAACACACAAAAAAUUCACUCACUAAAUAGGGCUUUCAUAACACAAAACCUGGUAGCACUACUCACUAUUUCAGUACACAAAUAAUCAAGAGUUAAAACACACAUGAGGAAAGCCAAGUUCCAAAGCCAAUUCGCAGCUGGUUCUAGUUAAAGGGAUCUUCCUCUGACCUGCUACCACAUCCCUUGCAGAAGCCAACACAGAGAAACUAUUUCCACAGCCGAGACGUGUCUAUGCUGAAACAUAGCCAAAUUCCCUUGCUCUCCUUAUCUAGUAUGCCACAAUUUUUUAAAGAGAGAGAAAUAGAGAAUUAUAUUUGGAAAUGACUGAAUUCCAAGAUUACAUGCAUCUAUCAGAAACUAAUAUUAUUUUGUGGAUAUGAAAUUCAAAAAUCUAAAGAAGUGGGUCGUCUUUGAAUAAUAAAAACUAAAGGGCACCCACACUUUACAUAUGAUUUAGACAAAAUAAUAGUAAUUUGCCAUAAUCAACGCUUUGGAUGAUGCUAUUGGACGUUCAAAAAGAAUUAAAGAUCAAGCGCAAACGUGUUGGUACUAUAUUAUGAAUUGGUUUAACAUUAAUUUGCCUGUAACCUCCUAUACAACUUGCAAAACUAAGCAUAAAUGCAUGGGGCCCAAGCACUAAUUAUUUGAGCCAAGAUUAUUUUCCACUUUGUGUGAAGACAAAAGCAUGUGGGAUGUUCCAAGGAGCCCUUCCUGUGGCCGAUACAAAUACAGCGUUCAUGAACUAAUCCCCAAAGGACCUCUUCGUGUUGUCUGUAUCACCUGUUUACCUCCAUUCAUAGUUGCCAUUGUGUUCGUUCUAUGCAUCCUUUUGUUUGGUUUAAGAUUCCUCAACUCGAGGUGGGAAUUGGGAUCUUUUUGUUUCGAAAGAAAAUAUUUUCCAGAAAAUAUUUUCCUGAUUUUCCAUUGUUUGAUUGGGUUAUUGCUUGCGAAAAUUUUUCAUAUAAAUGAAUUGAAGUUAUUUUUCAUGUCCGACUCGUAAGGCUAUCCAUUCUAGCUCCCUUCUUUGCUGUUUUCUCUCUCCAUUUUUCUUUGUCCCUGUCUUUCUUUCUCUCAGAUACACAGACCAUACGCACUUAUGGAGAGAUCUAGACUUGAAAUUGAAAGGGGCUAUAGGGAGAUCGUGAAGGAUGCCAGAGAAAGUUUUGAUGUAUGAAAAUGAAAUGAAGUUGUUAAUCUUGUGCUAAUAUACUGUAAAUUUGAGGUAUGUUUGUUCAACGGACAUUAACGGUUACCGUUUGGAUUGCUAUUUUCUAGAGCUUUUGUAAAAAGAAAAUGUACCGUAAUGAUUUGACAGAUAUAAAAUAAAAAGAUGAUCACGAAAAACGUAAAAAUUUUUUGAGGGAAAAUGGCUUUCCAAACAAUUGCUGAAAUGUUGAUUAUGGCGGAAGAACGGUGGUUUUUAGGUAAGAGCCUGAAAUUUGGUACGGACUUGUGAACUAGAGGAUAUCUUAACUGCCUGAACAAGAGUAAGUUCUGACAGUGGAUCCCUCAAGAAUUUGUCAUCCAUAAGUUAAUAAUUAUCAACCAACGUACAUAGUAGUUAACAAAAUGUACCUGUUUUCAAAAAUUAGUUUUUUUAAAUAUUAUUAAAAUUUUUAAAAAUAUUUUAAAAAUUAUUCUAAAAAGUAAUCUAAAUUUUUUUUAAUAUUUAAAAAAUAUCUUAAAAUAUAUUCUAAAACUCUUCUACUCUUAAAUAUUUUAAAAUAUAUUAUAAAAAUUCUGAUAUAAUAAAAUUUUUUAAAUUAUUUUAAAAAAUAGCUAAUCCAAACGAAAAGAAACCGGACGUUCUUGUUCUCAGGUUUUCGCUUUUCGGCACGAGAAACCCACAAAACACUACAAAGUGGUGGCAAACAGCACUGAGACGGAGAGUGGAUUAAUCCGGAGAAGAGAAGGGGGUGUCGAUUGUCGAAAAUCACCUGGUUCAUAUUUCGCGCCCUGUCGUUUUGCUGAAUCAGCGUGUGCUGGAAUAGUCAGGCCCCUCCCUCGACAAUAAUGGAAUUAGCUGCCGCGCACGUACGUACCUAUGCAUGAAAACUGACUUCACAAGCUUUAUAGCUGUCCCCUCCAUGGAUAUGAAUAUGAAUCAGAAUCUGAAUCAGUCACUCAAAACUUUAUUAUCUCUGAACGAACGCCCAUAAACAGCCCCUGAAACAGUAAAUUCUGGCAGCUGCUCUUUGUCGUAGAUGCCAAAAAUGGUCCUUGGAACAUUAAUUCCGUGAAACAGUAAAUUCUGCCAGCUGCUGCUCUCUGUUGAUGAUGCCAAAAAAAUGUCCUUGCCUACUUAAAUCAAUUUUGAACCGACUCAAUUGAAUCAAAUUCAAUGACUUGCAUUUUUUCUGUGAACCUCCUUAGAUUCAUCCCUCUUUAGAAUUUAUCGUGUCUGAUAAAAAAAAAUUUAAAUCAAUUUUGUUUUAACUCUCUGUCUAAUCUUCAAGGAUGCCGUGUCACGACUAUCGCUGUGCUUCCUCUCUCCUCUCCGCCAUGUCUGAAGUCUCAACUCUCCUUUCCUCACUUUCAGUUUCAACCACAAGUCACAAGGCUUCAACUCUCCUUUCCUCACUCUCAUCUCCUCCUCCUCAUCAUCAGGCCUAAGAAUUCUUCCUUUUUUUUUUUUUUUCCUUAUCUUCUUUGUCCUCCAGAAGCCCACUUUAAUAUAUUUUUUUUGGGGUAAGUAGCCCACUUUAAUUAGUAUUAUCCUCACGAUAAGUUAGAUGUUUGAACAGACCCUAUUAUUUUGGAAUGCAUUUUUAAAUUAAAGGAAUUAAAAUUAAAUCGAUGAUCUUACAUCAAAGAGAUUUGUCCCAAAAUAUAUAUAUAUAUAUGGGAUGGGGAAGUCGAUUUGGCUUAUAGCAAUAAAAUACUCCUACAAACUUGUCGGUGGUUGGUUGAAAGUUGAAAUAUCUGGCAGAUAUAAUUUGCAGAUGUGUUUGUGUGUCCUCUGACUGAGAAAGAGCAGGAGGUGGAUGGAGAAACAAGGAGGAAGCAAAGUCGAUAUAAAGAAUCAAGGACUCGGCAUAACUAAAGAAAGAAAGGGUGGUGACAACCGGGUCGGCGAGGUUCGGGGUGGGAUUUGUUGGAGGGAUGGGGACUAGCUAAGAUUGGUGGAGAAGGUGAUGAUGGUGUUCAGUAGUUCGGCAAGGAUUGAGUUAAAGUGCAUUGUGGAGGAAGGAACGAUUGCUAUGCCUUUGUGCAAAGUUACGUCAUCAAAGUUUUCCGACUCCAAAUGGGGUGAAAGUUCUCAUGAGCUAAUGCCUCAUGAAUUUUUAUUUUUAAAUAUUUAAAAAAUAUAAAAAUACACACACACACACCUACAUAUAUAUACACGUGUGCAUGUAUAAUAUUAAAAAUACCCAAAAAAUAAAGAAAAAUUAUAACCAAUGCCAUCCCAUGAACAGAAACCAGCAAAUCACUGUAAACUUCGAUGAUUAUUUGCACAAAAAAACUCGUUGUUAUCCCGCAAACUAACGAUCACAGUUGCGAAAACUCUUUUCUUGUGGUGUGAGUUUUGACUAUCAAAGCAAGUGUCUUUCUCCUAUUUCUUUAGAAUAUCCUCAAUGUGAGGAACAAAGUUUUGAAAUUUCACCUCCUUUGCCAACUUAAAUUUGUAGGCUAAUAUAAGAAAAGUUUUCAGAAAUUGCAAGUUCAAUUUGAGGGUCUCAACUUUCUUUAGGCAAGUGAAGGGAAAAUCCAGUUUGGAUGUUUUUCUGGAACUUAAAAAAAGGGGAAAAAGUGCUUGGAUUUUAAAUGUAUAGAUUUUUUACGUCUAAAAAAAAAAAAAAAAAAAAAAACUCACCCAAACGUCCAGGCGUUUGCCUCGAUUCUUGGGGCAAAAUGUCCCAUGAUAUUAACGCCCCAUUUAACUGUCCAGGAGUAAUUCGAGAAUGUCUUGCCCUGAAACUUACCCCAAAUAAACACUGAUCUUAAACAGAGAGAGUUAGAAAGACAACUUUCUUGGAUAGAGGACAUGAACCACUUUCUUUCUGCCACUAGCAUGUGCCACUAGCAACUUUCUUGAAUCCUAUUUUGCAAGUUAUCAAUUUUUGGUUACUUUUAUUCUUGGACAUGGACCAGUCCAACCAGGCAUUAACUAAGCGGUCCAUACCAAUAAUUCUGAUGUAAAUCUUUCUUCUUUUUUUUUACCAUGUGCCUUUUUUGAUGAAAAAGAUAGACACAUUUUAUUAAUGAUGCUACAGGAAAUCGUCCAUGAGUUGCUUGACAAAAUUUAGAAGGGAAUUUCAAAGAGAUUAAAAAAGAUUAGCACUCUUAGCAUGAUGGGUUAAAGUAUGCGCUACCUUAAUUUGCUUCUCUUGGAAUCCAUUGAUUCACUGAAUAUCAAUACAAAGCUGAUCUAAUAAAGCUAAAUGUACAUCCUCAAUAAUUGGACCUAAAUCAGAUAGGAUGUCUUCUUUGUCCUGUCUUCUUUAUCAUGAAUAAAUCUUAUGAUUGAGGCUGCGUCUCCCCGCAAUUUUGGAUCAUUUGUGGGCCUGAAUCAAAUAACUCCCGGGAACGAAUAUCACAAUGGACUUGAUUGGAACGAAAAUGCCUUACCAAUCCCACAAUCCAUUCCAGUUCAAGUUAAGAUCAGCAAUAUCGUUAAUUAGCCGCUUAAGCUUUGUUUAAUCAUAACUUACCCCUAUUGUCUUACAUCUUAAGCAGAUACUCUUUUGGUUUUUUCAUCUUAAGCAGUUACCAUUUGCUACAUCGCAGUCAAUUAAAUAGUUAAACAGAAAAUCUAGCAUUUAUACUAAAUAAAAGAAUUUUAAUGAUGCAUAUUAUUUGCUGCAAUCCUUAAACCAUCCAAGCCUAAGAAUUAAAAAUAAAAGGUCUACAUGAAUAAAAUAAAAGAUUGGAGAUUAAAGAUGCUUUAGAAAAAAAAAAAAAGGUUAAUUCAAAGGACUAAAUGAACUACUUGCGAGAUCUUUUUGUCCUUCCAGAUUAAAUGAUUUGUCGUUAAUAGUAUUGAAAUAGUUAAAAAUUAAAAUUAUUGGGACUAAAUGUAUUUUCAUAAAACUUUGAAGGCGAAAAUGGUGUAACCCCAUAAGUUAGAGGUAUAAAGUGUCAUCUUUUCCAUUUGUGAAAUUUGCAAUUGGUUUGCUGACUUUCUGUCAAAUAUUUGUACAUUAAUUAAUUUUUCUAUAUACUGACAAUACAUACCAUCAAAGUCGGAAGCAUAACAACUGGUAUGAAUUUCAGUUCGAAAUAUAAAUAUUUUGCAUACGUAGUGUCCAUCAAAUUCAGACCUUAAUCGAUCCAUCUAUCUAUGAAGGAAACAGUGGACUCUGUGGCGAGCCACUCCCAAAUGACUGCCUGGAACAUAAAUUGCCUACGAAAAAUGGGCAUAUUCAUGAUGAUAUAGGUCACGGCGAGUCUCAUUGGUCUUGGUUUUAUGCUGGUAUAGGACCGGAUUAUGCUGUCGGGCUAUUGGGAGUUUUGGGAAUCCUUCAGUUCAAGAAGUCAUGGCGCUAUGCAUACUUCAGGUUUCUGGAAAAUGCCUAUGACAAAAUCUGCGUAAUGAUUGCAUUGAAGGCCAAUCAGCUGAGGAGGAAUUUCCAUUGAGUAAUGCCCUGUAAAAGCACAUUUAUUUUGUUUUUCAUAUCACGCAGCAGCAGCAUACUCUCCUUGAGAAUUUACAGAACUAUGGUAAUUUGUAAUUUGUUCUCCAAACGUUUCUAAAGAUUUGUUUUAUGCGUCCCAACUUGACCGAUUCUUAUUCAAUAAGAAAAUGAUAGCUUAAUAGUUUUCUGUUCUUUUUUUUUUUCCCCAAGACUAAGAAGCUCAAUAAGUUAUAAUUAUUUUUCUGUUCACAUUGGAAUGCAUUAAAUAUUCUAUAUCGAGCAAUUUAUAGGUUGUUUAUCUUGCUUACUGAUCGAAUUUUUGUGUCAACAGAUUUAAACACUUUAGAAGAAUUCUAUACUUGUUUAUGCUAAUAAUUGAUUUAGUUGUUUAAUUUCUAAUUGAUAUACAUUCUAGCUUUUCUGCCAACAACUCUUAUGAAUUACCAACUACUGAUUUUCAGGUGUUACAUUAAUUCUACCCACCUAAGUUUCACUCUCGAAACUUAAUUUGACCAGAUUAGCAUAAAAACAAACUGCACUUUCAAUUAUAUCACUUUACAUGAACAAAUAUUAAUUAAACUACUAGUAUUUAGGGCACACACCAAUGUGUGUACACCUAAUAAAAAACAUAUUAUUAAAAUUUUGAGUAAAUUUUUUGAAAUCAUUUCAAAGGAAUUGGUUUUAUAUUUUUGACAAUGGGUAUUGGAAAAUUCACGAAAAUAAGUGUACAAAUAGAUAGUUGUUUAGCAGUAAUCCAUAACCAUAAUCGAUAGUUGAUUACAUUGGGUAGCUAGCAAGGUAAGUUAAAAAAUAAUAUAAAAUGACAAAAUUUUAUUUAUACCAAAAGCCCUCUCCCCCUUUAUAUAUUUACAACAAAAGCUUUCUCCACCUUUACAUAGAGCAUGGAUAUUAUUUACUCAAGGACAAUUCAUGUCCCCCCCACCCCUCCUUCCCCUCCUCGCCUUUUUGGUCAAUCGUUAACUCCUAUUACUACUCCUACUCUAACCAAUAUUAGGGAAUGAUCCAACUGGACCAAUGGGGCCGGAGAAAGAAGAUCUCACCUGUAUAUCAAAGAGGUUCACUAGACCAAAGAAGGGUUGCUUCAUGUUCAAAUCUGCUAUGCUUUUUACGAGGCCAUAGAAAUUUCAAACACCUGAUGCCCAUUACGUUUCCCUUGCGUCAACAUUAAUCCAAACAUCAAGAAGUAAUUCCACUUAAUUAACCUUAUUUUCAUUUGAACUUUGGUUAUAUCUAAAGUGAUAAUCAUGUCUUCCUAUUCAUUAAAGUAAUCUACUAUCAAUUAAAACUCCACUAGUAAAUUCCGUGCUCUCAUUUUCUGAUUUGCCAGAUUCUCGGUUGCACCCCGAAUUUACUUCAUAGUAUAUGCCAUCACAGUGGAUCUAGAAAUAUUAUAACAUAACCGCCUAGAAAUUUCUUCAAGAUAUAACCCCUUUCAAUAACUUCACCUACUCAUGAUUUUCAAUCUUGAAUUACCUGUAGUUUUAAGAUUCAAAUCAAGUGAUCAUAAGCCAUGUGAGAAAAACUAAUGAACAUAAAUUAAAUUUCUAACUCAUUGAUCGCCAUAAAUGGUCCUAUUAGAAACUAAUUCUUGCAAUCAAUAAUUGGUAGACAUGAAAUAAAAAUGUGUCCUAGGCCUCCUGAUCUUCUAAACAAACAUAUAAGGGCAGAAGGGGUUUCAUGAACAUCCUCCCAAUGAGGAAUGUUAUAUGAACAGAUCCCAAUCACAAAUUAAAGAUUUGUGAAAAAAGUGAGAAACUCUAAACAACUGGGCAAUUCCAAUAAAGUUUGGUAAAAUUUGAUAAGAGAAUGAGAUAUUACUUAGGCCCUGUUUAACAAAUAAUUCCCAAUAAAUAUUUGAGUGAAACUUAGGCAUCAUUUGGCGAAUGAAUUUUUUGCGUGUUUGUCUAAAAUUUUACUGUAACUUACUGUAAAAAUUGUAGGAAAAAUUUUUAAAAUGAAAAACUUUUUCUUUUCUUUUUAUUUCUUUUUCUUUCUUUCUUUCUUUUUUCUUUUCUUUCCUUUCUUCUUCCUCUCCCUUCCCCGUCCCUUGCCACCUCUCCCUUCCAGUUGGAACAAGAAUUUUUUUUUUUGCUCUCUUCUCUCUCCCGUCCCCUUUCUCCCCUUUUCCGGGUGCUUUCUAGUCGUGCGACCAAAUCGGGCAAAGGGGUAUGGGAAGGAUGGUGGGGGAGGGAGAAGGGGGGAGAGAGGUGGCGUGGAAGAGGGUAGGAGAGAGGGAGAGGAGAGAGAGAGGAAGAAGAGAGAGAGAGAAAAAAACAAAAGAGGUGGCCUGCGGCUCCGAUUGCGGUGGAAGGAGAAAUGAGGAAGAAAUUUUUUUUUUGUGUUUUGGAUAUUUUGAAGUAUAUAGUUUAAAUAUUUUAAGGAGUUUUUGAAAUUACUAUAGUUAAAGUUGUUAAAAAUUUGGUAGGAAACAAACUUAGACAAAAUUGGUUUGCCAAACAGGCCAUUAGUUCUAGGAAUGCUUUGAAAAUCCUUGUUAGAGGGAUAGUGAAAUUCUUGUUAUCCAUUGAUAGGGUACUUUUAGUUGGUACAAUUGCUUAUAUUUUUCUUUUUAUUUAUACCAGAUAUCACCCUAUUUGACUGGUUUUACCCACAAUUGGUUUUUUUGCAUUGAUUUCAGAAAUUUGAGCGAAAAACGCUUAAAUGGAGGAUUCCUAACAGUUUGCACAUGGGCACGCCUAAGUUCAAGGUUCAAAGCCAGAAAAUUGAGCAGGGAUGUCAGACAGUUUCCCAAUCCAAGUCAAAUUAAAAAAAUUGGCAGCUGCUGAAGUUUCCUAUUUCUUUGCAGUCCACGUCAAUCUCGAGCAAUUGGAAAGCUCCUAGGACAUUGAUUUGUAAUAGGAACCCUUUUUAGGAGUUUUAUUGGUAUGAGGAGACCAAUCAAUUAAGAAGUCGACUAGGGAUAAUUCGGAGGGGGAAUGCUUUUUGCUUGAGAAAAACAUAGUUGUUCUUCUUUUUUCUUUUUGGCCAAAUUGGAGAAAAAAAACAAUUGUAAGCUUCGAACAGAUUAUCUUUUGGCAUGGCUUGUUCUCCCUUAAUGGAGAACUAAUCUCGUAUCUCUAGUCAAGGAACACUGAGGAUUUGGUUCAACUAUCACUGUGAGAUAUAAUUGAUUUUAUUUAUCUCCUCUAUUCAUUGGUAUUUGUAAGUUUUCUGCUUUAUAAAGUAUGAUUAUUGUGUGUGAUUAAAUAGGUGCGCAAUAUUUAAUUAUACACGUUCUCUAUUUGCUAAUUGGAAUAGUCAAAUCCGUAAUUGUUUGACUACUCUAGUCUUGAUAGCAACUGGAAUAAUUGGGUUUGUGUUGGAAAAAAUAUACAGUCUAAUUUAAAUAAACUCUCGUAGCGUGUUUAUUGAUUAGAGUAGGAUUUCUCUAGUUUCUAAUACAAUUGAGGAAUUAAAUCCUACGGUGGCACUUAGGGUUAUUCCUAAAUUAGAGAAAUAGUCAAUGAUCGUACCUUGACUAUCGAAACAGAAAGGAGAAACUGAUUGUCAGAUCGUAUCAGCAGUUAAAAACCUGUUUACUAAUGAAUGUUGGGAUUAUAAUUGCAUCAAUGAUUAGUACCUGAACCACCUCUGAAGUAAAACCUUGGCUAGAGCUUUUUCCCAUUAAUUGUCUCCCCCAAUCUCUUUUGCGUACUUUAUUACCUUAGUGAUAUUCCACUAGUUUUUAAUUCUUGACAAUAAAAACCCCCUCCUCUUUGACUUGAAAAAAGAGCAAAUAAUCCCCAAUCCCUAUGGAUUCGAUCCUGCUCACCGUUGUAUACAAAAUUCAUACUUUUAUUAAGUAAGUUUUUAUUGCACAGGCUCGACACCUGUCAUCCAUUAAUAUCUAAGGUCGUGUUAUUCAAUAAUGGUAAUUGCGAAAAUUUUUUUGCUCUUUUUUAAUUGAUUUUUAUUCAUAAAUUCAAGCUAUUAUUCAAAUUAUAGUAAUUUAUUGUUGAAUUUGGCUAGGUAUAAAGUUAAUUGAAGAUGCAUAAAAGUUUCAUAAAUAAGGCGGCCUGUUUAGACUUUGUUUUCGAUGAUGAUGUGUCGAUUAUGUUUGUGAACUUUAAUGACACAAAGGGAAUAUUUUGCAUCUGGGGACGAGUCCGGCAUCUCGCGCUGGAGUUGAUACCCGCGUAGUAAAAUAGUAAUCCAAUAUGCAAUUAACGAAUUUCUUAUGUUUAGUUAAGAAGAAAGCGGAAGAAAACAAGAAUAUGAGAACAGAUGGAAAUUAAUGUAAAACAAAGGAAUAAAAGGCAAAUUACAAUUUAUCUCCUAUGAUUUAGUAUUUUUAUACAUAACUCUCCUAUAGUUUUAAAAAUUAUAUAUAACCCUCUCAUAAUUUGAAUUAAAGCGUCAAAAUGAUGAAAAUGAUCAUUUGUAAAAGAACCUAUGAAAAUGUCGAAAUUACCCUUGUUUAAAAACUCAAAUGGUUGAAGUGAUCAACAUAUAUAAACAUAACAUGCAUGACACUCUAACCCGUAUAAUUUUACAUGUUACCAUAUAACCCUUUUAUGAUUUAAUGUUUUAAUAUAUAACUCCCUUAUUGUUUUCACUAUAUAUACAUAACUUGCUUGUAGUCAAUAAAUAAUUUUCAACUUUAUAGAGGGGCAUUUUUUAUAUUUUAAUUGACUCCGUCAUAGAUUGCAAAUUUCGUUACUUUGAUACUUUAAUUCAAAUCAUGAGCAGAUUAUAUAUAAUUUUUAAAAUUAUGAGAAGGUUAUGUAUAAAAAAUAUUAAACUAUAGGGGGAUAAAGUAUAAUUUACCUGUAUAUAUGCAGCGUCCCGCCCCUCUCCUGUCACUGGAUUGGGAGGACUGUAGUAUGAAAGGCUGCAUGCAUGCAACGUCCAGCCUCUCUACAAGCAUUUAGAACCAUAUAGAGAUGAUGCUUUAUCUGAGCUUACUUUAUCAGACGACCAAUGCCAAAGAAAUUGGAUACGCAUCUCCUUAAUACUACUACUCCAUCAUUAUUAGCUAGUGUUAUUAUUGAUUUGGUAGUAGUAUUCCUGUCACUUGGCUGCAUUAAAUAAGCUCAUUAAUCAAUUACCCUGAUUGUUUAUUCCAACAAAUUGCCGAAUAAUGAUAUUAAUUAAUACUUACUCCAUGAAGUAUGUAACUACUGCUGCUGCAGCUUAAGGGAUUCAGAUUUUCUGUAAUCACAGCAGUGUCAACAGCGUACACUUAGUUGUGGCUUGAAAUUAAAAAGAUAGAUUGAAUAGAUGACACAUGUUUGUUUUUCAUCGAGUGAUAAAAUUUAUUAUGUAUUCUGUAGUUAUUGUUGCAGUAUCUAUAUAUCUACAUAUUUGGUCUUUAACAUUUAAUAUUUACGUCCAUUAUAUUCUGUAGUUAUAUUGUUGUAAUGAUUUCCACGAUGACUUCCAAGUCAUCGUGCCUGUUUCAAGCCACCGUGAGCCAUCGUUCCGAUCAAUGGAGGUUCUUGCGUGAAUAUGUUUGUAUGGGAGAACGAAUAUGUAUCUAAUGAUACACAGAACAACUGAAAGAAAAAUGCUUAUAACAUUUGUUUUGCUGAACAACAGACAGAAAUUCAAAAUCAAACAAGUACGAUUGAACUUCAUGCGACAAUUUUAUUUAAUUUGGGCAUGGAUGACCAGCCCGUUGUUUAUUUAUUUAUCAUUUUCCUCUCCGGGAUUAACAACCAGGAGUACAUUUGAUUUCAUCCCUCCUUCGGUAGAUAGCGAUCGAGAGGAACUGAUCAGACAGCACCAGCAUAGGACCGUAGCAUGGACUUGAAAGUUACCUCGUGAUGAAGGUAGGGGAAGACCAUGAUGCCUCCAUAAACAGAAGAGUUCUUCAGAUAGGGAAGAACGUCAUCAACUAGCACAUUAGGUGGGAUGUAACCGCCCUCAGGUGCGAUAUCCUUGGAUAUAGGUAUUCCCAGGAACAAUAGAUUAACGCCUCUAUAAUUAGACCACCUGUCCCAACUCCGGAAGAGGAGACUGGUAUCCUUUGGAGGCCUAAUCUGACAAG
This 89993-nucleotide long non-coding RNA is filed under the name Coffea arabica (coffee). RNAcentral describes it as "long non-coding RNA (CARA_LNC007300)". Lineage: Eukaryota; Viridiplantae; Streptophyta; Magnoliopsida; Gentianales; Rubiaceae. The record is from RNAcentral.